GAGGGUGUCCGAUUCCUAAUGCGUGAAGCGAAAAAAAUAAGUUAAAAAGGGUAUUUAUUUAUUGGUACAAAGGCCCAAACGUAAAGCCUAAUUUAAGAGAGAGCAUCUUCGUAUACCUUUUGCGUCUGCGACUUUAGUAGUCUACAGAUUCAAAUUCGAGGUUUUAAAAUUAAAAAUCAGAGAUGAUGAAGCAUGUCAUCGUGGCUGGUGUUUUCGCGAUGAUGAUCCCCUUCGCCUUCCCCGAUGCGCUAGCUCCAGCUCUCUUCUGCGUCUUCGUCGCCUUCUGCUCGCUGUUGUGCCUUGCGAUAGCAUCGAAGAAGAAAAAAACCGCCGAUCCCAGGGUUGCGCGACUUAUUGAGAACAUGGAUAAUCUCCAAGCAAUCGCUCUCAUGGCGGUUAUGCUCAAACCAGACGCCGCUGAGACGGAAGAGCUCUACGAGGCGGCGGCUGUGACAGAAGAGAUCUUGCCAAGCUCUGUGAUCUCGUGAAAGAGUUUGGGGAUGAUCAGAGCCAAGGAAGGAAGGAAGGAAGAGACCGUAGACCGUAUCGUAUAAUAUUAAUAAGUGUUUUUAGAGUUUGGGGAUGAUCGUGUUGCUGUUCUUCUAUCUCUUUCGUUGUUGGCUGCAAAAUCUAUAAUUACAUUUAACAAAAUCUCCUUUUAUUGUAUCUCUUCUUUAAUCUAAAUUAGGCUUUCAAAUCCAAGGAUCCUAAUCUCAUCUUUAUGGGUUGCUUUGUCAUAUUGGCUCUAACAGCAAGCAAGCAAAGCACAACUUGUUUCAUAUAUUUUGACUCUUGAUUUCUUCUGCUUACAGUUUGACAAAUAUUGUUCUGAGUUUCUUCUACCCAAGGACAUCAUCUUCUUGUUGUUAAUAUGUUCUGAUUGUUGACGCUGCCCAAGGAUGUUUGCUUCUUUAUAAGCUUAUUUGCACUUCUCUACUUGGUAUUAAAGGGCUUGCAAACUAUUUCUUCAAUCUUGCUCUGAGCCAGCCAAUUACAUUUUGGAUUAUCCGCAUAAAUAGUAACCUUUUUUUUAUCGAACAACAUCUUCCAUAUUCUUCAUAAAAUUCAAUUUAUUUUACAUGUUAAAAAGCACGAUUAUUUGUAAUAAUGUUUAUUUGUAGCAGCUAGUGACUUGUGUCGUUUGUAAAAAGUCUCUAGCGUUGUUCCUUGGUCAAAAAGACCUAUAGUUAUUCCACUUUCCUGACGUUGCUGAGCUCAUCCACACCGUCUCCUCUCUCAAACACCCCGGCUGCUCCCAUUCCCGACCCUGCACGGUUUCCCAAAACCAUACCUCAGUGAGAGUGAGAGAUUGAUAUUAGAUAUUAGCUAGUGAGAAAUGAACAUACCUAUGCACAUUGUCACUACUCCAAAACGGCAGUCUUUACCACGACGUUUCAUCUCGUGCAGCAGCGUUGCAACGCAUCUGGCCCCUGAGAAAGUGCAACAGAGUCUUGUUUGUUCUAUGGAACUCACUAACCAUAUGGGGGAACCUGGAUGAAGCAUAUACCUGUAGCGCCUAAGGGAUGUCCAAUGGCUAUAGCCCCUCCAUUGACAUUGAUCUUCUCCGGGUCUAGCCCCAGCUUGUUCCGACAAUAAACAAACUGAGAUGCAAAUGCCUAAACAAACACCGUAGUUUUUUAGACACAGGACAUAAGGGGUGGAUAUAGAAAGAAGAGUUGUUCUAUGCUUUUUAACCUCAUUGAUCUCAAACAAGUCGAUGUCAUCGAGUUCCAAACCAGCUGCCUUGACGGGAGCAGGAAUAGCAGCAGCUGGCCCAACGCCCAUAACCGCUGGAUCCACACCAACUGCAGCAAAUGUCCUGCAAUGUGUCAAAGAGUGCUUUAGUUUUUACUCAAAUGAAGGUUAAUAUAAAAAAAUAUCAAACGUACCUGAAUACACCAAGAAUGGGAAGCCCUUUCUGCAUUGCGACACUCCUCUUCAUGAGGAGAACUGCUCCUGCACCAUCACUUACUUGGCUAGAGUUUCCUGUUCAAACACAAGUGAAGCACUGAGUUCACAGUUACAAACAAAACAAACAAAAAUCUCAGCGGUGUGAAUAUAGUACCAGCAGUUGUGGAUCCGUCUUGCUUAAACACAGGCUUAAGCUUUGCAAGGCCGGAAAGGGUUGUGCUAGGUCGAAUCCCAUCGUCCACAGAAACUGUUAUGGGCUUCUCAUCACAUGUCUUUGGGUCAACAAUCUGAAACGUUAAAAACCAAAAGUCAUUAACAUGGGGAAAGAGCACUUGACUCAUCAGAUGAAGUCAUCAGGUUGUAAAACAGAAUCUACCCUGGUGUUUACUGGAGUUAUUUCAUCCUUGAAUUUACCGGAAGCAGUAGCAGAAGCGGCCUUUCUGUGAGAAUCAACCUACACAUGUAGCUCCAUAAACUAAUGCUGGCAGGUAACAUCCAAGUACAUGCAUUAGAAGUAGUUAGAAAGUUUUAUUAGAGUUACAGCAGCUUGAUCCUGCUCCUCCCUUGAGACACCAAACCGGUGCGCUACAUUCUCUGAAGUAAUACCCAUUGGAAGAAGGCAACUUUGUGCUUGUUCAAACUUCUUCACCUGCAACAACAGAAUAGGUAGGGCUUAAAAUUUUAAAACAUUCAAAGGAGGGAGAGAGAGAGACAAGAGGUACCUUUGGGUUGACUGAUCCUUUCCAUCCCCUUGGACUAGUUGUCAUGGACUCAAGCCCAGCUCCAAUACCUGUAAUCCAAACCUAUUGUCAGCUCAAUUCUUCACGCCAACCAAAGGACAGUGACUCCCUUACCAAUGUCAUAGAACCCUGCUUUGAUGGCGGCAGCAACGUCAGCAACAGCCUGAAGCCCGGAUGAACACUGUCUGUUCACAGUUCUAAUAGGAACAGUUUCUUUCCAACAAAAACAUAAAAUCAUAAGCAUAAGAUUCUGUACUACAGAUCCCCUAAAUAAACAAGAAAUCUCUCACCGGGGAAGCCAGCAUAGAAAGCAGCCAUCCUGAACUCAGUGGCUUUCUGAGAUCCUGAUCCCAAAACAGUACCAACUACAAUGUCACCAACUUCACUUGGGUUCAACUUCGUCUUCUCUAUCACCGCCUGCCAACAAAAAGCCACGACUUUGGAAAAGAGUGGGGAGAAGCAAAACAGAAUUGAAGAAAGACUUAGACAUACUCUCAGCACAGGUGCAAGUAGCUCGUCUGGAUAUGUAUCCUUGAAGCUUCCACGUUUUGCCUUGCAAAGUGCUGUCCUUUGUGCCCUGUUGAGUGUUUCAUCAAUCACAAAUAAUCUUUUAGAAAAUAAUUGAUUUUUUUUUUUUCAAAAGAAGACCAAAGAAAAAAAGAGAAAGAGAGAAACUUAACGCGACGAUGACAACAUCAUCUCCAUACAGAGAGGUCCUCUGAUACGCAGCACUGUCUCCCGCUAAGCAAGCUGAGACCUUUCGACAAGGCAACAACAACACAUAAACAUAAAAGAUUAACACUUUGAAACAGAAUUGAACAGAAAAAUCAUGAAAAAUUAGCGAUCGGAGGAGCUUACAGAGAGAGAAGAAGCCUGGGAAGAAGACGGAGGAGGAGGUCGCAGAUGGUGAAGCAGUACUCUUUGUCUCUCGAUCGCCUUCUCCAUUUUCGCUCAGUUCUGUUACAGAGAAAACUCUAAAUCUUAAUCAAAACCGUUAUAAUCAAUCAAACAACUGUUUAAUAUCUCCGGUUAAAAUAUUUGGUUUAUUCCGGUUCAGUAUUUAGCUGGUUCUCGCGCCGAAACGACGUCGUCUUUUUCCUUUAGGGUUUUAGAUAUUUUCUUACAUAUUUAGCUUCUCUCCUUGCAGAAAAACACUUUCGUCCGUCAUUUUUUCUCGACGGCUCGGUUCUCUUUCUCCACCUCUCACCUCGCCGCUUCGUUUCUCGACGUAAGUCUCUCAAUUCUUUAGUCUCCUUUGGCUUGUGGAAUUGACUCUCUCUGCUCUAUGUAUUCCCCAUUCGGUUCUACUUACCCUGUUUUGUUGUUUCUUAUGCGUUUUGGUUUCAAUUAGUAUCUCCCUAGCUAAUCAGUUCUUUACUUAAUCAAAGCUUUUAACUUUUAUGCUUUAUGAUGAAGCUUGUGACUUGUUAUGUCUAUACAGUUUAUUACAAAACUAUAUUACUGUUCUUGGUUCAGUUUUAUUACAAAACUAUAUUGACUUGUUUGAUGUCUUUUAUUACAAGACUAUAAUGAUUUGUUGGCUGUUCUUUCUUCAGUUUUAUUACAAAACUGUAAUGAUUUGUUUGCUGUUCUCGGUUCAGUUUCAUUACAAAACCAUAUUGACUUGUUUGUUGUUUUGGUUCAGUUUUAUUACAAGACCAUAAUGAUUUGUUUGCUGUUCUUUUUUUUUUUUUUUUUUUAAUUUGAUGUUUUUUUAAUUCAUAUGUGCAGAUCAAUUAGCAAAAAAAUGGUGCAAUACAAUUUCAAGAAGAUCACAGUCGUUCCCAAUGGGAAAGACUUCAUCGACAUCAUCCUCUCACGCACCCAGCGCCAGACCCCAACCGUCGUCCACAAGGGCUACAAAAUCAACCGCCUCCGCCAGUUCUACAUGCGCAAAGUCAAGUACACUCAGACCAACUUCCACGAGAAGCUCUCCACCAUCAUCGAAGAGUUCCCUCGCCUCGACCAGAUCCACCCUUUCUACGGAGACCUCCUCCACGUCCUCUACAACAAGGAUCACUACAAGCUCGCUCUUGGCCAAGUCAACACCGCUAGAAACUUGAUCAGCAAGAUUGCUAAAGACUACGUGAAGCUCCUCAAGUACGGUGACUCCUUGUACCGUUGCAAGUGUCUGAAAGUCGCUGCUCUUGGUCGUAUGUGCACUGUGUUGAAGAGGAUCACUCCUAGUUUGGCGUACUUGGAGCAGAUCAGGCAGCACAUGGCGAGGCUUCCUUCGAUUGACCCCAACACUAGGACGGUCUUGAUCUGUGGGUAUCCUAAUGUGGGGAAGAGUUCUUUUAUGAACAAAGUGACUAGAGCUGAUGUUGAUGUGCAGCCUUACGCCUUCACCACUAAGUCGUUGUUUGUUGGUCAUACUGAUUAUAAGUACUUGAGGUAUCAGGUGAUUGACACUCCCGGGAUCUUGGACAGGCCAUUUGAGGAUCGGAACAUUAUUGAGAUGUGUAGUAUCACUGCCUUGGCGCAUCUUAGAGCUGCUGUGUUGUUCUUUCUUGACAUCUCAGGGUCGUGCGGUUACACUAUUGCUCAGCAGGCGGCGCUUUUCCAUAGUAUAAAGUCUCUGUUCAUGAACAAGCCGUUGGUGAUUGUCUGCAACAAGACUGAUCUGAUGCCAAUGGAGAAUAUUUCCGAACAUGAUAAGAAGCUUAUUGACGAGAUGAAAGCUGAAGCGAUGAAGACUGCUAUGGGAGCGAGCGAGGAAGCUGUGCUGUUGAAGAUGAGCACUCUUACUGAAGAGGGAGUGAUGUCUGUGAAGAAUGCUGCGUGUGAGAGGCUGUUGGAUCAGAGGGUUGAGGCCAAGAUGAAGUCCAAGAAGAUCAACGACCACUUGAACAGGUUCCACGUGGCGAUCCCCAAGCCUCGCGAUAACGUGGAGAGACCACAUAGCAUACCUCAGGUGGUUCUGGAGGCUAAGGCUAAAGAAGCUGCUGAGAAGGAGAAGCGGAAGACUGAGAAGGAUCUUGAAGAGGAGAACGGAGGAGCUGGAGUGUACUCCGCUAGCUUGAGGAAGCAUUACAUCUUGGAGCACGAUGAGUGGAAGGAGGACAUAAUCCCUGAGAUCCUCGACGGUCACAACGUCGCUGACUUCCUUGAUCCGGACAUUCUGCUGAGGCUCGAGGAGCUGGAGCGGGAGGAAGCCAUCAGACAAGCUAACGGCGAGGAGGAAGAUUUUGAAAUGGAUGGCGAGGAGCUUACCGAGGAGCAGAAGGAGCAGCUUGCUAAGAUUAGGAACAAGAAAGCUGUGCUUAUCCGAGAGCAUAGGCUCAAGAAGACGGUUGCACAGAACAGAUCAACAGUCCCAAGGAAGUUUGAUAAAGACAACAAGUACACGACCAAGAGAAUGGGGAGAGAGCUGUCUUCUCUGGGGCUUGAUCCGUCUGCUGCGGUGGACCGCGCGAGGAGCAAGUCGAGAGGGAGGAAGAGGGACCGGUCGGAAGAUGCGAUGGAUGUGGAUGAUGAGCAAGAGGGGAACAAGAAGAUGCGCGUGAGGUCGAAGUCGAGGUCUAUGUCGAUAUCGAGGUCACAGUCUAGGCCGCCUGCUCAUGAGGUUGUGCCUGGCGAUGGGUUUAAAGACUCUACUCAGAAGAAGGCGGCGCUCAAGAUUAGCAACAGCUCUCACAAGAAGAGAGACAAGAAUGCGAGACGCGGUGAGGCUGAUAGAGUUAUACCGACUCUGAGGCCGAAACAUUUGUUCUCGGGGAAGAGAGGGAAAGGAAAAACAGACAGGCGUUGAUGAAACCAGACAAGGUACUCUAACAAACUCCAUUGUUUCUGUUAGUUUGGUGAUAUCUUAUCUCGAUAUUAAUGUGUUAUUUGGUUGUGUUAUUACAGGGAAAACAGAUGAUGGAUGGAUUGAAGAACAUGUCUCGAGUUUUGGAUUAUGCUUUACUUUUUGUUUACUACUAUUAUUAUGUUAUGCGUCUUUUGUGGUUUAUCGACAGACAUUAUAUGGAACAUUGUAGCUUCUUCUGCGAGCAUUGUGUUUCAAUGACUAAGAAUCGUUUUAAUAGAUUUAUUUUAAUUGAUCUUUUCAUUGCAAUGGUUAGUUAUAAGUUGGUGUUUAACAGUGCAAGUGAUCUAGUUCUUCUUUUUUGAGUCUAAAUCACAUCAAUGAGCUAUGUGCCAGAGCCUCAAAUCUUGAAAUUAUGUUUCUUUGGUGAAGAAAACUUGUGUGUUUUACUCGAGAUCCUUAACUUUUCUUUGUGUACAACUUUCACCUGAACCCUGUAAAUGCCUUGAUACUAAUUUACAAACUCAACACACCUUACGUUUUGAGUUUUUUCUCUAAACGUUCGUUAGAGCUCUUUUAGGAUCGUCGCUUGGGUUGCAAGGCAACAGUUGUUCAACAAUCUCAGUGAAAUGGUAAAGGUAAUUUUUUACCGUUGUGAUCAAUCUUUCUUCUUUUCUUAUUUGACUAAAGGAAAUACAGUUGUCACUCACAACUGACAUGCAUGCAUGAUAGAUUAUUACCGAGUCCCGAAAACAUACGACCGUUACACGGUAAGAAAGUUUAUUACUUUUGUGAUCAAUUUCCAUUUUCCUUUUGCAGCAUUAAUUAGAAAAGAAAAUUAUACUACGGACGUAUUGUUAUAAAUCAAGUGAUGAAUGUCUAUAACCAGCCCGAUACAUAAACCGACCGAAACCCUAGAGAGAGACGGUCCAAACCCUAGAGAGAGACGGCGGCCGCGACCUGGAGAGAGAGAAAGUCGGCCAUGACUUUUCAUUAUUCUAGUUUUCCUAUUCUUUUUUGGUUUAUGAUUUAGUAAUUAUCAUAAAUCAUGUUGGAUUAGGAUUUGUACUAUUUCCUUUUAUUUUUAUCUUGUAAUCCUUAUAUAAAGGAACAUAUGAUUCAUUAAUAAUAAGAACAAAAACAUUCAGUUCUCAGACCCUCUAUUUUCAACACGUUAUCAGCACGAUAGACUCCCAAAAACCUUGAGAAAGAAAAAUCGCUAAACCCUAACCUAAACCGACGAUCGUACCUAAACCCUAACCCGAUCGCAUACCGUCCGUUCCAGGAAGCUUUACCGUCCGUUCCAGGAAGCUUUACCGUCUCAGCCUGAUACGAUCUUAGCUCAGACGAUCUCUUACGUCCUCAGCUUGCAUCCCGGAUGACCUCAGCUUCACGUUCGGCAUCACAUCCAGCUCGCGUUCCAAAACAGACGCCCGCAAACCCGAUAGAAAGAAGACGCGCCCCGCUCCAACUCAGAUCGCGUCCAACGCCCUCAGCACACAUCCGCGACCAGACGCAAAACCGUUCCAGACAGCUCACGUCCGUCCUCAAACUCGCGACCUGAUAGGAGCCAGCGUCCGUACGGGUGAAGAUAGAGGUUCAUCCGACUUUGGUGGUCCGGUUCUCACCCCUACAAACAAAGGUAUAUCAUCAAUCUGAGAACAUAGAAGAACAAACCCUAAAAUCCUAAUCCAUUAUUAUGGAAACCCCUUGUUCUUGAUGAAACCCUAAAAUUCAUAUAACUUAAAAUCGACAAUCUCAUGACUAGUAACAAAAAUCGAUUCACUAGAACAUAUUUGAUUGUGUGUUGAUUGUUUCUGAUUUGAAUUUAAGAAACCCUAAUAAUUGGAAUUGAAACCCUAUAAACCCUAAAAAGCUUGAAUUCGUUUUUGAUUGAUAUUGCUUGAUUGAAUGAAUGAUUUGUUUGCUGUUCUCGGUUCAGUUUCAUUACAAAACCAUAUUGACUUGUUUGUUGUUUUGGUUCAGUUUUAUUACAAGACCAUAAUGAUUUGUUUGCUGUUCUUUUUUUUUUUUUUUUUUUAAUUUGAUGUUUUUUUAAUUCAUAUGUGCAGAUCAAUUAGCAAAAAAAUGGUGCAAUACAAUUUCAAGAAGAUCACAGUCGUUCCCAAUGGGAAAGACUUCAUCGACAUCAUCCUCUCACGCACCCAGCGCCAGACCCCAACCGUCGUCCACAAGGGCUACAAAAUCAACCGCCUCCGCCAGUUCUACAUGCGCAAAGUCAAGUACACUCAGACCAACUUCCACGAGAAGCUCUCCACCAUCAUCGAAGAGUUCCCUCGCCUCGACCAGAUCCACCCUUUCUACGGAGACCUCCUCCACGUCCUCUACAACAAGGAUCACUACAAGCUCGCUCUUGGCCAAGUCAACACCGCUAGAAACUUGAUCAGCAAGAUUGCUAAAGACUACGUGAAGCUCCUCAAGUACGGUGACUCCUUGUACCGUUGCAAGUGUCUGAAAGUCGCUGCUCUUGGUCGUAUGUGCACUGUGUUGAAGAGGAUCACUCCUAGUUUGGCGUACUUGGAGCAGAUCAGGCAGCACAUGGCGAGGCUUCCUUCGAUUGACCCCAACACUAGGACGGUCUUGAUCUGUGGGUAUCCUAAUGUGGGGAAGAGUUCUUUUAUGAACAAAGUGACUAGAGCUGAUGUUGAUGUGCAGCCUUACGCCUUCACCACUAAGUCGUUGUUUGUUGGUCAUACUGAUUAUAAGUACUUGAGGUAUCAGGUGAUUGACACUCCCGGGAUCUUGGACAGGCCAUUUGAGGAUCGGAACAUUAUUGAGAUGUGUAGUAUCACUGCCUUGGCGCAUCUUAGAGCUGCUGUGUUGUUCUUUCUUGACAUCUCAGGGUCGUGCGGUUACACUAUUGCUCAGCAGGCGGCGCUUUUCCAUAGUAUAAAGUCUCUGUUCAUGAACAAGCCGUUGGUGAUUGUCUGCAACAAGACUGAUCUGAUGCCAAUGGAGAAUAUUUCCGAACAUGAUAAGAAGCUUAUUGACGAGAUGAAAGCUGAAGCGAUGAAGACUGCUAUGGGAGCGAGCGAGGAAGCUGUGCUGUUGAAGAUGAGCACUCUUACUGAAGAGGGAGUGAUGUCUGUGAAGAAUGCUGCGUGUGAGAGGCUGUUGGAUCAGAGGGUUGAGGCCAAGAUGAAGUCCAAGAAGAUCAACGACCACUUGAACAGGUUCCACGUGGCGAUCCCCAAGCCUCGCGAUAACGUGGAGAGACCACAUAGCAUACCUCAGGUGGUUCUGGAGGCUAAGGCUAAAGAAGCUGCUGAGAAGGAGAAGCGGAAGACUGAGAAGGAUCUUGAAGAGGAGAACGGAGGAGCUGGAGUGUACUCCGCUAGCUUGAGGAAGCAUUACAUCUUGGAGCACGAUGAGUGGAAGGAGGACAUAAUCCCUGAGAUCCUCGACGGUCACAACGUCGCUGACUUCCUUGAUCCGGACAUUCUGCUGAGGCUCGAGGAGCUGGAGCGGGAGGAAGCCAUCAGACAAGCUAACGGCGAGGAGGAAGAUUUUGAAAUGGAUGGCGAGGAGCUUACCGAGGAGCAGAAGGAGCAGCUUGCUAAGAUUAGGAACAAGAAAGCUGUGCUUAUCCGAGAGCAUAGGCUCAAGAAGACGGUUGCACAGAACAGAUCAACAGUCCCAAGGAAGUUUGAUAAAGACAACAAGUACACGACCAAGAGAAUGGGGAGAGAGCUGUCUUCUCUGGGGCUUGAUCCGUCUGCUGCGGUGGACCGCGCGAGGAGCAAGUCGAGAGGGAGGAAGAGGGACCGGUCGGAAGAUGCGAUGGAUGUGGAUGAUGAGCAAGAGGGGAACAAGAAGAUGCGCGUGAGGUCGAAGUCGAGGUCUAUGUCGAUAUCGAGGUCACAGUCUAGGCCGCCUGCUCAUGAGGUUGUGCCUGGCGAUGGGUUUAAAGACUCUACUCAGAAGAAGGCGGCGCUCAAGAUUAGCAACAGCUCUCACAAGAAGAGAGACAAGAAUGCGAGACGCGGUGAGGCUGAUAGAGUUAUACCGACUCUGAGGCCGAAACAUUUGUUCUCGGGGAAGAGAGGGAAAGGAAAAACAGACAGGCGUUGAUGAAACCAGACAAGGUACUCUAACAAACUCCAUUGUUUCUGUUAGUUUGGUGAUAUCUUAUCUCGAUAUUAAUGUGUUAUUUGGUUGUGUUAUUACAGGGAAAACAGAUGAUGGAUGGAUUGAAGAACAUGUCUCGAGUUUUGGAUUAUGCUUUACUUUUUGUUUACUACUAUUAUUAUGUUAUGCGUCUUUUGUGGUUUAUCGACAGACAUUAUAUGGAACAUUGUAGCUUCUUCUGCGAGCAUUGUGUUUCAAUGACUAAGAAUCGUUUUAAUAGAUUUAUUUUAAUUGAUCUUUUCAUUGCAAUGGUUAGUUAUAAGUUGGUGUUUAACAGUGCAAGUGAUCUAGUUCUUCUUUUUUGAGUCUAAAUCACAUCAAUGAGCUAUGUGCCAGAGCCUCAAAUCUUGAAAUUAUGUUUCUUUGGUGAAGAAAACUUGUGUGUUUUACUCGAGAUCCUUAACUUUUCUUUGUGUACAACUUUCACCUGAACCCUGUAAAUGCCUUGAUACUAAUUUACAAACUCAACACACCUUACGUUUUGAGUUUUUUCUCUAAACGUUCGUUAGAGCUCUUUUAGGAUCGUCGCUUGGGUUGCAAGGCAACAGUUGUUCAACAAUCUCAGUGAAAUGGUAAAGGUAAUUUUUUACCGUUGUGAUCAAUCUUUCUUCUUUUCUUAUUUGACUAAAGGAAAUACAGUUGUCACUCACAACUGACAUGCAUGCAUGAUAGAUUAUUACCGAGUCCCGAAAACAUACGACCGUUACACGGUAAGAAAGUUUAUUACUUUUGUGAUCAAUUUCCAUUUUCCUUUUGCAGCAUUAAUUAGAAAAGAAAAUUAUACUACGGACGUAUUGUUAUAAAUCAAGUGAUGAAUGUCUAUAACCAGCCCGAUACAUAAACCGACCGAAACCCUAGAGAGAGACGGUCCAAACCCUAGAGAGAGACGGCGGCCGCGACCUGGAGAGAGAGAAAGUCGGCCAUGACUUUUCAUUAUUCUAGUUUUCCUAUUCUUUUUUGGUUUAUGAUUUAGUAAUUAUCAUAAAUCAUGUUGGAUUAGGAUUUGUACUAUUUCCUUUUAUUUUUAUCUUGUAAUCCUUAUAUAAAGGAACAUAUGAUUCAUUAAUAAUAAGAACAAAAACAUUCAGUUCUCAGACCCUCUAUUUUCAACACGUUAUCAGCACGAUAGACUCCCAAAAACCUUGAGAAAGAAAAAUCGCUAAACCCUAACCUAAACCGACGAUCGUACCUAAACCCUAACCCGAUCGCAUACCGUCCGUUCCAGGAAGCUUUACCGUCCGUUCCAGGAAGCUUUACCGUCUCAGCCUGAUACGAUCUUAGCUCAGACGAUCUCUUACGUCCUCAGCUUGCAUCCCGGAUGACCUCAGCUUCACGUUCGGCAUCACAUCCAGCUCGCGUUCCAAAACAGACGCCCGCAAACCCGAUAGAAAGAAGACGCGCCCCGCUCCAACUCAGAUCGCGUCCAACGCCCUCAGCACACAUCCGCGACCAGACGCAAAACCGUUCCAGACAGCUCACGUCCGUCCUCAAACUCGCGACCUGAUAGGAGCCAGCGUCCGUACGGGUGAAGAUAGAGGUUCAUCCGACUUUGGUGGUCCGGUUCUCACCCCUACAAACAAAGGUAUAUCAUCAAUCUGAGAACAUAGAAGAACAAACCCUAAAAUCCUAAUCCAUUAUUAUGGAAACCCCUUGUUCUUGAUGAAACCCUAAAAUUCAUAUAACUUAAAAUCGACAAUCUCAUGACUAGUAACAGAAAUCGAUUCACUAGAACAUAUUUGAUUGUGUGUUGAUUGUUUCUGAUUUGAAUUUAAGAAACCCUAAUAAUUGGAAUUGAAACCCUAUAAACCCUAAAAAGCUUGAAUUCGUUUUUGAUUGAUAUUGCUUGAUUGAAUGAGUGGUGAUAUGAAGAUUGCUAGAUUGAUUGAAUCUCAAAACUAAAACCCUAAAGGCCUUGAAACCUUAAAUCUCACAUUGCUUGAAAGAUUGGUUUAAAGUUUAGGAUUAUUUACAUAUUGCAUGAAAGUUAGGUUGCUAGAUUACUUGAUUCUAAAAACCUAAAAUCUAGCUGAUCAUUACCAACCUUGAAAUUGGUAAAACCUAAUUGAUAUGCAACUAAAUAAUAAGAUUGAAUGCAUCUAAUUUGAUCAUCAUGUUUUUACAUUAUGGCCGUGUGGCUUUGCUUGAUAAUAUUGACUAGCAUUGUUUAAAUCAUGAGAUUAAAAGUCGUGUGGCAUAAUGCAUAUCUAUGUAGCCGUGUGGCCUAGUAUCCGGAUGGUCAUAUGACCCGGAUCGCAUUAUGAUCCGAUCUUUAGGAUCGUUGCAUUACAUUAUAAUGGCCAUGAGGCCUAAGCAUCACAAUAUGUGACCGUGUGGUCCAAGAAUCAUAUAUAGACUUUGCAUUCUCGAGUUGUCUCGCACCAUGGUCGAGUAGUAAAUUGUUUUGGUCGAGAGAUUUAUGAAAUCAUAUGCACUAAUUAUUCUGAAUUAGUUGCACUCUAAAUCAAGAAUUGAUUAAUAAUAUGAUUUCAGAUGCCGAGAUUUGAGCCUUUGGAUUAUGCCAUCCUAAAUCUCUCUGGAGAUAAUUAUCCAGAAUGAGAAAUGAACACUUCAAUUGCCCUGAAGUCUAGAGGACUCAGGAAAUAUAUCAUUGAUGGCAAUAAUGAAAUUGAAAGUAAAAAGCAUAGAGCCAUAACAAUUAUGCGCUAUCAUCUCACUGAGGAACUGAGAAAUCAAUAUCAAAAUAUUGAGGAUCCUUGUGACCUUUGGAUAAGACUAAAAUCCAGAUACUCAAUGGAAUUAUGGCGAAAAGCCAUGAAUGAAUGGAAGAUUCUCAAGUUCCAGGAUUUUGAAUCCGUGGACAAAUAUAAUUCUGCUCUGAUGAAAAUCGCCCAUAGUCUUGAACUAUGUGGUGAAGUGGUAACAGAUGAGGAUUUAUUAUAUAAAACCUGUUCCACAUUCCAUCCAAAGGAUCAGUUGUUAUCAUAUAAGGCUAAGGGUUUCACAACCUAUAAUGACCUAUUGUCAUACCUAUUGACAACUGAACAAAGAGAGCAGAAGGUUAUAGAUACCAUUAGCAGAUUUGAAAAACUUUAGAAAAGAUACAUAGAGCAACAAAAGCAGUGAGAUGAGAUAUCCUGAGGAAUUGGAUCACGAUGAAUCCAAGGCAGCCGUGUCCACAAUAACAGAAGCUGUGGCCGGCUUAUAGAAAAGAUCUCGACGUUUUAUAUUUUAAAUCUUUGAUUUUGUGAUUUGCUUUAAACCUAAUUGUCAUUCACGAUUUUAUAUAUAUAAUAGAAUUUUUUUUGAGAUCAUUACCUUGCCUGAUCUUACUUGAAUAUAUGAAUGAUUCUAUUGAUAAUGAAUCGCCUAAAGGGCAUAGGCAUUACCAAGUAAGAAAUCGUGAAUGGGGUAUAGUAGCCUAGUAAGAAACUAUGGCCAAGGCAUUGUCUAAAGGGCAUUAGAUACACCCAAUAAUAUGUGACCCAUUGAGUUAUAAUAAAAUGGUUUCUAAAUAGAAACAAUGGGCAAACAAAAGGAAAUAAGUUCCUUCAGAUUUGAAAGAAAAUCACCUAAGACCUUAAAAGAAAGUGGUCAAGACUAUACCUACGUACUCUACUGAUCAAUACUAUGCUACAUAUCAGUAUGAUAAGAGGCAAGAGCCGUGGUGACUAUACUGAUAUAUCCCACGAAAUCAUAAACUUUAUGGCAAAACCGGAUUAGCUAUCCUAAGUCUAAAUUUGAUGCAAAGAUUAAUAUUGAAAAGGCACAAAGAAGUAUGCCGGAAAAGAUCUCACGUUCUGUAACUUGUACACAAAGGGAAAUUCAUUACAGUUUUAUUGUCUCAAGCACCACGAUAUUAUAGUAUGUUCAUGAGGGGGAGAGAGGAUAAACCCAUGAUCAAUACUACAAGUUCGUGUACUACUAUGGUCUAAGACCAUGUUUUAAACAGCCAAACCAUAAAGGCCAUUACUCAGCCGAAGAGACCAUGUCAUAAAUGGCUCGACCGUAAAGGCCAUAACCGGCCGGAAAGACCAUUACCUACACAGGUUCAGCCAUAUAAGCCAUUAUCUAUAAGGAUAAGACUAUAAAGUAUAUAAGCUUGGAGACAUUAUGAAUUUACAUGUAUAGAAUGAUAAUUUGCACCAGGCCAUAAAAAUGAGCAUGGAUAUUCUCAUCUCAGAUUAAAUACGGGUCAUAAAACCAUACAUACACCAUCUUAAGAGCUUUGAAUACACCACCACAGAUAUAUGUGUGCCGUCUAAGAUGGAACCUCAGAAGAGGAUUGAGAAUAUAUGUUGGAUAAGAAUAGGACUUUCUCCACGAAUUCAAAGAGACUGUGAGCCAAAACAUGGGUGAUCAAAUAGUGGCCAGGUACACGGAUUGCAUGAUCAAUGAAUCCAUCUAUCCAACAUCAUAAGGAGAAAGCUAUAAGCUGGUAAAGAGCAAAGAAAUAAUUAUAAAAGAAUGAAUGGUAUCAACCAUCAUGGUCUUGGCAAAGAUCCUCGGAUUAGAAUUGUAGACGUCCAAAGUAAAGAAAGAUUAUAAAAAGGCUAGCUAAUCGAGAUGCCAGACACUGACCCGAAUAGAAAAGAAUGACUAAGUCAUAAACCAGAUUAGCACCAAAAAAAAUCUGAUGUCCUUGAAAGAGACACAGUCAAGUUGCUAUAGAGUCUACACAAGAUAGACCAAGUGUUCCAUAAGAUAAGGAACCUCGGAAAGAAAAUGGUGCAUAGAAUCCGAGGUUAUAAGAGAAAUCAUACCAGACAUUGAGAAAAGGCUGCGCAGCUACACAUCUAAGGUACCAAACCAUGUGGCUUGGGACGCCAAGCUGCUAGGAAAUAAAGAUCCUGGAUAAUAAGAUCUCGAAUCUAUUAGAUCAUGUCUGGAACAUAAUGGAACCACAUGAAAGUGUCGACACACACACACACAUAAAGAUAUAUUUGUAUAAAGAUACAUAAGAGAAUAGCACUUGAACAUAAAGAUAUAAAACAAGGAUCAAGAACCCACGAAAGAAUACUCAUAAAGAUCAUAAAAGAAUAGAGAUUAAAGAUAAACGUGGGAUUUUAUACAAUCUAAGGAGAUGGGCGGAUUGGCCAUAUACAUAAACGCCAUCUGAUAAACCAGUGAAUAGAUGAGUCUAGUGAGAUAAAGAAACCGUGAGAAAAGACACAUGAUCACGAGGCCUAAAGAUGAUUCAUGUUUUCCUAAUAACAGCAUUAGAUCAUAGCUUGUUACACAAGGAUACUCACAGAGACUAUGGAACAUAUUAUAAAGAGAUAAACUCCUAUGUGGUGGAUGCUGCUACAUAUUCAAAUUUAACAAUGGUCUGGUCAUAAGAAAAAAGAAAAUAGAUUGACAUAUAAUGAUGCAGUAAGCAGCAUAUGGAUCACUGGAUGAAAGAACAGCAUUGUUCCUAAGCUGUUCAUGGACUGGAACAAAAGCAACUGCAUAUAUAUUAUGAAAGGGAGUUCUAUAAGAACGAUCAAAUUCAGUCUAUAUGAGGAUUUAUAAAGAAAUUCGAAAUCCUAGUUUUUAUACUAAACCUAAAGAGGUUAGUAGAUUGAUAUAGAUUAUCUAUUAAUCUGUAACCCUAGCAUGGACGGGCUAGUAGAGAAGAAAGAUCUGCCUAAAGGAAAGUGAUCUAAAUUGCCUCGGUUUGUUAUCUCAUAUAACAUGUCUUCGAAUUGACCAAACCGACAUCAGAUCCAUUGAUUAGGAUCCGGCAUAGCAAAAUAGUUUGCUACUGCUGUUACUCCCACGAGGCAUUGUCGUGAGGAUGAGAGGAGACGUUUUAUACAUCACUCUCGAUCAGAUACCAAAGUGUAUGUUGUCCAUCAGCUCGUGUAAUCGAGAUUCAUGACCUAAUAGAUGUAUAAUCAAACUCGUAUAGCCAGUGUGUGAUAUGAUCCACAGCAACAGAGGUCAUGGGACGCCAUCAAGAGAUGGAUAGAGGACUGCAAUGUCCGAGACAUAUAUAUAUAUAUGGCAUCACCGAAUGCAAAAGAGAGAUCGAUGACCGCAUGUAUAGACAAUGUCUAUAAUUCAAAACAUGGCUCGAUCAGUAUGGUCGAGGUAGUGAGAAGAAGAAACUCAUACCAUCCGUACUUUAUCAUCAUCACGGAUCAUAAUAGCCAAAGGGAGUAUCCGUGAACUUAUGAAGUUGAAGUCUAUGACUCAACAUGGAUCAAUUAAAUUAAGAGUAUGAUGAUAAUAGAAAGAUCAAUGGACAAAGGCAUUGGUACACAUCCGAGUGGUACACAUCCGUGUAGUAAGACACCGGAUCAUAGUCUCAUAACCUGAGAUCAUUAAUUCAUAGUAUCAUGCUCGGAAUAUUGUCCAUGAGUAUGCUUAGUUUGUCCGACCAAAGCAUAAGAACAGUCGAUGGUAGACGAUCACGUCUAGACCAUGUACACGUUUUGCAAAAGGAUCCAUGCAUACAUGAUUUGCAAAAGAUUUGAGGACAGUGUGGUUCACAUUGAUCAGCUCAUCUAUUUCAAUAAGACACACGAUGUCAAAGGACAUGAGAAAGGACCUAAGAGGUCAAAGUGGUCUAAUUACGGUACAGAAAUAAAACUGGCCGAUUCCCCACCUGCAUGUUCAGGACAGUUCACGCAUCUGAUGCGUAGACUAAAGAACUUCCACUGAGGUUCACAUCAGGGGGAGUAGUACGUGUUGUACUCUUUUUCCUUCAUCAUGGUUUUGUCCCACUGGGUUUUCCUGAUAAGGUUUUAAUGAGGCAACGUGAAGCGUAUUACGGAUCCUGUAUGGUUAUGGCAUCCAGGGGGAGUGUUAUAAAUCAAGUGAUGAAUGUCCAUAACCAGCCCGGUACAUAAACCGGCCGAAACCCUAGAGAGAGAGACGGCCCAAACCCUAGAAAGAGAGACGGCGGCCGCGACCUGGAGAGAGAGAGAAAGUCGGCCAUGACUUUCCAUUAUUCUAGUUUUCGUAUUCCUUGUUGGUUUAUGAUUUAGUAAUUAUCAUAAAUCAUGUUGGAUUAGAAUUUGUACUAUUUCCUUUUAUUUUUAUCUUGUAAUCCUUAUAUAAAGGAACAUAUGAUUCAUUAAUAAUAAGAACAUAAACAUUCAGUUCUCAAACCCUCUAUUUUCAACACAUAUCUCUUACUUCUUCUAUUACUCACUCUUUUACUUCACUCGACGCAUCCAAAAUUCCCACUCUUUAUUUCUUUAUGAUAAUUGCUGUUUCUUCUCGAGCAAAGCUUUUUUUUUCUGAAAAAGAAUAUUUUGUUACGGGGAAACUUAUAUGUUGCAUCACUUUGCUUCAUGGUGUGUUCUUCUAGAGGAUUUUCUGGCUGUGACAGAGGUUAUACCAUAGUGGAAACGAGGGAAGGGCAAGCCAGAUGACGAAGCCAUUUCGAUCAUGGAGAGGUUUACGAGCACCUUCUCGAGCCAGAAUGUUUUACUGAGACGAACUCUUUCUCUCCUGGCCUCAUCCAUAAUAUUAACAUGAGGAAAACAUCUCGUUUCGUGUCAAAAGAUUGACAUCGGAUCCGGUCAGUUUUUCUUUUUAAACUAAAAAAACUAUUUCUUUUUUUUUUUACUUUUUAUUUUUGGUUUUAAUUAAAUUUUGAUAUUAUAUAAUAUAUAUUGCACAAUUCUGUCUAUAAAAUUUUCUAUGGUCCGUUAGCGGGGUAUAUGUUUAAUAUGUUAUUCGUAUUGUAAAUUUAAGACUUAUACUAGUUUUCAUUUUUGAGAAAGGUGUAGGUGAUAAAUUUCAAUAUGUUAAAAACAAACCAAACUAUUGCAUCCAGUCUAUAGAAUUUCUAUAGUCCGUUAGUUUGGUGUACAUGUUUAACAUGUUUUUUAAUUGUAAAUUUAACACUUACACUAAUUUUCAUUUUGGGAAAAAGUUUAAGGUAAUGAAUUGCAAUAUGUAGAAGCAAACCAAACUAUGGUCCGUUAGCUUGUGUAUAUGUUUAAUAUGUUAUUCGUAUUGUAAAUUUAAGACUUAUACUAGUUUUCAUUUUGGAGAAAGGUGUAGGUGAUAAAUUUCAAUAUGUUAAAAACAAACCAAACUAUUGCAUCUAGUCUAUAGAAUUUCUAUAGCCCGUAAGUUUGGUGUACAUGUUUAACAUGUGUUUUUAUUGUAAAUUUAACACUUACACUAAUUUUCAUUUUGGGAAAAAGUUUAAGCUAAUGAAUUGCAAUAUGUAGAAGCAAGCCAAACUGUUGCAUCAUGUCCAUAGAAUUUUUUAUGGUCUGUUAAUAGUGUAAUAUAUAUUUUUAGUAUUGUAAAUUUAACACUUAAAACUAAUUUUCAAAGUUUUCCUUGAGUAUGCAAAGUGUUUUGAUUUAUUUUAAAGUUUUCAACAAUAUGUUUAAUAUGCUUUUUCCCUGUUAUAUAUUUGGCGAGGGAAGGGCAAGCCAUCGUGGAGGUGAUCAAAAGUUAUUGAUAAGAAGGAAUCAGAGAUCGAGGAGAUACACUGAAACAGAAAGAGGUAUCAAGAAACUCAAAAGUAAGUUUAAUAUGUUUAUAAAGUGUUUUGAUUUUAAUCACUUGCUUCAUAGCCUUACUGUUUUGUCUUCUUUUGGAGGAUUUUUUGGCCGUACCAGAGUGGGGACGAGAACCAAGUUAGAUACUGAAAGAGAAGAGUAGCAAGAAACUCAAAAAGUAAGCCAAAGUGGAGCUGGAGAGUUCACAUUCACAGCAUAGUGAGAUUUCCUUAAACAGAUAGAGUUUCAAGAAUGCAUUUAUUACAAUGACUAUUAACAUACUUAUGGGGUUUGAUAAAAUUUUCAUAACAAUUUGUAAUAGAUAAGUUUAUAUUUCCCGAAAUCAGAGUUAAUAAUAUUUCAGACUGAAACUGAGAAACAGAAUCUUCAGAAGAUUGAAAAAAGAAACUGAGAAAGCGAAACUCCAAGUAUCAAUUUUAUUGGCAUCAUAAAAAAACAAGAUGUUGCGGAUACAUGUUGAAGGGAAAGCUUUACGAUGAAUGAUUCUCAUCGGAUUUGUAAGUUUUUUGAUCAUCACCAGCCUCACUACUAUGAUGUACAUUAAGGAUAAGAGAGUGUCAAUGUUUGACAAAUGACAAAGUGCCAAUAAAAAGUAAAAUAAACAUUAGACUAAAAUGGUGCGGACAUUGUGAUGUGCACGUUCAGCGUUACAUACUGCUCAACAAAUAUUUAAUUACUAGAUUAAGACCCGCGAUAAACAUUAUAUAUAUAAAUUAUUUUAUGUAUUAUAUGUUCUUACGUAUUAUGAAAUAAUAGAUAUAUAUUGAAUAAUUAAAAGUCAGUAACUAUUACAUAUAUAAUUAAAUUGGUGCGAACGUAUAAAUCAAUUUUAUUAAUCUAAACAUUUUUUUUAAAACAUUUGAUAGGAUAUGUAAUUAAAUUUAAAAGAUAUUAACAUACAUAGUAUAUUUUUAAUAUUAAUGUCUAUUUUUUUUUAAAAUGAUGCUUUCUACUCAUAUGUAUUUUUAUCAAGUGUAUUUUUAAUAGCAAAAACUUUAAAUUACUGAUAACAAAAUUUUCAUUGUGGGAUUAAUAGUUUUAGUAAUUGAUAAUUUUAAAAAAUUUAUCAAUGUUAAUUCAAAACUUUUAUCAAAAAAAAUUAUUUAAAGUAAAUUUUGAAACUAAAAUAUUUAUUUAUUCAAUAUGGUUUAUAGUUUAAUUUAGAAUGAUAUAUAUACAUAUAUAUAUUUUAAAUCUUAAUGAUUAAUUAAAUUAAAAUUUUAUUUAUAUGAUUUUGUAAUCAUUUGUAUUUUGUCAUAACAAAAAUUUUAAACCAUGGAUCGCAAAAUUUGAAUGUGAGACUUUUAACAGUUUUAGUAAUUUAUAGUCAUUUUUUAAAAUUCAAAAUAUAAAAUAUACAGAAAAAUCUAAAUUUUUAUAAUAUGGUUAUUGUGUUUUUUUAAAAUUAUUUUAAUAGUUUUAAAUUAAACAAAUUUGAUAGAAGAUACAUUUUUUUUUUCAGAUCUUUAUUAUUCAAAAUCAUUAAUUGUCAUAUAUACUUUACCCACAUUAGGCAAUUCCGUAAUCUUUAUUUAAGGAAAUAAUAAAUGACAUUAAUAAUGAAUUUAUGGUUAAUUUAAUAAAAAGUUUAUUAUAUAAUUAGAUGGACCAACCUAUUUCUCUAAUAAUUCUAAGAAUCAUCUUAGUGAUGACAUGUGGCUACAAAAAGAAGUCGUAAUGUUUCACAAAUAAUAUAUAUGGGAUAAAUAACACUGACCUCAUGACAAUGCAACUACAAAGAGCCAAAUCUUAAGUUUCACAAACAAUAUAAGACCGUUUUAAAAAGAUAGAAACUAACAAAACACACACAUAACGCUCUCUGUCUCGAGUUUUAAAAUGCAUGAGAACAACACAAAGACAACACCAUCCAAUGAACAAACAUCCCAGAGCUCCAAAUGAUCUCUCUAUUCCUGCAACACUCUUUUUGAAGAGAUCUCAGGAUUUGGUUUUUAACGGUACGAUUCAGGACGUUUAGGUUUGCUCUGUAUCACUUGCUCGAUCUUGUCCAGAACAUGUGGUGUCAACAGUGGGAUCACAUCAACAGCCUUCAUGUUUUCUUGAAUCUGUGUUAAAAAAAAAAAAUCUUAGUCAAAGUCUAGACUUAGACAUUCCCUAUGCUCCUGAGAAUGUGGGGUUAUAAGUAACUGACCUGUGAUUCCCUUGUGGCACCGGUGAUAACUGAUGACACAUUAGGAUUUGAAGCACACCAUGCUAUUGCAAGCUGAGCCAAGGUUACACCUAGCUCAUCUGCAAUAGGCUUGAGACCGCUGACUUUCCUCAGCACGUCAUCCACAAGUGAUCUAUUGGCAAGGUUCUGCAAAACAGUAAGAUGUAUUAAGAUGCAGUUGAAAACAGUUAUGACCAAAGAGCAAUAACAAAAGGAUUUACUUUGUAGUUCUCCAGUGCAAAUCGGCUGUCCGAAGGAAUAGCUCCCUUGUUGUAUUUACCAGUGAGCACACCGGAUGCAAGUGGACUCCAAGUAGUGAGACCUAUGCCAUGGUUUGUGUACAGAGGAAGAAACUCUGACUCCACCUGCAUAAACAUAAGACCACAACAAACUUCAGCUACAUAACAACAUUGGACUUAAUACACAAAGAAAGGGAAUGUAAGAUAACAAACCUUGUGCCUAGCGAACAUGUUGUACUCAGGCUGUUCAACGAUUGGACCGACCAGAUCCAGCCUCUCAGCAGCUCCCCAUGCUUCUGUGAUUUGCUGAGCUGACCAUUCACUAGUUCCCCAGUAGAAUGCCCAACCCUUAUCAAUCACGUAGUUCAUCGCCCUCACUGUCUCUUCUAUAGGAGUCGAAGCAUCCGGCCUGUGACAAAUUAAAUGAAGAUAUUGCUACUAAGAUCAAUCCAAAGAUGCCAACAUUUUGUUCAUUUAUUGAUCAUAACACAUCACAACGAUAUCAAGAUGCAGAUCCAGAGAUUUUGGGAGCUUUGGGAGAUUUAGUAAAGAUUUCAAUAAUUGUUUUUUUUAUAACAAAUUUGGAAGCUAAGGUAAGUCUAUGUAAUGGUUCAUUCGGCUUUUCUCAGGAUUGGCCCUGGAUCAUCGAGAUAAUAAUCAGUAUGAACGAGUCAAGAGAUCAUAUGAAAACUAAAAAUCUACAACUAAGUCAUGCAUGAUGAAUAAUGUUUCUAAAAAUGAAGCUAUUGCUACUAAGAUCAAUGCAAAGAUGCCCACUUUUAGAUCUGUCUUAAUCAUCACAUAUCACAAAGAUAGCAAGAUGGAUGAUGCAGUUGAUUCCAAGAUAAUGUUUCCAAAAGUGAAACGUAUAUUUCAAGAUACAGAGACCAAAGCCCAUCACUUGAGAAUUAAAUGCAAGAGACAACAUAGUACAUUAAGACAAAGAUUCAUUCUCACAAAGCCUAAGGGCAUCUCCAACCCAUAUCUAAUUUUUCCUCUAUAAUUCCCACAAAAAUAAGAGUCAAAUCAUUAUCACAUUUAAAAAAAAAAAGACUGAAUCUUUAUUCACCUGUGACAAUAGAGCACAUCGACAUAUUCCAUAUCGAGUCUUUUGAGAGAAGCUUUGGUGCCUUCAACGAUAUGUUUCCUCGACAAACCUUUGUCGUUAGGACCAGGACCACCCCAGAAGAUCUUGGUGGAGACGACGACGUCGGAUCUGCGCCAGCCCAGCUCACGAAUCGCCUGGCCCAUAAUCUCCUCGGCGCGACCAUUGGCGUAAACCUCGGCGUUGUCGAAGAAAUUGACUCCGUGGUCACGGCAACACUGAAGAAUCGACUUGGCUUCUUUCACAUCUAGCUGGUUGCCGAAAGUCACCCACGCUCCGAAAGAGAGCGUGCUCACCUUCAGACCAGAUCUCCCCAAGUUCUUGUACUGCAUCGUUGCAGGAAUCGAGACAAAUCUGUUUGAUCUGAAGAGUUGAAAUGAGCGAUGAUCAGACAAUUAAGUAUGUACUUUAUUAGCAAUAAAUAACAAGUGACACUUAAAAGAAAAAGUGCGAUAAGAUCCGGUUUGGUUUAACUUUUCCGGUACAGGUUAACCAAUUUCGAUAUAAGUUCAUUUUCUUGACAUCAAUUUCGAAUAAAUUUUAUGGUUCAGUCACAAUCGAGUUUAAUAUUUGGAUAUAUUUUAUGGUUCAGUCGCAAUCGAGUUUAAAAAGACGUCGAAAAUUUGAUUAUUUGAUACGGUGUUUUCCGGUUUGAGGGUACUCCGGUUUAGUGAAUUUAAAUCGGUGUCGUACUUCCGACCAAACAAAUUAAAGAUGUGUGAUCUCGUACUUUAAAAGAAACGCGUGAUAGCGUUCGUAGUACUUUAAGUUAUUAAAAAGGUAAAAAGUUUGAAAGGAGAAGAUUUGUUGGUUCUUAGAGCAUCCACGGUGGUGGCACUCAUCAUGGAACCCUUAGAAAUUUAAAAAUAUUUUUUUUUUAUUAAAUAGUUAAAUAUCCUAACUAAAUAAGUGUUUACAAUGGUGAAUCCUAAUAAAAAAUCCUUACACUAAAUUUUUUUUUUUUUAAAAGUGAAUUACCAAAUGUUUCAAUAAUAUAGCAUGAAUAAAUUUAAAAUCACAAUAAUUAAAAAUAAAGAUACAACAAUUAUUAAUAUUCAUCACCAAAUUUGUUCCACACAUUUUGAAUUAAGUCAUGUUUCAAUUGGGCAUGCAUAUUCCUAUCACGAAGAUCAUUCCGAUUGGGAAACAUAUUAUUCAGAUUUGUAGGUCUCUCCGUUUCCACCUGUGAAGUUCUAGUGCUGUCUCCUUCUUCAAAUUCAGAUAUAUCGAUACGAGUGUAUCCGUCCCGUUCAUUUUCGACUAUCAUAUUGUGUAGGAUGAUACAUGCUCUCAUAAUCUUUCCUAUCUUUUCCUUAUCCAAAGUUUUUACCGGGUUUCUCACAAUCGCAAAUCGAGCUUGCAAUACUCCAAAAGCCCGCUCUACAUCUUUUCGGGUAGUUUCUUGAAAUUUAGCAAAUAACUGUUCCUGAGGACUUUGAGGGAGGGUGAUAGAUUGGAUAAAUGUUGACCAUUUUGGAUAUAUACCGUCUGUGAGGUAGUACGCCAACUUAUACAUGUGUCCGUUGACCAUGUACUUUACCCUCAGAGCUUUACCUUGUAAAAUGUCAUCAAAAACAGGAGAGCGAUCGAGAACAUUAAUAUCGUUUAAGGUACCUGGAGGACCGAAGAAAGCGUGUCAUAUCCAAAGAUCGUGUGAAGCUACACCUUCGUCAAAAUCGAUUGGAAAUCGCCUUUUAUCGCCUUUUCUCGACAGCUUUCUUUUUUUUUCUCUCCUUCGUCGAAAAUGAAUUUUUUUUUCUGUCUCCAGCAAAGACGAAUGAAUCUUCCGCCAAUACCCACCUGCCACGUCGCCCAAGGUUCAGCUCCCUCGACCCCUUACUUACGGGUUGAUCAUUAGAUAAUUAUGCUGAAAUAUAGUUUUUAUAUUACCAUUAACUUUGGUGACCCUUAGGAAUCGCUAAGGGCUUCCGUUGCGGUUGGUCUUAAUGGCCACAAGAUAAACAUGUGGUGGCCAUGUGGUUGUGCCUUUAGUCUAAUCAGUAAUCUCCAUCUUUCACUAAUUGGAGAGUUGUCUUGUAAUGGGAGAGCGUUGGCGUAUACGAAUAAAAUCAAGUCACUGUCACGUGAAAAUUGCUCAGCUCCCUUCUACACUCAUGCUCACACCCAAAGAGAUGCAUAUUGAACUCUGUUUCUUUUCAUGUGUUUUGGGCUUUGUUUCUAUGUAGGCCACUUCAAGGCCUAUAAUGAUCUUACUUUACAGAUUUUCUAGUUAACUCUUUCACAUGAGAUGGUGGAUUUUGCAAACAAGUUGGGCUGAUAACAAUCAAAUUUCUCUCUUUUUUGACAAAGGGCUAAUCAAAUCCUGAAAUGAUGCUUUGGUUACAUAUUUAUUAUCAAUUAUAUAACCUUAUCGAACGACAUUUUUAAUUCUCUAAACUUUUUAAAAGUUAUAUUAUCCAGCAAUUGAACGUACUAUAUUAUACAAAAUUGGUUUGUAAGCUAGCGUAUAUAUUAUUUCGCUAUUUUACUAGGUUACCAAACAAGCUAUAUAUAUAACUAUUAUGCUUAAUUUUUGGUUAUUAUAAUAGAGAUUCAUUUGUAUAAUUAAAAUAGGGAAUUUUAGAAAGGUAAAUAUUUAAUACUAAUGUUUUUGACAUUCAGGUUUAUAAUUAUGAGUAGAUAUUAGGUAAAGUUUGUAAUGAAUUAUAAAGUUAUUUGGUAAUGAAUGGGUUGGGGAAACAUAUGGCACUUGAUGCCAUGCAUGUGAGUGUGGGGUUUUGCUUCGUUAUCCAUCUUACAGAAAAUUCUAGUUUUAUCGGCCACCAAGAAAGAAAGAAAAGGAGGCAAAGAUCAAAAAGUCUGUCCAAAUCUCCUACCAAAGUGUUGACAUUUGUUUCUUGAGUUUUUAUAUUCAUUUCCUCGUACGUUAUCAAUUACUAUUGUCUGAGAUAAAUGAAUUUAUUAAUCUACAGAACACAAUCAAAGAGUUUCAUGUACUGAAAGUAUUGUUUCCCAUUCUGUUCCGCAACGUGCCAAAAUUUUGGUAUAAUUUUUGGCUGAGUUAGUCAUAUUUGUUAUCACUGCAAAGUCCAUCUCUAUAACGUCUUUUGCAAAUAAAACCAACUAAAAUUUUGAGAAACCAAAAAUCUCUGUAUUCUUUCUUGUAUAAAAAUCUUGUCAUCUAGUUUAUAACAAAAGCAACAGAUAGAAUAACAGACAAAAGAAAAACGACGUCUCAUUAUAGCACAAACGAUGACAUCGAGUGACGAGUGGAUCCAAGCUCCAACCAUUCGAUAAUUAAGUAACGUUUUGGGAGUGUCGGUGCUCCGGCUAAUAUAGUAGGUUAGCAACAAACGAUAAAUAAAAUAAUUCGAAUCAUGAAGAUGACAUCUCGGUGAUUUGAUUCAAGUUGAUCAAAUCAAACACUUACAUGCUGUAACGUUAAGAAGACAAACACUUACAUGCAAUAAAGAUGUCGUAAAUGGAAUGUGAUAAUAAAAUCCAGUCAAACAAUAUAUUUGUACACAGAACAUGAACACUAAAGUCGGAUAAUCGUUACUUGCUGUUUUUCACUUAUAUGAGGAAAGGGAAACAUAAAAUAAAAGGAUUUUUACCGUUAAAACCCCUCAACUAUGUUUGUUUUGGGUAAAAAUCCUGGAACUAAGUAUUUAACGUAAAAGCCUCCAAACUAACUUUAUUUAAUGAAGUAAAUCCUAACAUGUCAUAAUUACCAAUACUACUGGUAAAUCUUUAGUUUACGGGUUUAUACAUUAAGUAAACAUAGUUGAGGGGCUUUACCAUUAAAAAUAAAAAAAAAAUCAAAAUUUUAUAAUAUUAUCUAAAAAUUAGUAACUUAAAUUUUCAAAAUUAGCAUUUUUAAUUUUUUUUGUAAAUAUAUGAGUUUGAUGUGUUUUUAACAUCAACAUUAUAUAUGUAUAAAUUAAAAAUGUAAAAACCGAGAAAAUAUAACAAAAAUUAUAUAAAGAAUUUAGACGCAGUAAGACUUUCUUCCCUAACUUCCGGAUCAGAUAUAUUGCAAGAGCACAAAAUACUAUGGCGGACAAGCUUGCAAGUGGUGCGAGGAGUUCUCCUUCAGCUAUGUUAUAUGUCGAUUCAAUACUUUCGGUUUGGCUUUCUGAAUCGCACGGUCCAGUUACUUAGUUUUCGCUUAUGUUGUCAAAAAAAAGUUACUAAUUUUUAAAUAAUAUUAUAAAAUUUUGAUUAUUUUGUUUUUAAAUUUUUAUGGUAAAACUCCUUAACUAUGUUUACUUAAUGUAGAAACCGCUAAAUUAAAAAUUUACCGGUAGUAAUGGUAAUUAUGACCUGUUAGGGUUUAAUUCAUUAAAUAACGUUAGUUUGAGAGUUUUUUCAUUAAAUACUUAGUUUGAAGAUUUUUACCUAAAACAAAUUUAGUUGGGGGGUUUUAACUUUAAAAAUCCAAAAUAAAAAGAGAUAAAAACGUUAAGUAAAAUAAAAGUGACUACGAUCCAAUUUGACCCGCGAGUUUUGGCCUAACCAAACAUUUCGCCCCAACAAGAUCUUUCUCUUUAAUUAUACCUUUUUGCACUUUUACAAAAGUAAUUUAAGCAGUAAAAGUGUAACAAAAAAAAGUUUCAAUAAUUAACAGUUACCACCCUUCCAACCUCUCCCAUGAUGAAAACACAUGGUAUACAUCAUAUAAUUAUAAUUUUGUAUAUAGAAAUAUGCUUUAAAAUAAAUUUAUACUAAUUUGUACAAAAUAUAUCUAUGAUUGAUUAGAAGGAAAAGUUAUAUCAUUGUUUUUUUCUUUUCUUUUUUUCAGUUCGGUAUGGAAUAUGAUUUAUUUUUGUUUCAAUUUGCUUUGAAUUCGUUUUCACAAUACAGUUUCCAGUCUGCUUUAAUCGUUUUGACCAAAUUUAUUGAGCAUCCCAGUUUCCAACUAAUAUAGUGAGAACAGAUUGAAACUUCUUUGGAUGGGUUAGUCAAUGACUCAACGCGUAUUCUUUAAGUUCUACGUGGAUUUUUCUUUCUUUACAAGCCGUGAUUUACGCCAUCGGAAAUCAAAGGAUAGUACCCGCCAAUUCAGCAAGAAACUAUGACAACUGGUUUCCGUAAUAUUCUGCUCAAGUAAUAUUCACAUCAUCACAUGUUGUUGAUGCGAAAGUGAAAGCAUCAGUUAGAAGCCAAUCAACUUGUUCUUUUGCUUCACUCAUAUUUGAAGUUACUCAGUUAUUCAUAAAUGAUAGAUCAAUAGUUAGUCGAUUACCAACUCAUUUUAUAUUCUUUAAAAAUUCAUAGUCAUUUAUAUGAACUUAUAACUACGCAUAAGCUAAUUAAUCAAGUAUAUAUCGACAGGAUAUAUACAAUUUUAGCAAAUGAUUUGAUUAAUGAAUAUUGUGUUUUUGAUGUAAUUUUCUUUUUAGUUAGAAUAACAUCUAACUAAAUUCUAAUGAGUAAGAUUAAUUUUAUUGUUAAUCAAUCAUCUAAAUUUUGUGGAAUCUGACUUCUUACUUACUCUCUGGUUAACUCAGUAAUAAGAUUUGGCAUUAUAAUUGAUAGGUUCAAAUCCCUUCAAUAUACAUUAUCCAUGUGUUGCAAGUUUUAUAUAAUUGAGUUAUGAAAUUUUUUUUAUCAUAUAUAGACUUUUGAUCAAAAUGCAUUAAAGCAUGCAAUGUCUGUUAAUCACACACUUGAGCAGUUAGUGGAGGCUAGAGCUGUAAAUAAAGAGAUGGAGUUAACAACUAAUCACGUUAAAAAGGCAAAACGAAGAAUCAAAUUGUGUACACGACGUCGUAUCGUAUAGAUACAUGACGGCCGUCUUAACGUCUCUUUUGCGUGUCGUCUUUUUUUUUUGGCCUCUCCAUAUUCUAUAAAUCUCCAAGCUCGUACACUCACUGUCUUUUAUAACUCUCACUCCGCUCUAAUUCUUUCGGACAACGACAAACACUCUGCUCUAAUGACGGUUCUUCCGACAUGGAUUUUAGCUAUGAUGUGUCUAUUCUUCUUCGUCGGAGCAAUGGAGAACAAAACACACGACAAGAUCUCAUCUCUCUCCAAGUCUUUCUUUAUCCAUACACCUCUCUGUUUUUUUCUUUCUCACGAGAUUUAUAUAGACACAGAGAAGAAGAUUUAUUUUCAUCAUAUGUUUUACAUUAGUAAUUUGUUUACAUGUUUUCAUUCUCGUACUACAUAAAUUUCCCCAAGAUUUCUAAGAAAAUUUCCCAAAAAGAAUUAUAAAAUAUCAUUUGUUUUUACUGUUUAAUUUUUUUUUUCAGCCGACAAAAUUAGCAGCAGAACCAGGAUAAUUAAUAACUUGAGCCAUUGAAUUUUGUUCUGCGAUUCAGAUCUAACGCGAUCUAGACCGUACAUUCCGCUUUUUAGCUUGCAUACACGCAUGAGUCAACGCUAUUGUGUAGGUACACUUGACUCUGUUUAGAGUAAUUUACCGGUUUUAGCCUUACACAAUGCCGCUGUCGGAACUGUCUGCUAGGGUUAUUUACGUCAUAUAAUAGCACGUCCCUUUAAGUCUUAACUGUAGUGUGUGCACUCUCCAGUGAACAUUACUAUAAAGUCUAUGAAUUAAGGUCAACCAUUAGUUUUAUACUUUUAUCUAGAUUCUCAAUUUUAGAUUUCUAUAUUCUUCUUUAGAUCGGACCAAAUCGAAUGGAACAAACACGCAGUGACGAAUCCAGAUGAAGUAGCGGACGAAGUUCUCGCCUUGGCUGAAAUGUAAGUACUAUUGUUAUUUCAAUUUAUUACACAUUUACGUUUGUCCUUAUUUAACGGUUCUCUGUAACGCCGUUUACCUCUAGAAUCUUAGCCAAACAACCUAACACCGACACACGUCUAUGAAAAAAAAUCUUAAAAGUACAUAAGUAUCUAUCGUCCACCAUGUCAUGUGCACAUGUCCCAAUGUGAUUUUUUAAAAAAUAUUUAUUUUAAGUACAUAAUGAAACCGGGUAUGAUUCAUACAGGAGUGUAAGAAACCAUACCGAGAGGAGGAAGCUGGGUUACUUUACUUGCGGAACAGGCAACCCCAUCGACGAUUGCUGGCGUUGCGAUCGCAACUGGCACAAGAACCGCAAACGCCUAGCGGACUGCGGAAUCGGGUUCGGAAGAAACGCGAUCGGCGGUCGCGACGGGCGUUUCUACGUGGUCACUGACCCAAGUGACCACGACGCUGUUAACCCUAGACCGGGUACAUUACGUCACGCCGUGAUCCAAGACCGACCGCUAUGGAUCGUUUUCAAACGUGAUAUGGUGAUUCAGCUAAAACAAGAGCUCAUCGUUAACAGCUUCAAAACCAUCGACGGACGUGGCGCAAACGUUCACAUCGCUAACGGCGGUUGCAUAACGAUUCAGUUUGUGACGAACGUUAUAGUCCAUGGAUUGCAUAUUCAUGACUGUAGACCGACCGGGAACGCUAUGGUGAGAAGCUCGGAGACGCAUUUUGGGUGGAGGACGAUGGCGGAUGGUGACGCGAUUUCGAUUUUCGAGUCGAGUCAUGUUUGGAUUGAUCACAACUCGUUGUCUCAUUGCGCUGAUGGGCUUGUGGAUGCAGUCAUGGGCUCGACGGCCAUUACCAUCUCUAACAACCACAUGACUCACCACAACGAGGUUAUGUUGCUCGGACAUAGUGAUUCUUAUACGGAGGAUAGAGCUAUGCAAGUUACCAUAGCUUAUAACCAUUUUGGGGUCGGACUUAUUCAAAGAAUGCCAAGGUAAUAUAUAAAGACAAAAAAAAAUAUAUAUAUAUUUUGAUUAUUUUAUAUAAAAAAAAUAUAAAGACAAAACAAAAACAGAGUAUGCUCUGUUUCUAUAAAUAUGUUUUCUGACCAAUGCGGUAAACUUUCUUGAAGGUGUCGACAUGGUUAUUUCCAUGUCGUGAACAAUGACUACACUCACUGGGAGAUGUACGCCAUCGGUGGAAGCGCAAACCCGACAAUUAACAGUCAAGGAAACCGCUACGCCGCUCCUAAAAAUCCUUUUGCUAAAGAGGUUUGUGACAUUAUGGUGUUAUGAUGUUGAGUUUGUGACAUUAUGCUGUUUGUGAUUUUGUAACAUUAUGAUGUUGAAUAUUUUCGAUAGGUGACAAAGAGAGUGGACACACCGGCGAGUCACUGGAAAGGAUGGAACUGGAGAUCGGAAGGAGACUUGCUUCAGAACGGAGCUUACUUCACUUCUUCAGGAGCCGCUGCAUCUGGCAGCUACGCACGUGCAUCUAGCCUCGCCGCUAAAUCUUCUUCAUUGGUUGCAACCAUUACUUCUGACGCUGGAGCUCUACCUUGUCGCAGAGGUAGUCAAUGUUCCUCGUAGUUGUUUUUAACCUCCUCCCAACGUACCAUUACCCCCAAAAUUUAAAACCAUCUCCCAUUAUAUUCAGACAAAAGUGUACAUUCUCACACGUUUGUCAUGUAAAAUCAUUUUUUUGUUUGUGUGUGUUUGUGUCUAUCUUUAUCAACUUCGGGGUUGCUUGCUUCAAACGCAAGCUAACACAAGAAAAGGGGAAGAAAACCAACCUUUCAUGUAAAAUAGAAACUCCAGAAGUGUUGUUGGUUCUGUCUGAUCAACUCAGAUUCUUCUUUUUUCAUCUUUGUCAUUUACCUAGAAAAAAAGAAGAAUAUUAUGUCUUGUUUUUUUGUGUGUGUAUUCUUAAGGUUUAUAAUUUAAUAUAGGGUCUAAUGAUUUGUGAAUCUUUCUAUCUUUCUUUGUAUUUUUUUUUGUUAGCUGGAUUUGUUAACUUUAUUUUUCCCAUGUGGUUGCAAUCACUCUUGAUUAUACUUUAGCUUUUGGAGCAAAGAACUAAUAUUAAUUGGAAUGUUCAAACAAAAAAGAACUAAUAGUGGUGUGGGGAUUUAUAAAACUUUGCUAUAAUGAUAUUUAAAAUUUUAACACUAUGAAAAGUUUAACUGCGACCGUUUUUAAUAGCUAACCCUAUGUAUCACCCACAAAAGUUUUAUAUUUUUAAACUGCUUUUCGCUGUUUACAUUGGAUAACAGUUUUAUAUUACAAAUUUAUAAGAACUGUCGACCCAUAUUCUAAAGAAUAGAAUUAUAAUAAUAAAAUUAGCAUAUCUAUUUUAUUUAUUUUUUCUGCAUUGGAAAGUUGGUUGUUAGCAUGAAACGCAAGAUAAAUCUAAUGAACAGGCUAAAUCGGCUCCAUGUGCACACACAUGACAAAAAAAAAAUUUCAAAAUCACAAGCACAAAUUAAUGUUCCGACGGAUUUGUUUUCACCAUCAUUAAGAUUUGGGACUAAUUAAGAUUAUCCAUAUAUAUGCUUUAGGAAUGCUAAAUUUUGUAUAAACUUCUACAUUUAUACAAUACAUAUAAAAUAAAAUUACGUCUAUAACAACUAUUUUCUUUUAUGGUUUAGUUUAAUUUGUUUCAUUUAUACUAAUUGAUAGACGAAUUGAAUCUUUGUUCAACGUCUUAUCCCGCUUGCGGUAGUGCCUGAAGAGUUAAAAGAAGAUACUAGCCAAUUACAAAAUUAAACCAACAUAUAAAAGUGGACCAAUCAGUUGUCAAUCGCAUAGUUGUAUCACCAGAGAGCCUUUACCAUGGAGAAAUGUUAUUAAUUUUGUCCGUAACCAAAUUUAUUACUUUCAACUGUCACCGACCUUACAUUUUGCUAUAUAAACCCUAGAAAUCUCAUUGUAAACCUCAACAAUACAAGAGUCGAUCAAUAAUAACUAUAAAAAGAGAGAGGAGAGAUGUCGAGAGUUUUGUCAGUCGCAUGUGUCUUGCUCGUUAUGUCAUUCGUCCAUGCACGUGCUCGUCAAGUUCCGGGUGAUCAGUUCGAUGAGGGCAAGACGACGCCACAUGACAAUACAAAAACAAGGCUUGUGCAUGCAAAUGCACCAGCUCAGUCAACACCAACCAGUAUCGGUGACAAAAAAUGCAUCGGAGGAGUCGGGGGAUUAGCCGGAGCUGGUGGUUACGCUGGCGUGGGAGGUCUAGGAAUGCCACUCAUUGGUGGUAUUGGCGGCAUUGGUAAAUACGGUGGCAUAGGUGGUGCAGCUGGAAUCGGUGGCUUUCAUGGUAUAGGCGGCAUUGGUAAAUAUGGUGGCAUUGGUGGUGCAGCUGGAAUCGGUGGCUUUCAUGGUAUAGGCGGCAUUGGUAAAUAUGGUGGCAUUGGUGGUGCAGCUGGAAUCGGUGGCUUUCAUGGUAUAGGCGGCAUUGGUAAAUAUGGUGGAAUAGGUGGCGCAGCUGGAAUCGGUGGAUUUCAUGGUCUAGGCGGUGUUGGCGGCCUUGGUGGAGCCGGAGGUGGUAUUGGUGGUGGUAUUGGUAAAGUGGGUGGUAUUGGCGGUAUAGGUGGAGCCGGAGGUGGUUUAGGCGGUGUAGGCGGAGGAGUCGGUGGUGGUAUUGGUAAGGCAGGUGGCGUUGGUGGUGUUGGUGGUAUCGGCGGUGGACACGGCGUGGUCGGUGGAGUUGGCGGUGGGAUCGUUCCACAUCCUUGAAAUGAAGCUUUAUUAGAGAGUUUUUUCGAUUAGGGUUUAGUUAAGGAAUAAGUAACUAGUAGUCGGAUGUUACACUGUUGGUCUUUUGGGGUGAUCAUUAGGGUGACUUUGAUCAUUAGUCUGUCUUUUGUGUAAACGUUUGAUUUGAUUUUAUCUAUCGUGUUAUGUAACGCAUGAAUUAUUAGUUAUGGUUAGUUUUGGUUGAUGGUUCCUAUUUCUGCAUGUUCAAAAUAAAGUUUAGAGGAACUAUCUGUCAAGGCUUAUAACGAUGUUCUUUUAAUGUAUUUUCUUCAAACUUGCAUUUAUGUUAAUGAACUCUACACAAAUGAGAAAAAAAUAUUUACAUAAAAAGUUUUAAAAAAUCCCUUGAUAUAAUAAGACCAAAAAAUCUGAAACAUUACUCAUAACAUAAUCUGAAACAUUAUAAUCAACCUUUAACCACUAGUAAAGAGACUACCACAUUGAUAUUCACGUAUUUGUGUUUGAGUUCUUUUUUUUUUUUUUUUUUUUUUUUUUAUUGUGUUUGAGUUCUUGUUAUGAAGUCAAACACUUUGUUCUGUGCAUGUCUUCUUUGGACGACAAGUUACGCAAAAAUACAUUACGAAAUGAAACUAACCUCAUAUUGACUCGUUCGCUUGUUUUUUUUCUUUUUUUUGUCAUCUGAUAUAUUAAGAAACGCUUGAACAACUCAAGCAAGGGAAACAUACAACAUUAAAUUCUUUAGAUCAGACUUAUCCACAGACGGAUAGUCCUUUCUCCUAAGAAAAACAUCCAGACUCACGAACAUAGAAAACAAGUUCAUAAUCAUCAUACCAUAAAAGGUCUGUGAACUACUAAAAACCCAACCACAACUAAGUAGAGGGAACGCAUUCCUCGUUCUCAAAGAGACCUCUCAACCAUCUUGGAGCACCUGUAGCUACAUAAGACUGAGACAAACCUGAUCUGAUCACACUUUGGGCAAUGACGAAAGCCCCUCUAUUAGUCUCUCUGUCUUCCUUUAUCACCCUCCACCACUCGAUCUUGCCAAGUCUUUCCAUCAACUGUAACUGUUGGCAUCUAUAAUUCGGCCAUGCCUUGGGUCUUAGAAUUACCUUCAUGAAAAGAUCAUCAUCUAAGGCAAAGAUAACUCUGUUGAGAUGAUGAGAGUGCAUGCUCUCUAUAGCCCACAACAGCCCUUGAUAGCUUGCCUCUUCCUUGGAAUUGGUAUUUGAGAGAGCCCGACGACUAUGUAGCAUAACCUUACCUCUAUCAUUUCUCAACACCCAAGCAACACCACAGUUUUUCUGUUCUUUGUUUUGAUAAACACCCAAGUUGCAUUUUAACCAGCCAUUGGGGGGAGCAGACCAUGACUUCUUCACACCCGUCACUGCCUCUUGCUCUUCCUUAACUCCCUGCUCUUCAUUCUUUUGAGCCAUUAACCAGAAUUCCGCUUCCUCUCUGAUCUUAGCCACCAAGUCUAUGGCUCUAGCUUGUUUUCCUUCAAAGAUAAUCCCAUUUCUGUAUUUCCACAAAUACCACACAAUCCAAGGAAUCGAGUUUCUCACCCCUUCUGGAACCGAGGAGUUCUUUAUUAAGAGUAGCAGGGAGUGGAAGUUUGAAAAAUGAGACACUUCAUCAAAACCACUCUCCGAAUAAGGGACAUCUGCCAAAGCCCAAACCUGUCUUGCGAUGGAGCAGCGGAAAAUUAUGUGAUUAAUAGACUCUCCUUGAAAACCACAAGCCUGACAUACCGGGUCCAUUUUGAUACCUCUUUUCACCAGAAGGUCACCUACUGGUACCGCAUUACUUACUGCCCGCCAGAGGAAAGUUUUGAUUUUUGGGGCUGUAUCAAGUUUCCAUACCUCCUCUUUGAGAACAUUUAGAGAGGGCCUAGCUUCUGCUUCUUGAAUCUCCAAUCUUCUUCUGAAGUUGUUGAUGAACCAAUAUCCAGAUUUGACCGAAUAACACCCAUUCCUAUUAUGGAGCCAAACCCAAAAAUCUUCCUCAUUAAAAGCUGUUCCCAUCGCUAAGAUGCUUCGGAUGUGCUCUUCAUAGAAAAGAUCCUCCAGUUUUUCCACGUUCCAACAACCAUUCUGGUGGUCUAUCAAAUCAGAAACUCUUAGCAGUAGAUCGACAAAAAUAUUCUUCAUCAAAGGUCUUCUUCUUUCAGUGCCUCCAAUCCAUUCCUCAGUCCACACAUAUAUCGAUCUCCCGUCUCCCAAAUGUUUUCGGAGCCCUUGAAUUAGCAGGUCCUUCCCAAAUUGAAUGCUUCUCCAAGCAUAUGACGGUCUAGGGCCAUUUUUUGCAGAGAGGAAAUCAGAGUUGUCGAAGUACCUGCUCUUAAAGACUCUUGCAAAGAGGGAGUCCGGCUGAUUUAGAAUCCUCCAUGCUUGCUUAGCCAAAAGAGCCUGAUUGAAGCUUUGAAUAUCUUUGAACCCUAAUCCUCCAUGUUCUUUUGCCAAGCACAUUUUAGUCCAGCUCAGCCAGUGAAUCUUCUUCUUAUGUUCCAGAGAGUUCCACCAGAAAUCCGCCAUAGCCCUUGUGAGAUUCUCACACGAUUGCUUGGUGAGUUUGAAGCAGGACAUGGCGUACACAGGCAUAGCCAUAGCUACCGCCUUUAUCAGAACCUCUUUACCACCCAAAGACAGUAGUUUGGCAAACCAUCCAUUUAGUCGAUCCUUUAACCUAUCAUAGAUAUAAGCCAAGAUCUCAGUUUUGGAACCGCUGAAACAUUCUGGCAGGCCCAAAUAAUUCCCUGUUCCACCUUCCUUGGUGAUUCCUGUGAUCUCUUGAAUAAGCCCCUUGGUUCCGUCAUCCACCUUAGACCCAAAAGUAAUAGCUGAUUUCUCAAUGUUAAUUUUUUGUCCCGUGGCUUUUUCAUAAAUCUGAAGAAUCUUGAUUAGUUCUGCUGCCUGAUUCGUUGAUGCUUUGCAAAUCAAGAGGCUGUCAUCAGCAAACAACAUGUGAUGAAUCAUAGGUCCUCCCGGAGAAAACCGAAUGCCUUCAAUAGCUCCACUCUGAACUGCUUUCUCGAGAAGAUGAAUUAGACCUUCAGUGCAGAUUACAAAAAGGAACGGAGACAGAGGGUCGCCUUGCCUAAUCCCUCUUUCUGGUUGGAUGUUUCCAAACGGCUGGUCAUUAAUGAGCGUAGAGUAUCUAACAGUAGAUACGCAGAACAUCACUCUUUCUACCCACAUGGUCUCAAACCCUAUAGCCAAUAGGAGAGCUCGAAGAUACCCCCAUUCCACGCGAUCAUAAGCCUUCGACAUAUCUGACUUGAUGGCCAUGAAUUCCUUCGAUAUACUUCGAUCAGUCCUCAGCGCAUGAAUGACUUCAUGGGCAAUUAGAAUGUUGUCGGUGAUGAGUCUCUCCUCUACAAAGGCAGAUUGUGUUGGUGAAACUAUAUCAACAAGGAGUGGCUUAAGCCGAGACACCAAAAUAUUUGAGAUGAUCUUGUAUAGGACCGAACAAAGGCUGAUAGGUCUUAGGUCAGACAUGAGAAUCGGUUCAUCAAUCUUUGGCAGGAGACAGAGAUGAGUGUAGUUCCAUUCCAAAGGAAAGGUCCCGAAUACAAAAAAUUCCCGCACCUCUUUUGUCACUUGAUCACCUAUCGUGUUCCAAUAACUCUGGAAAAACAACCCCGUCAUACCAUCCGGUCCUGGCGCACUGCUCGCUUUGAUAGAGAAGACCGCCUCUUUCACCUCCUCCUUACUAACCUCUCUGACUAGAAUCUCAUUCAUACCUGCUGUCACCCUACUCGAGAACCCUUCAAACAACGCAGAGAAAUCUCCAGAAUUAGCCGAGGAAAAAAGUUUUUUGAAGUAUUCAGUAGCUACCUCUCCUUUUGCAGCCUCAGAGAAAUGUGCCUGCCCUCUAUCAUCCAUAAGUUUGGUGAUUCUUCUUCUCGAUCUGUUCGCUUUUACCGACGCAUGAUAAUAUUUGGUAUUUAAAUCUCCUUUCACCGCCCACUUAUCUUUGCAUCUUUGCUUCCAAAACAAUUCCUCCUCUCUAUACGCCUGAAUCAGCUCUGCUUUUAAAAAGUUAAUCCUUAGAGUAGCAGGAUACAUCGCAGAUUGCUCCAUCUCCAAAGCGUACUGAAUCUGUUUGAUCUUGUCCCUGGAGUUUAUGUUCUCCUUCUUUUUCCAUCUGCUUAACGCCUUUCUGCAAUUCUUCAGUCUAUCAGCUACCUUGGUUUCGAAUAAAGGGUGAUUUGUGAGCCAAGCUUUCUUGAUUUCAUCUUGAACCCCAGUCUUAUGUAAGAAUCUGCCAUCAAACCGAAAGCUUCCUCUGUAACUCUCUGAGGCAUUGAUCAGCUUGACUAGGACUGGUCUAUGGUCAGAUCCUCGUUUGUCCAUGAAGACUUGAUUAGACGCUGGAAACAGUUGAAACCAUCUCUUAUUCCCAAAACCCCUAUCCAACUUGGAGUGUAUCGAUAAUGUUCCUCUCUGACCACCCCAAGUGAAGCUGUUCCCUGUACUAGGAAGCUCAGUCAUCUCCCCAAUAAGCAGCAUAUCGUUAAAAGCUUGAAACGAUUUCUCACUUCUUCUCGGACCGCCUAUUUUCUCAUCAUUGUUUCUAAUCUCGUUGAAAUCACCAACCAUACACCAUGGCUCUUUCCUAUAAGCUCCUAUACGUGAAAGUCUUUCCCAGAGUUUUGGUCUAUUACUCUUUUCCGGCUCCCCAUAAAUACAAGAUACAAAAAAGCAAUCCUUCCCAAACCGCACCUUAAAGUCCACUAGAUGCUUGUCUACAAACUUGAAAUCAAUAUGUACAAAAUGUUUCCACAUCAAUGCUAAGCCUCCGCUGUACCCGAUAGGAUUUACUGUCAUUAUCCUAUCAUAACCUAGCAAUGUCUGUAGAUCCACCAACCCAUCUCGGUUCUGUUUCGUUUCCAUUAAAAACAAAAUGUCUGGGAAAUGUUCCUUCCGCAUUUCCCGUAACCUUGGAAUGACCAGGUCCUGUGCACGGCCCAAUCCCUGGCAAUUCCAACUGAUCAUAGACAUUUUAGAUGUUGGACGGUCCCUCACUUGGGACCACCAAUGGUUUCUUAAACCUUGCAGAGCUUUGAGAUGGCUCGACAUCUUCCUGUGCUUUCCUCUUUGCAUCCGUAACCACACCUUCCCCAACUAUUUUACCUCUUCCAGUAUCGGGCCUCAGUACCCCCUUCCCAUUGGCUCUCCUGGUGAACGUACCAGGCCUUUUUCUUCCCUUUGCUUUCUUAAGAAGAGUUCCAGAAGCACUAGGAACAUAGGAGCCAGCGCUAUAACCCGUUAGACUUGCAGGAGAGCCGCCCUGGUUUGAAUCAGAUUGCUCCAUUGAAAUAGGCUUCUCCGUUACCACCUUUCCGGAUUGAAGAACUCUGUUUCCCGCCGAAAUUGCGCCCGCCAAUAAUUUCUCCUAUCUUUGGAUAGCAUCAGGACAAGCGCUAAAGUCAAAGACAAUCCCUUUUCCUCUAUCCAAGUCUUUGGUUACAGUCGGAGGGGUCUCAAGUCUGAGAGAGAUUUUCUGAGCAAUGGGAUCUUUCUCAAGGUCUUCAAUGGAUUUCCUAAUCCUUUCCUCCCUAGCACCCUUCUCCGCGCCCGAAGCAGCCUUUAAGUAUAACCUCAUAUCCUCCAGAACUUCCUCAGCAAUCUUCGGUCUGCCAGUGAUAGGGUCCAACCCUAGCUGAUGCUCUGGAAUGAGCCCGAAGAGCGGGUCAGAUUUUUUCUGAUGGGCAAAAUCCUCAUUUCUUUUACUUUCCGCAGAUGAGCCUUCCAGGAUCUCCGUGGAAGCCUUCAAGUUUUUGAAGAUAGGACACUGAGGUUGCUCAUGGGUGAUCCUCUGACAUGUAUAACAUCUUUUCUGAAGCCUUUCAUAAUCAUAUAAGAUGUUUACCGCUUCUCCUCCUGGUGUUGUAACUUUCUUCGCCCUCCUAAGAGGUUUUGAGACAUCAAACCGUACCAGAACUCUUACAUAAUCUCUGACCUGAGAUUUGUCGGGAUCAAAGGCCACCACCUCCACUUUACCAGCAAAAUCUCCCAGAGAUUCUAAUGCUUUCUUCGUGUAGUGGUUGAUGGGAAUGUUUCUCAUCUGAACCCAUACAGAUAUAUAUUGUAGAUAGUCCUCCGGCGGUUUCUCAACCCAUCUCUCCAGAGCAAUAGGCCACAUGUUGUGUGUGUGAGCUCCUUUGUUGAGCACAUCGAUCAUAUCUUGUUCAUGUUUGAAGAUAAACUGAAACUUAUCUUUUGAUAAGGCCACUCCUUUCACCCUGUCGUACAGACGCCACUUCCGAGGCAUGUCGAGGAUUAGGUCUGCCAUGCUCUGGCACUUAGGGUUCAGUAAUCUGCCAACCACGCUUAGCGCAUUCCUACCCGUUGAGUAAUACUCCGGAUGAUCAGGAAGCAGAAAUGGUUCAUCGUCUUCUUCUAAUGACAACUGAAGCAGAGCUUUAUCCAGAUGUGACGUCAUUGAGAAUUCCAAACUUGAAGAAAAGUGUAGUGACUAACAAUGAGACAGAUCGGCGAAAAUCCCUUUGAUUUGAAGAAGAACCUGAUGAAGCUUCAAGAACAAAACGUAGACUUUUUUUUGGAUCUGAAAAGAUAAUGAUGUUAAAAGCCAAUAAUGAGGAUGACUUUUGAGAAAGGAACCGUGUUUUUUCCACCAAAGGCCCCACUUUGCUUGAAAGAGUAUUUUAGCAAACAGGGAAGAAAGCCCAAAAAAAGGAAUCUGCUAUAUUACGCCGAGAGAAUUCCUUGAGAUUUUUUUUUGACUCGUUCGCUUGUUCAUAUUGGUCAAUUGGUAAUAUAAUUAAUUUAUUACUAUCUUAAGAAAAAAAUUGUUUAUUUACUACAAAAACACUAUGUAUAUAUGGAAAGAAUAUGUUGAGCCAUUCCCAAUUCCUACAAAUUCAACACCAAUAUAGCAAAUCUUAUUGAUAAAUCCUGCAUCAAUGAGAAAUUCACCAAAACUUUACGAGAAGAUGAAUUAGACCUUCAGUGCAGAUUACAAAAAGGAACGGAGACAGAGGGUCGCCUUGCCUAAUCCCUCUUUCUGGUUGGAUGUUUCCAAACGGCUGGUCAUUAAUGAGCGUAGAGUAUCUAACAGUAGAUACGCAGAACAUCACUCUUUCUACCCACAUGGUCUCAAACCCUAUAGCCAAUAGGAGAGCUCGAAGAUACCCCCAUUCCACGCGAUCAUAAGCCUUCGACAUAUCUGACUUGAUGGCCAUGAAUUCCUUCGAUAUACUUCGAUCAGUCCUCAGCGCAUGAAUGACUUCAUGGGCAAUUAGAAUGUUGUCGGUGAUGAGUCUCUCCUCUACAAAGGCAGAUUGUGUUGGUGAAACUAUAUCAACAAGGAGUGGCUUAAGCCGAGACACCAAAAUAUUUGAGAUGAUCUUGUAUAGGACCGAACAAAGGCUGAUAGGUCUUAGGUCAGACAUGAGAAUCGGUUCAUCAAUCUUUGGCAGGAGACAGAGAUGAGUGUAGUUCCAUUCCAAAGGAAAGGUCCCGAAUACAAAAAAUUCCCGCACCUCUUUUGUCACUUGAUCACCUAUCGUGUUCCAAUAACUCUGGAAAAACAACCCCGUCAUACCAUCCGGUCCUGGCGCACUGCUCGCUUUGAUAGAGAAGACCGCCUCUUUCACCUCCUCCUUACUAACCUCUCUGACUAGAAUCUCAUUCAUACCUGCUGUCACCCUACUCGAGAACCCUUCAAACAACGCAGAGAAAUCUCCAGAAUUAGCCGAGGAAAAAAGUUUUUUGAAGUAUUCAGUAGCUACCUCUCCUUUUGCAGCCUCAGAGAAAUGUGCCUGCCCUCUAUCAUCCAUAAGUUUGGUGAUUCUUCUUCUCGAUCUGUUCGCUUUUACCGACGCAUGAUAAUAUUUGGUAUUUAAAUCUCCUUUCACCGCCCACUUAUCUUUGCAUCUUUGCUUCCAAAACAAUUCCUCCUCUCUAUACGCCUGAAUCAGCUCUGCUUUUAAAAAGUUAAUCCUUAGAGUAGCAGGAUACAUCGCAGAUUGCUCCAUCUCCAAAGCGUACUGAAUCUGUUUGAUCUUGUCCCUGGAGUUUAUGUUCUCCUUCUUUUUCCAUCUGCUUAACGCCUUUCUGCAAUUCUUCAGUCUAUCAGCUACCUUGGUUUCGAAUAAAGGGUGAUUUGUGAGCCAAGCUUUCUUGAUUUCAUCUUGAACCCCAGUCUUAUGUAAGAAUCUGCCAUCAAACCGAAAGCUUCCUCUGUAACUCUCUGAGGCAUUGAUCAGCUUGACUAGGACUGGUCUAUGGUCAGAUCCUCGUUUGUCCAUGAAGACUUGAUUAGACGCUGGAAACAGUUGAAACCAUCUCUUAUUCCCAAAACCCCUAUCCAACUUGGAGUGUAUCGAUAAUGUUCCUCUCUGACCACCCCAAGUGAAGCUGUUCCCUGUACUAGGAAGCUCAGUCAUCUCCCCAAUAAGCAGCAUAUCGUUAAAAGCUUGAAACGAUUUCUCACUUCUUCUCGGACCGCCUAUUUUCUCAUCAUUGUUUCUAAUCUCGUUGAAAUCACCAACCAUACACCAUGGCUCUUUCCUAUAAGCUCCUAUACGUGAAAGUCUUUCCCAGAGUUUUGGUCUAUUACUCUUUUCCGGCUCCCCAUAAAUACAAGAUACAAAAAAGCAAUCCUUCCCAAACCGCACCUUAAAGUCCACUAGAUGCUUGUCUACAAACUUGAAAUCAAUAUGUACAAAAUGUUUCCACAUCAAUGCUAAGCCUCCGCUGUACCCGAUAGGAUUUACUGUCAUUAUCCUAUCAUAACCUAGCAAUGUCUGUAGAUCCACCAACCCAUCUCGGUUCUGUUUCGUUUCCAUUAAAAACAAAAUGUCUGGGAAAUGUUCCUUCCGCAUUUCCCGUAACCUUGGAAUGACCAGGUCCUGUGCACGGCCCAAUCCCUGGCAAUUCCAACUGAUCAUAGACAUUUUAGAUGUUGGACGGUCCCUCACUUGGGACCACCAAUGGUUUCUUAAACCUUGCAGAGCUUUGAGAUGGCUCGACAUCUUCCUGUGCUUUCCUCUUUGCAUCCGUAACCACACCUUCCCCAACUAUUUUACCUCUUCCAGUAUCGGGCCUCAGUACCCCCUUCCCAUUGGCUCUCCUGGUGAACGUACCAGGCCUUUUUCUUCCCUUUGCUUUCUUAAGAAGAGUUCCAGAAGCACUAGGAACAUAGGAGCCAGCGCUAUAACCCGUUAGACUUGCAGGAGAGCCGCCCUGGUUUGAAUCAGAUUGCUCCAUUGAAAUAGGCUUCUCCGUUACCACCUUUCCGGAUUGAAGAACUCUGUUUCCCGCCGAAAUUGCGCCCGCCAAUAAUUUCUCCUAUCUUUGGAUAGCAUCAGGACAAGCGCUAAAGUCAAAGACAAUCCCUUUUCCUCUAUCCAAGUCUUUGGUUACAGUCGGAGGGGUCUCAAGUCUGAGAGAGAUUUUCUGAGCAAUGGGAUCUUUCUCAAGGUCUUCAAUGGAUUUCCUAAUCCUUUCCUCCCUAGCACCCUUCUCCGCGCCCGAAGCAGCCUUUAAGUAUAACCUCAUAUCCUCCAGAACUUCCUCAGCAAUCUUCGGUCUGCCAGUGAUAGGGUCCAACCCUAGCUGAUGCUCUGGAAUGAGCCCGAAGAGCGGGUCAGAUUUUUUCUGAUGGGCAAAAUCCUCAUUUCUUUUACUUUCCGCAGAUGAGCCUUCCAGGAUCUCCGUGGAAGCCUUCAAGUUUUUGAAGAUAGGACACUGAGGUUGCUCAUGGGUGAUCCUCUGACAUGUAUAACAUCUUUUCUGAAGCCUUUCAUAAUCAUAUAAGAUGUUUACCGCUUCUCCUCCUGGUGUUGUAACUUUCUUCGCCCUCCUAAGAGGUUUUGAGACAUCAAACCGUACCAGAACUCUUACAUAAUCUCUGACCUGAGAUUUGUCGGGAUCAAAGGCCACCACCUCCACUUUACCAGCAAAAUCUCCCAGAGAUUCUAAUGCUUUCUUCGUGUAGUGGUUGAUGGGAAUGUUUCUCAUCUGAACCCAUACAGAUAUAUAUUGUAGAUAGUCCUCCGGCGGUUUCUCAACCCAUCUCUCCAGAGCAAUAGGCCACAUGUUGUGUGUGUGAGCUCCUUUGUUGAGCACAUCGAUCAUAUCUUGUUCAUGUUUGAAGAUAAACUGAAACUUAUCUUUUGAUAAGGCCACUCCUUUCACCCUGUCGUACAGACGCCACUUCCGAGGCAUGUCGAGGAUUAGGUCUGCCAUGCUCUGGCACUUAGGGUUCAGUAAUCUGCCAACCACGCUUAGCGCAUUCCUACCCGUUGAGUAAUACUCCGGAUGAUCAGGAAGCAGAAAUGGUUCAUCGUCUUCUUCUAAUGACAACUGAAGCAGAGCUUUAUCCAGAUGUGACGUCAUUGAGAAUUCCAAACUUGAAGAAAAGUGUAGUGACUAACAAUGAGACAGAUCGGCGAAAAUCCCUUUGAUUUGAAGAAGAACCUGAUGAAGCUUCAAGAACAAAACGUAGACUUUUUUUUGGAUCUGAAAAGAUAAUGAUGUUAAAAGCCAAUAAUGAGGAUGACUUUUGAGAAAGGAACCGUGUUUUUUCCACCAAAGGCCCCACUUUGCUUGAAAGAGUAUUUUAGCAAACAGGGAAGAAAGCCCAAAAAAAGGAAUCUGCUAUAUUACGCCGAGAGAAUUCCUUGAGAUUUUUUUUUGACUCGUUCGCUUGUUCAUAUUGGUCAAUUGGUAAUAUAAUUAAUUUAUUACUAUCUUAAGAAAAAAAUUGUUUAUUUACUACAAAAACACUAUGUAUAUAUGGAAAGAAUAUGUUGAGCCAUUCCCAAUUCCUACAAAUUCAACACCAAUAUAGCAAAUCUUAUUGAUAAAUCCUGCAUCAAUGAGAAAUUCACCAAAACUUUAUGUUGCUUUUCUGAUCAUGGUUCUUUUGUUUGGUCCGAGUCAUGAGCUACCACCGUUUUGGCUCGAAACCACCGUCACAAUGACAAAUAAUCUUGGAGGUCCACUUCUUACGGUUCAUUGCAAAUCUAAAGAUAACGAUUUGGGGGUUCACAUGGUGGCUGCCAACACAGAUUACCACUUUACAUUUCAAUCAAAUCUCUGGAAAUCAACACUGUUCUUUUGCAGCUUCCACUGGAACAAUCAGGUCAAGCAGUUUGAUAUAUUUGAUGCUUUGAGAGAUCAAGAUGAAUGUUAUAAAUGUAACUGGACUAUCAAACCUGAUGGUCUAUGCAAGCUUGAUAAAAAAGGUAAAUGUUUCCCAUGGAAAUGAUUUGAUAUAAUAUAUGAUUGUGAUGGUGAAUAUAAAGAUGAUCAAAUGAAAUAUCUAAUAAAAGUCAUUUUAGGAUGAAAACAAUUUCAGUCUCUUUGUAUUCUUAUAUUUUAGUUUUUUCUAAUUAUUUAUUAGAAAGGUCAAUUUUUUUUUUGGUCAACAGCUUUUCAUUCAACUAAUAAAAGCUUACAUAUUGUUUUGCAACAUAAGAGAAGCGAGAGCAUUUUUUGCAAGGUUAUCCGCUACAAGGUUUGCGGAGCGCGGAAUUAAAACAAAAGAUAGAGAUGUGAAGAAAGGAAUGAGGUGACUAAUAUCGCAUAGAAGUUCCGCUAUCUCGUUCAACACCGACCCUGAUCGCAUGGCAGAAAUGAGGACGCUUGAGUCCGAUAGAAUCUGGAGCCUUGAAAACCCCUCUUUUGAUGCUUCCUGCAUCGCCUUCCGAAUGGCUAGAGCCUCCGCUAUUAGAGCUGAUCCGACAAAGCUGCGCGACUCCGCGCCUUGGAUCUCCAAAUGGGUCUUCUUAUCCUGUAUAAACCAACCAAGUCCAGCACAUUUAGUCUCAACAUUCCAAGCCCCAUCUACCGAACAUGUCGGAACCUCAGUCACAAUCUUUUCUGCAUUGCUUCGCAAAGGGAGUUCAAAUGUUUCUGGUUUUGUCUUAGCAGCUUCCCAUUCUUUAGCAUCUCGAACUGCUUUGGAGAGAGUCUCCUCCGCUGUGUAUAGCUUAUCCUCAAACAGUCUCUUGUUCCUUGCUGUCCAAAGGUUCCAAAUGAUCCAAGGGGACAGGGGGGAACAACACAGACCUGACGGCGGGAGAUUUAGGACCUUGGGGAUAAGGGACAAUAGGUGUUGUAGUGUGCCCAAAGGGAAGGCCUGAGCUUGGGAGCCAGGGAGAAAGAUUGGAGCGAGCUCCCAUGUUCGUUGAGCAAAAGGACAGUGCAUGAGAACAUGUUCAACAGUUUCCAGCAUCCCACAAACCUUACACGCAUGAGCAACUUCCACUCCACGUCUGAUCAGAAGCUCUGCGACAGGUCAGAAGCUCCGCGACAGAUAGGGCACUGUUCAGAGCUCUCCAAAUGAAAUGUUGGAUCUUUCCUGGAGCGUCUAGUUUCCAGACAUGUUUGAUCCAAUCAAACCCAAGCGGGUUCGGUUGAUGUUCUAUUAGAUUGGUCAUCCUAUAGCCAGACUUGGUGGUAUAGUUACCUUUGCUCUCUCCUAACCACACCAAUUUAUCAGGAGGUUUUUUGGAACUGGGGAUUAGCUGCCUGAUAACUUCCUCAUAAUGAGGUAAAUGGAACCGCACCAAAGAUAAAUUCCAUUCAUUCGAGUCCGGUAAUAGCAAGUCUUGGACUUUAAGGUGCUGGUUUGUCCUUGUUGGAGGUCCAAUGGGCGUCAGCAGUUUUGAAGUGGAGAGCCAAGGGCUAGACCAUACGUUGAUACUAGCUCCAUCUCCUACCAAGUAGCCCAACCCCUUCUCAAGAACAUCUUUCCCUGCCAUUAUCCCUGUCCAACCAUGUGACGCCGCCUGUUUAGGGGUGCUCUCCAUAAAGGAGCAUUCUGAGAAAUACUUUCCUUUCAGCACUUGGGACAGUAAAGCUUCGGGGUUGUUCAUGAUGCGCCAUCCCAAUUUAGCUAGGAGGACAUCAUUGAACGAUUCAAUAUUCUUAAAGCCUAGGCCCCCCACACAUUUUGGCGUUGCCAUUCGAUCCCAUGAAACCCACGCCAUCUUCCGUUUAUCAGGUGCACUAUCCCACCAAAAUCUUGUCAAGAUUGAUUGGAUGCGCUUACAGACUGACUUGGGGAUUUUGAAGCUUUGCAUGGAGAAGUUGGGGAGAGUUGAUAGGACUGUUUGCAGCAUCACAUGCUUUCCCGCACCCGAUAGGAACUUCAUCGGCCAUGCUUGGGAGCGUUGGCGUAUCUUGUCCACCAGUCCUGUAAAAACAUCCCUCUUCUUGCGUCCAAAAUUCUUAGGUAACCCUAGGUAUUUGCCCAUGCCACCUUCCUUCUCUAUGCCAAUAAAGGUUUUAACUCUACGCAUGAUCGACUCUGGCGUUUUCGAGGAGAAGGAUAUUGUUGACUUGUUCAGGUUUAUGCACUGCCCUGAGCAGUUCUCGUAUCUCUUUAGAAUCCUCAUUAGAGAGGUACAGCUCUUCACAUUGGUACUACUGAAAAAGACUGUAUCAUCCGCGAACAAUAAAUGGUUGAUGAAAGGGCUUCUUCGAGCCACUUGUAGUCCCUUCAGUUGCCCAUUUUGUUGUUCCUUCAGGCACAGUCCCGUGAGUACCUCAACACACAGAAUGAACAGGUACGGGGACAGCGGGUCUCCUUGCCGUAGCCCUCUGUUCGGUUGAACUUUACCAAACGGCGCACCAUUGAUGAGGUAUGCAUACGAAACAGUGGAGACACAUUCCAUCACCCAAUUCACCCACACCGAGUCAAAGCCUAGCUGGUCGAGGACUUUGGCUAGGAAAGUCCACUCAAUUCUGUCGUACGCUUUGCUCAUGUCGGUUUUGAUCACCAUGGAGCAUCUCUUUGAGGCUUCAGAAAACUUUAGAUAGUGCAGGUUCUCGUGAGUGAUAAGGAUGUUGUCCGUAAUAGCACGCCCCGGGACAAAAGCUGAUUGCUGCUUGGACACGAUGUGAUCAAGGAACUUCUGGAGACGAAGGGUUAGUAUCUUUGCUAUGAUCUUGUAGCGCACAUUGCAGAGCGCUAUGGGACGGAACUCUGAGGGGCUCUUUGCACCAGGGACCUUAGGGAGUAGACAAAUAUGCGUUUCAUUGAUUUUUGGAUCCAUUUUUCCAGUCAGGAAAAAGUCCCGCACCUCCCUACAGAUGUCCUCCCCUAUCACUUCCCAAAAGGAAUGAUAGAACCCUGCAGAGAAACCGUCUGGUCCUGGCGCCUUAUCAGUGUUGAUUUGCUUCACUGCGCAGAGAAUCUCCGUAUCCGUUGGGAUCGCCGUGAGUAUUUGAUUGGUCUCCGGGGAAAUACGCCUUGAGAUGGAUUCUUCAACAGCCCCCAGACCACCAGCGCCAUUAGAUGUAAAGAGUUUGGUAUAGUAGUCUUCAAAGACUUUACCGAUCUCAGUCUCCUCAUGAAAAGGUAUGCCGACUUCAUCUUCAAUGGUGGUUAGGCGAUUAUAGGAUCUCCUUCGUUUAGUUACAGCAUGGAAGUAGGCGCUGUUCCUGUCUCCUCCUUGUAACCAUUGCACCCUACUUCUUUGACGCCAGUACAAUUCCUCCUCCUUGUAUGCUUUGCUGAGGGCUAGGGAGAGCUCCCUGAUGAUUUUCGGGUAUGGGUUUCCACAGGAAAGAUGCUCCUCCAAUAUAGACUGGAGAUCAAUAAUAGCUUUUGCACUAUUCUCCUUCUUGGUUUUAAACCAUUUGAUUAGUUCCUCACAACAACGCUUUAUCUUAUUUUCCACCUGCUUAAGUACAUCUUUCUGCCAGGCUUCUUCUAUCACUUUGCGUGCCUCUGGCAUAUCCUUGAUGUUUCGGUCGUACCUGAACAAGCGCCUCCUCUUAGGCUUGGAUGAAUCCAAGUAGGUCACCAGAGGUCUAUGGUCAGAACCCUCAAAACGGAGGUAAUCACAGCGGCCAGCAGGGAACAUAUCAAACCAAGCACAAUUUGCUAAUGCACGGUCCAACCUGGCUCGGAUGAAGUGUGUACAUUGUUGCCCCCUCCACGAAAGGGGGUUGCCUACAUGCUUCACAUCCCACAAGCCAUUUUCCGACACAAAGCUUCGAAAGGGGAUAAAAGAACCCUCACAUCUCUCUGGUCCCCCGACCUUCUCCACAUUGUCUAAGAUGUCAUUAAAGUCCCCUGAAAGAAGCCAGGCAGUAUCUCUGUCUCGCCCAAGCUGGGAAAUGGAUUCCCAAAACGCAGCUCUAUUUUCUUGUUGAGGCAUCCCAUAUAUAAAAGUGACAUGAAACUCAAUAUUUUUUACCUUCAGUUUGGUGUCAAUGAAGUGUGGGGUCGCUUCAAGUAUACUGAUGUCAAUGUCUGCUUUCUAGAAGAGUGCCAAGCCUCCACUGAUGCCAAUUGGUGGGACUGUGAGGUGGUCAUCAUAUCGGAGACUCUGGAGCUCAGAAAGCACAAACUCAUCUUGAUUUUUGGUCUCCAUUAGGAAGAGACUAUUCGGGUUUAGGGUCUUUUUUAUUUCCCGGAUUCUUGGAACUGUCAAGUCACCUCCCAAACCUUGACAGUUCCAGCAGGCUAGAGCUAAGGAAUCGGGUUUUGCGGGGGCCGAAAAUCCGCCCUUCGCUUCCUUGUUGCUGGGACUUGCACUAUUGUUGGGGGUUCUUGCGCUUGAGGAUCAGGUAAGUCUUCAUUCCCACUCCUUUCCACACAUAAUUUCUUGCGGGGCGGAUUAGUGGAGCGAGCUGUCAUCUGUUUCGAAAGGCGCGUACUUUGGAGGGGACUUCUAUUCACUUUUGCUCUGGUUGCUCUCUUCCCUUGAGCUGCUGGAUUAGCACUGGUUCCUUUCUUUGCCGAUGCUUUGCUUGCAGCUUUCUUUUUACUUGAGGAUGCUUGAUUAGUUUUGGUUUUAGUGCCUACAGGAGAGCCAAUUCGCAGUGUAGCAGGGACUCUCUGACCAGACACAGGGUGAUCCCUAGCCGGUGACUGGUUAUGUUUGCUACCAGCACUUCCUUCAUUAAAUUUAUUACGAAGGUCUCCUUGCUCAUAGUUGACCUCAACAUCUUGCAGCCGUGCUAUCAAUGAGGUGGAGAGGCCACCAGACCUCUGGGAUUCCUGAUGGGGGCGCUCAAUUCUCUCCAGCGCUGAUCGUCGCUCUGAGGAGUGGCUGUUAAUCUCACCACGUUCCGGAAUAACCGGUAGUUCCAUAGGCUCCCUGGCUGGAUUCGGGGGAGGGGUCCUUGAGGACUGAGAAUAUUGAGGACGAUCCCCAUGAAGGUGGUAUUCUCUCGAAGAGUGGGUGGAGGAACGGUCUCUUAGCUCUCUUCUCUCAAAUGUAGGCCUCCUGUCCUGAGCUCUUCCUACAGCUCUUGAGUCAUAAGAUGAUUGGUGUCGCGCAUAGUCAUGGUAAGGUCUUCUUUCCGGAUAACUUGGUCGAGAGGUAGCUGAUCUUUGAGAUACCGCAUGAUCAUCUCUAGGAAGAGAAUCCGAGUUCCUCAUUUGGCUUGUUGGAGCUCGUCGGUAGUCUUGACGUCUUCAGUGAUCCUCUAGGCUCCUCAGUGUAUUCUGCUGGCUUAUUCCCAACUCGUGGGCAGAUGUUCUUGUCGAGACUGGUUUACUAGGGCAGUCAUCCUCCUCAUGGAAGAGAGAGUAGCAGUAGAAACAAUGUUUCUGCAGAUUUUCGUACUCCAAGUCCACAUUGAAGACUUCACCAGACUGAAGUUGGACCGGAAGUUGCAUCUCCAGGUUUUUUAGACAAUCAAUAUCCACACGAACUCUGCCUUGGGGAAUGUCCUCAUCCAUGUGGACACCAAGCGCUUUUCCAAUAGUUUCUAGGAUCUGGAAGGUCCAGAAGUGGAGGGGCAGGCCGUGAAUAUUAAUCCAGAAUGGAGUACGCCUGGGGAAAGAGUUUGAGACGAUUGGCUCCCAUCGUUGUAGGAUGAUCAUCCACCUUUUGUAGUGGAAAGGUGCUCGCCGCAUUACAGAUAAUAAGGCAUCCUCUGUCUCAAAUUUGACUUGGAACAAGUCUGGUCCUAGAGUUCUUCCUGUGACAGCGGUUUCGAGGUUCCAGAAUUGGAUUAGCCAGUCCAGGACCCACUGAGGUUUUUGGAUCGAUGGUUUGGUGACCCGACCUAAGAGAGUGAGCUUGUUGUCUUCGAUGAGUUCUGAGUUGUCAUUUGACGGGAGUAGAAUUGGGGCUCUUCUUCCUUGCGAAGAGGGUUUCCGUGUUGGGGUUCUAGAUGCCUCAGGCACCCAUUUUCCUUUUUCGGAUCUUGAAUACCUGUUCGACAUGUUGAUGUAGGUUGCACUAACUAAUGAGCUGGGUUGAAUCCUCACUGCGAGGUAACGACGAGGUGGUCCGUAGAGACUGAGUGUGGUAGCUCUCACUGACGAGAGAGGAAACUGUCCUCCGGUCCUUAGCGUCGAGGUAAAGAAGCUGGUAUGUUUAGUUUAUGAAGUUUUCGUCGAACAAAGCUCCCAGAUCUGUCAUGGGUUUCUUUCCAGAUUUCAUUUCUACACCGUACAAAGAACCACCAUAAAAGGGGGAAAUCGAUUGCCCCAAAAAACUUCACGCCGGAAAGUAGUUGCGGUGGUUGUCGGAGCUACAGGACGGAGGAGCUAAGGUGGAGAGCGGAGGCGAUCGAACUAGAUCUGAGGAGUGCGCUUGUCUGGGGAAAUGGGCCUGGGAGAGAUUUCAAAAAACGCGUGCAUCUCAAACGCUCUAUUGAACGCAACCAAAGCCUGGUUAGAAACAUUAGAAAGGUCAAUUUAUAUGUAUUUUAUCUUGAAAAUAAAUGAGUUGAUGUAUGCAUUGGCAACCAAAGAGAGUGAAUGCAUGACAUGAAAACAAUAAUUCGAUUUAACGACAUGAAACCAUCGAUUUUUAUCUUUACACGUCAACUAAAAUCUGCAGCUACAAAAAAAACCAAUACACAACAUCUUGAAAUCCAACGGUCAUUAGUCAGUCUUCUUACAGUACAAACCUAGUACAGACCUAGCAAUAAUUUUAUAUAUCCUCUGAAAUCGGUGGCUUUCAUGGUAUAGGCGGCAUACAGUUGCAUAGGUGGUGCAACUGGAAUCAGUGGCUUUCAUGGUAUAGGCGGCAUUGGUAAAUACGGUGGCAUAGGUGGCGCAGUUGGAAUCGGUGGCUUUCAUGGUCUUUUGGGGUGAUCAUUAGGGUGACUUUGAUCUAUUUUCUAGUUUGUCUUUUCUGUAAACAUUUGAUUUGAUUUCGUCUAUCGUGUUAUGUAACGCAUUAUGCAUGAAUUAUUAGUCAUGGUUUGUUUUGGUUGAUGGUUCCUAUUUUUGCAUGUUCAAAAUAAAGUCUAGAGGAAUCUGUCAAGGCUUAGAAUGAUGUUCUUUUAAUGGAUUUUCUUUGAAAUUGCAUUUAUGUUGAUGAUCUAUACACAAAAGAAAAAGAAAAAUAUUUAGAUAAAAGUUUAAAAUCCUUUUAUAUAUAUAUAUUUUUUUAAUUGGCUUGAUCCUUUUAUAUAAUAAGACCAACAAAUCUAAAACAUGCAUUACUCAUGAAAUAAUGGAAAAAACGGAUGGAGUUUUAUGGAGUACAAAGGCAUGAGAAGCGUAUAUAUGUAGGUAUUAUUGUUGGAAUUGUGUGAGCACAUGUCCAACUCUAUAUUAUCCGAUUAGUACGAUAUUGUCCACUUUGAGCCUAAUUGACUGGUUCCCAUGAAUUUACUUUUGGACUCCUUUCCAAAAGGCCUCGUACUAAUUAGAGUUAGACAUUAUCGUGUCCUACAACUGAACUUCCAUGAUCUUCUGAUUUGAUCUCUGCCACACACCUCUCAUUUCUAACUUAUAGUAUACCAUUCAUCUCUCGAAGGGUAUUUUGAUCUUUUCGUCGAUUUCUCGUCAAUCUGGCUUUGAUACUAAUUGUUGGAAUUGUGUGAACCCAUGUCCAACUCUAUAUUAUCCGGUAGGUACGAUAUUGUCUACUUUUGGUCUAAUUGGCUGGCCCGCGUGAAUUUACUUUUGGACUCCUUCCCAAAAGGUUUCGUACUAAUUAGAGUUUGACAUCUCUUUAUAUAUUAGUUGUCUAAUUUGAUAUUUCACAAUUAUAUAUGUUGGUUGGAUUGUACAACAAAUCGGAUUGAACCAAAUAAUGGACUCCUUCAAAGAAAACUAAUCCAACAUGCGUUAUACAUGUAUACAUUUGUAAAACUGAAUUAAAACUAACCAACUCGAUAACUUAGAUAAUUCUUAUAUAUAUACGGAUACUUUUUUUUAUCACGAUGUAUAUACGGAUACUUACCCACGCCAAAUCGCUGAUAAACAAGAAUGCAUGAUUCGUUCAACGUAAAUACGAUUAUAAUUCAUGUUAGUUGUUUCAAUUCAUACUAUAUAAACAUAUAUUUUAACUAGAUAUCUUAAUGAAGUAUUCGAACGUACCAGUCAACGUUUCAGAAAUUGACAUUGUACUAUAGUAUAUAUAAUAUACUCUCUCCGUUUUAUAUUAAGUGUCGUUUUAGAGAAUUUUUUUCGUUACAAAAUAAGUGUCGUUUUCGAUUUUCAAUGUAAAAUUUAUUAAUUUUAUGCAAAAUUUAUUUUUCUAUUGGUUGAAAUAUGGUUAGGUGUAUAGGUAAUAGUUUUUUUAUAGGAAAUGUAUAAAAUUAAUUGUUUUUUUAAUCCGUGUGUCGAAAACUAAACGACAUUUAUAAUGAAACAUAAGGAGUAAUUAACAUAGUAGGAAAUUAUUUUGGCAGUUCGAUAUUUUAAAUAAAAAGUAUAUAAUAAAUGUGGGCUAAGAUCCACAGAAAAUAUAAGCAACAAUAAAUGACGUAGUAAAGGCCUUGGGAUGAGAGUGACGAAAAUUAAAUAAGAUACGAGUUGCAUGACAAACACUUGUUUCAUUCAUGCAUGGUCAUCUCAUCUCUAUAACCUUUCUCAGUGGCCCAACUUGAAUUUACUUACUCUCGUGCAAUCAAUUACGACGUGUAUAAGAGUUUUGAUAUGUUCCAUCCGUUUAGAAAAGAUAGAUGUUUUAAAUUUUUUAUUUUUUCGCAAAAAUAAAUAUUUUCUGUUUUCUAUGAAAAUAUUGUAAACUUUAAAAAAAUUAAUUGAUUUUACUAAAUUACUAUUGGUUAAAAAAUAUUAAAAAUUAAAAAUUGUAGAAAACAAUACAUUUAUUAUAAUCACUCCGUUUUUAAUAUAAGUCGUUUUAGAAUUGCAUAUAUAGAUUAAAAAAAUCAUUAAUUUUUAUAUUUUCUAAACAAAAACAUCAUUAAUUAUUUAUUUAAUCACAAAUCAACCAAUAAUAAAAUAGAAGGUAUAUUAUCAUUGGUCAUAUAACAUUAAGUGUUAAUAAAUUUUACAUAAAAAAUCGAAAACGCCAUAUAAUUUGGAACAUAAUUUUUUUUCUAAAACAACUUAUAUUAACAAUUUUUAAUGUGUUUUUUUAAUAUGUGUGAAAACGCUAAAAAGUCUAUUUUUCUGAAAUGGAAGGAAUCUUUUUUUUUUCUGUAUUUGCAUAUAUGCAUAUAUAUAUAUAUAUAUAUAGUAUUUUUUAAGAAAAAAAUACAAAACUUAUAUGGUCUAAAAAUUCUAGACAUCACAUUUAUUGUAGCUUGGAUUCAAUUUUUUUUAAAUGAACUAAUGAUUGGUCGAUGAUUUUUAAUUUUUAUUUAUUUUAAUUGGAUCUAAAAAUAAAAAAGUAAGUCUAUAACCAAUUAAUAUCACUUGCCAAAUAAUUUACAUAAUAAUAUUACAAAUAAUAAUUUACGAUAACUAAUUGUUGAAAUUAUAGAAAGAGAAAUAAAUGGAUCAUUUUUAUAUUUAAAAAAGUACGGAAAAUAAUAAACGACAAACCGUUUAUAUAAAUCAAUAUAAAGAUUUUAUAUUCUUAUUUAAAAGCAUUAUAUUUUAUAUAAAUUAUCAUAAUCCUACUAUAUAUUAACUGAGAAGUAAAUUUAGUGAUUUUUGUUUACGUGUCGAUCAUAGGUGAACUCUUACAAAAUUGUUAUAAUUUGAUUGGUCGAUGAUUUUUAAUUUUUAUUUAUUUUAAUUAGAUCAAAUGUAAGUCUAUAACCAAUUAAUAGUAUUUGCCAAAUAAUUUACAUAAUAAUAUUACAAAUAAUGAUUUAUGGUAACUAAUUGUCAAAAUUAUAGAAAGAGAAAUAAAUUGAUCAUUUUUAUAUUUAAAAAUACAUAAAAUAAUAAACGACAAACCGUUUAUAUAAAUCAAUAUAACGAUUUUAUAUUCUUAUUUAAAAGCAUUAUAUUUUAUAUAAAUUAUCAUAAUAACUAUUAACAUCUCCUAAAGUUCAUAUUAUAUGCUUUAUAAAUCAUCUAUAAAAAUAUUUAUCAAAUUAUUUAUCUUGACUUAUUGUAUAUUUUAAGUUAUUAUAAGAGUUUGUAAGUCAUCUAUAAAAGCUUAAAGUGAAAGCUAUAUACCAUACUAUAUAUUGAUUGAGAAGUCAUUUAAGAGAUUUUUGGUUAUGUGUCGAUCAUUUAUGAAAUCUUAAAAAACUGUUAUAAAUUGAUUGUCGAUAGUUUAUAAUUUCUAUUUAUUUUUAUUUAUUUUAAUUAGAUUUAAAAGAAAAAAGUAAGUUUAUAAACAGUUAAUAUCACUUGCCAAAUAAUCUACAUAAUAUUACAAAUAAUUAUUUAUGGUAACUAAUUGUUGAAACUAUAGAAAGAGUAAUAAUGUUUGAUCAUUUUUUAUAUAUUUAUAAACUACAUAAAAUAGUAAACAAAAAGGUUUAUUAAAAUUGAUAUAAUGAUUUUACAUUCUUAUAUAAAGCAUUAUAUUUGUAUACGGCCCUAUAUUUGUAUAUAAAGUCAUAUAAUAACUAUUAAUAUCUAAUAGAAUUCAUACAUGCUUUAUAAAUCAUCUAUAAAAUUAUAAAUACAUUUAUAAAAUUAUUUAUCUGGGCUUAUCAUAUGUUUUAAAUUAUGAUAAGAGGUUUUAAUUAUUUAUACAAGCUCAUAAAUUAAUUUAUAAAAUCUAUUUUUAAAUUUUAUUUUAUAUUAAAUGAUAAAUCACUAAAUUGAUUUUUUUCUUAGGUGUCGAUCAUAUAUAGAGUUUGAGAAAAAAUAUUAUAAUUUGAUUUGUUUAUGGAUUUUCAAUUUUUAUUUAUUUUAUGAGUACCAAAAUUAGUUCUAGAAAUAGUUUUAUCAGCAUCCAAACGACCUAAAUAUACUGCACAAAAUAAUUUAUGGUAAUUAAAUAUGUGAUUUAUAAUAUAUAUAUAAUGCUUCAUAAAAUCAUUUUUAGCAAUCACGUAUUUAUAAACUAUAUAAAAUAUUACAAAACUUUCAGUAUUAUAUACCUUCAAAAAUUAAAUAAUUUUAUUAAAAACUGAAUCAUGAAUAUUAUACAUAACUAAUUUUAGUACAAUUACCAAUACAAAAUAUCAAAUAUAUUUAAAAUAGUCAUAUUUAUCUUUUUUUAAACAAUUAUUCUUAGAAAAAUAUUUAACAAAAACACAUAAUGAUAAAAACAUAUUUUAAUUUGAAAAAUUAUAAUAAAUUUAUUGUUACAAAACAUUCAAACCCGCGAAACCGCGGGCAUCCACCUAGUAUGUGUUGACCCCGACGAAAAUAAUGAGUUUUUUCGGUAAAUGUUUUAUUACUGAAGCCUAUGAUUUUAAGUGUUAUUUUAAAAUUUCUAAUCACAUUUCAAAUUUGUAUUAAUAUAUAUUAAACUCUCUUUCACGGUACAUAGGCAUUGUUUUAAUUUUUUAUCAAUUAAUUUAGUAAAACUUCAUAAUACUUCUAAAAUUGGUGGUCUAACCACUAUAAAAUCGCUAUUCUCUAGAGAAACGGAGAAACAAAGGUUCCAAACCUCUUUGACCUUCAUCAUAUGUUAGUGCAGGAUGCAACUAUGCAUUAAAACAAUAUUGUCAUAUUUUUGAAUUUUUCUCAAAAUUUAUGUGUUAACCCUUACGAAAAUAUUGAGUUUUUCGGUAAAUUCUCUAUAUACUGAAGCCUAUCAUCUCUAAUGUUGUUUUAAAAUUUCUAAACACAUUCUAAAUUUGUAUUAAUGUAUAUUAAGCUCUCUUUCAUGGUACACGGACAUCGUUUUAAUUUUUUAAUCAAUUAAUUUAGUAAAACUUUAUAAUACUCCCUAAAUUGGUGAAGUAGCCACUAUAAAAUCGCUAUUCUGUAGAGAAACGCAGACAACAAAGUUUCCAAACCUAUUUGACAUUCAUCAUAUGUUAGUGAAGUAUGCAAUUUUACAUUAAAACAAUAUUUUCAUAUUUUUGAUUUUUUCUCAAAAUCUAUGUGUUAACUCCCUACAAAAAUAUUGAAUUUUUCGGUAAAUGUUCUAUAUAUUGAAACCUAUGGUCUUUAGUGUUGUUUUAAAAUUUAUAAACACAUUAUACAUUUGUAUAAAUGUAUAUUAAACUCUAUUUCAAGGUACAUGUGCAUUGUUUUAAUUUUUCAUCAAUCAAUUUUGUAAAACUUUAUAAUAUUCCCUAAAUUGGUGGACUAACCACUAUAAUAUCGCUAUUCUCUAGAGAAACGGAGACAACAAAGGUUCCAAACCUCUUUGACCUUCAUCAUAUGUUAGUGUAGGAUGCAAUUAUGCAUGAAAAUAAUAUUGCUAUAUUUUUGAUUUUUUUUUUCAAAAUCUAUAUGUUAACAACUACAAAAAUAGUUUUUCGGUAAAUGUUCUAUAUACUAAAGCCUAUGAUUUUUAGUGUUUUUUUUAAUUUCUAAACACAUUCUACAUUUUUUAUAAAUGUAUAUUAAACUCUUUUUAAUGGUACAUCGGCAUCACUUUAAUUUUUUAUCCACUAAAUUAGUAAAACUUAUUAAUACUCCCUAAAUUGGUGGACUAACCACUACAAAAUCGUCAUUCUCUAGAGAAACAGAGACAACAAAGGUAACAAACCUCUUUGACCUUCAUCAUAUGUUAGUUUAGGAAGAAAUUAUGCAUUAAAAAAGUAUUGUUAUAUUUUUUGAAUUUUUUCCAAAAUUUAUGUGUUAAACCCCCUACGGAAAUUUGAGUUUUUCGGUAAAUGCUCUAUAUACUGAAGCCUAUGAUCUCUAGUGUUGUUUUAAAAUUUCUAAACACAUUCUACAUUUGUAUUAAAGUAUACUAAACUCUCUUUCAUGGUCCAUGGACAUCGCUUUAAUUUUUUAUCAAUCCCCUAUAUAUUAUUUGUAAAACAUUACAACUUCUUUUUGUAUCCACAUGUCAUCACUAGGAUGAUUCUUAGAAUUAUUAGAGAAAUAGGUUGGUCCAUCUCAUUAUAUAAUAAGCUUUUUAUUAAACUAACUAUAAAUUAAUUAUUAAUAUCAUUUAUUAUUUCAUUAAAUAAAGAUUACGGAAUUGCCUAAUGUGGGUAGAGUAUAUAUGACAAUUAAUGAUUUUGAAUAAUAAAGAUUUGAUAAAAAAAAGUAUCUUCUAUCAAAUUUGUUUAAUUUAAAACUAUUAAAAUAAUAUUUUUAAAAACACAAUAACCAUAUUAUAAAAAUUUACAUUUUUCUGUAUAUUUUAUAUUUUGAAUUUUAAAAAAUGACUAUAAAUUACUAAAACUGUUAAAAGUCUCACAUUCAAAUUUUGCGAUCCAUGGUUUAAAAUUUUUGUUAUGACAAAAUACAAAUGAUUACAAAAUCAUAUAAGUAAAAGUCUAAUUUAAUUAAUCAUUAAGAUUUAAAAUAUAUAUGUAUAUAUAUCAUUCUAAAUUAAACUAUAAACCAUAUUGAAUAAAUAAAUAUUUUAGUUUCAAAAUUUACUUUGAAUAAUUUUUUUUGAUAAAAGUUUUGAACUAACAUUGAUAAAUUUUUUAAAAUUAUCAAUUACUAAUAUUAUUAAUCCCACAAUAAAAAAUUUGUUAUCAGUAAUUUAAAGUUUUUGCUAUUAAAAAUACACAUGAUAAAAAAAACAUAUGAGUAGAAAGCAUCAUUUAAAAAAAAAAAAAAAAAAUAGACACUAAUAUUAAAAAUAUACUAUGUAUGUUAAUAUCAUUUAAAUUUAAUUACAUAUCCUAUCAAUUUUUUUUUUUAAAAUGUUUGGAUUAAUAAAAUUGAUUUAUACGUUCGCACCAAUUUAAUUAUAUAUGUAAUAGUUACUGACUUUUAAUUAUUCAAUAUAUAUUUAUUAUUUCAUAAUAUGUAAGAACAUAUAAUACAUAAAAUAAUUUCUAUAUAUAAUGUUUAUCCCGCGCAAGGCGCAGAUCUUAAUCUAGUUAAUUUAGUAAAACUUCAUAAUACUGCCUAAAUUGGUUGACUAACCACUAUAAAAUCGCUAUUCUCUAGAGAAACAGAGACAACAAAGGUUCCAAACUUCUUUGACCUUCAUCAUAUGUUAGUGGAGGAUGAAACUAUACAUUAAAAUAAUAUUUUCAUAUUUUUGAAUUUUUUUCAAAAUCUAUGUGUUAAUAACUCCUACGAAAUAUUGAGUUUUUCGGUAAAUGCUCUAUAUACUAAAGCCUAUGAUCUUUAGUGUUGUUUGAAAAUUUCUAAACACGUUCUACAUUUGUAUCAAUGUAUAUUGAACUCUCUUUCAUGGUAUAUGUGCAUUGUUUUAAUUUUUUAUCAAUUAAUUUUGUAAAACUUUAUAAUAUUCCCCAAAUUGGUGGACUAACCACUAUAAAAUCACUAUUCUUUAGAGAAACGGAGACAACAAAUGUUCCAAACCUCUUUGACCUUCAUCAUAAGUUAGUAUAGGAUGCAAUUAUGCAUGAAAACAGUAUUGUUAUCUUUUUGAAUUUUUUUUCAAAAUCUAUGUGUUAACAACUACGAAAAUAUUAAGUUUUUCGGUAAAUGUUCUAUAUACUAAAGCCUAUGAUCUUUAGUGUUGUUUUUAAAUUUCUAAACACAUUCUACAUUUUUAUAAACGUAUAUAAAACUCUAUUUCGUGGUACAUGAGCAUCGCUUUAAUUUUUUAUCAAUUAAUUUAGUAAAACUUCAUAAUACUCCCUAAAUUGGUGGACUAACCGCUGUAAAAUUGCUAUUCUCUAGAGAAACAUAGAAAACAAAGGUUACAAACCUCUUUCACCUUCAUCAUAUGUUAGUGAAUGAUGCAACUAUGCAUUAAAACAAUAUUUUCAUAUUUUUGAUUUUUUUUCAAAAUCUACGUGUUAUGUUCUAUAUACUGAAGCCUAUGAUCUUUAGUGUUUUUUUUUAAAUUUCUAAACACAUUCUACGUUUGUAUUAAUUUAUAUUAAAUUCUAUUUCAUAGUACAUGGGCAUCAAUUUAAUUUUUUAUCAAUUAAUUUAGUAAAACUUCAUAAUACUCCCUAAAUUGGUGGACUAACCACUAUAAAAUUGCUAUUCUCUAGAGAAACGGAGACAACAAAAGUUCCAAACCUCUUUGACCUUCAUCAUAUGUUAGUGAAGGAUGCAACUAUGCAUUAAAACAAUAUUUUCCUAUUUGUGAUUUUUUUUCAAAAUUUAUGUGUUAACCCCAACGAAAUAUUGAGUUUUUCGGUAAAUGCUCUAUAUACUAAAGCCUAUAUCUUUAGUGUUGUUUGAAAAUUUCAAAACACAUUCUACAUUUGUAUCAAUAUAUAUUAAACUCUUUUUCCUGGUACAUGUGCAUUGUUUUAAUUUUUUAUCAAUUAAUUUUGUAAAACAUCAUAAUAUUCCUAAAAUUGGUGGACUAACCACUAUAAAAUCGCUAUUCUCUUGAGAAACGGAGACAAGAAUGGUUCCAAACCUCUUUGACAUUCAUCAUAUGUUAGUGUAGGAUGCAAUUAUGUAUGAAAACAGUAUUGUUAUAUUUUUGAAUUUUAUUCAAAAUCUAUGUGUUAACCCCUACAAAAAUAUUGAGUUUUUCGGUAAAUGUUCUAUAUAUUGAAGCAUAUGAUCUUUAGUGUUGUUUUAAAAUUUCUAAACACAUUCUACAUAUGUAUUAAUUUAUAUUAAACUAUAUUUCAUGGUACACGGGUAUCGCUUUAAUCUUUUAUCAAUUAAUUUAGUAAAACUUCAUAAUACUCCCAAAAUUGGUGGGCUAACCACUAUAAAAUCGCUAUUCUCUAGAGAAACGGAGACAACAAAGGUUCCAAACCUCUUUGAGCUUCAUCAUAUGUUAAUGAAUGAUGCAACUAUGCAUUAAAACAAUAUUUUCACUUUUUUGAAUUUUUUUCAAAAUCUAUGUGUUAACCCCUUCGAAAUAUUGAGUUUUUCGGUAAAUGCUCUAUAUACUAAAUUCUAUGAUCUUUAGUGUUGUUUUAAAAUUUCUAAACACAUUCUAAAUUUGUAUAAAUGUAUAUUAAACUCUCUUUCUUGGUACAUGUGCAUUGUUUUAUUUUUUUUAUCAAUUAGUUUUGUAAAACUUCAUAAUAUUCCUUGAAUUGGUGGACUAACCACUACAAAUCGCUAUUUUCUAGAGAAACGGAGAAAACAAAGGUUCCAAACCUCUUUGACAUUCAUCAUAUGUUAGUGUUUUCAAAAAAAAAAAAAAAGAGGAUCGGUUUUUAUGGUUUGAAAAACCUCAGUAUGCAGAUUACGUAUGUAAAGUUGAAUGGUAGGAUGCAAUUAUGCAUGAAAACAGUAUUGUUAUAUUUUUGAUUUUUUUUCAAAAUCUAUGUGUUAAUCCCUACGAAAAUAUUAAGUUUUUCGGUAGAUGUUCUAUAUACUGAAGCCAAUGAUCUUUAGUGUUGUUUUAAAAUUUCUAAACACAUUCUACAUUUUUAUAAACGUAUAUUAAACUCUCUUUCACGGUACAUGGGCAUCGCUUUAAUUUUUUAUCAAUUAAUUUAGUAAAAUUUCAUAAUACUCCCUAAAUUGGUGGACUAACCACUAUUAAUUCGCUAUUCUCUAGAGAAGCGUAGACAACAAAGGUUCCAAACCUCUUUGACCUUCAUCAUAUGUUAGUAAAAGAAGCAACUAUGCAUUAAAACAAUAUUUUUGAAUUUUUCUCAAAAUCUAUGUGUUAACCCCCCUACGAAAUAUUGAGGUUCUCGGUAAAUGCUUUAUAUACUAAAGCCAAUGAUCUUUAGUGUUGUUUUAAAAUUUCUAAACACAAUUUAAAGUUUCAUUAAUGUAUAUUAAACUUUUUUUCAUGUUACAUGUGCAUUUUUUUAUUAUCAAGUAAUUUAGUAAAACCUUAUCACAUUUUAUCUAAAUUGGUGGACUUGCCACUAUAAUAUCGCUAUUCUCUAGAGAAACGGAGACAACAAAGGUUCCAAACUUCUUUGAACUUCAUCAUAUGUUAGUAUAGGAUGCAAUUAUGCAUUAAAAAAAUAUUGUUAUAUUUUUGAAUUUUGUUCAAAAUCUAUGUGUUUAACUAACCCCUACGAAAAUAUUGAGUUUUUCUGUUAAUGUUCUAUAUACUGAAGCCUAUGAUAUUUAGUGUUGUUUUAAUAUUUCUAAACACAUUCUACCUUUUUAUUAAUGUAUAUUAAACUCUCUUUCAUGGAACUUGAGCAUCGCUUUAAUUUUUUAUCAAUUAAUUUAAUAAAACUUUGUAAUACUCUCUAAAUUGGUGGACUACUAACCACUAUAAAAUCGUUAUUUUCUAGAGAAACGGAGACAACAAAGGUUACAAGCCUCUUUGACCUUCAUCAUAUGUUAGUGAAGGAUGCAACUAUGCAUUAAAUCAAUAUUUUCAUUUUUUUGAAUUUUUUUCAAAAUCUAUGUGUAACCCCGACGAAAUAUUGAGUUUUUUGGUAAAUGCUCUAUAUACUAAAGCCUAUGAUCUUUAGUGUUGUUUUAAAAUCUCUAAACACAUUCUACAUUUAUAUUAAUGUAUAUUAAACUUUCUUUCAUGGUACAUGUGCAUUGUUUUAAUUUUGUAUCAAUUAAUUUAAUAAAACUUCGUAAUAUUCCCUAAAUUAAUGGACUAACCACUAUAAAAUCACUAUUCUCUAGAGAAACUGAGACAACAAAGGUUCCAAACCUCUUUGACCUUCAUCAUAUGUUAGUUUAUGAUGCAAUUAUGCAUUAAAACGGUAUUGUUAUAUUUUUGAAUUUUUCUCAAAGUCUAUGUGUUAACCCCCUACGAAAAUUUGAGUUUUUCGAUAAAUGCUCUAUAUAUUGAAGCCUAUGAUCUUUAGUGUUGUUUUAAAAUUUCUAAACACAUUCUACAUUUAUAUUAAUGUAUAUUAAACUCUCUUUCAUGGUACAUGGACAUCGUUUUAAUUUUUUUAUCAAUUAAUUAAGUAAAACUUCAUAAUACUCCCUAAAUUGGUGGAAUACCACUAUAAAAUCACUAUUCUCUAGAGUAACGGAGACAACAAAGGUUCCAAAGCUCUUUGACCUUCAUAAUAUGUUAGUGUAGGAUGCAAGUAUGCAUUAAAACAGCAUAGUUAUAUUUUUGAAUUUUUUUCAAAUUCCCAUACGAAAAUAUUGAGAUUUUCUGUAAAUGUUCUAUAUACUAAAGCAUGUGAUCUUUAGUGUUGUUUUAAAAUUUCUAAACAAAUUCUACAUUUUUAUUAAUGUAUAUUAAACACUAUUUCAUGGUAUAUGGGCAUCGGUUUAAUUUUUUAUCAAUUAAUUUAGUAAUACUCCCUAAAUUAGUGGACUAACCACUAUAAAAUCACUAUUCUCUAGAGAAGCGGAGACAACAAAGGUUCCAAACCUCUUUGACCUUCAUCAUAUGUUAGUUUAGGAUGUAAUUAUGCAUUAAAACGGUAUUGUUAUAUUUUUGAAUUUUUCUCAAAGUCUAUGUGUUAACCCCUACGAAAUAUUGAGUUUUUCGGUAAAUGCUCUAUAUACUAAAGCCUAUGAUCUUUAGUGUUGUUUUAAAAUUUCUAAACACAUUCUACAUUUGUAUAAAUGUAUAUUUAACUCUCUUACAAGGUACAUGUGCAUUGUUUUAAUUUAUUAUCAAUUAGUUUUGUAAGACUUCAUAAUAUUCCUUGAAUUGGUGGACUAACCACUAUAAAUCGCUAUUCUCUAGAGAAACGGAGAAAACAAAGGUUCCAAACCUCUUUCAUAUGUUAGUGUUUUCAAAAAAAAAAGAAAAGAGGAUCGUUUUUUAUGGUUUGAAAAACCUCAGUAUGCAGAUGACCUAUGUAAAGUUGAAUGGUAGGAUGCAAUUAUGCAUGAAAAAAGUAUUGUUAUAUUUUUAAUUUUUUUUCAAAAUCUAUGUGUUAACAACCCCUACGAAAAUAUUGAGUUUUUCGGUAAAUGUUAUAUAUACUGAAGCCUAUGAUCUUUAGUGUUGUUUUAAAAUUUCUAAACACAUUCUACAUUUUUAUAAAUGUAUAUUAAACUCUCUUUCAUGGUACAUGGGCAUCGCUUUAAUUUUUUAUCAAUUAAUUUAGUAAAACUUCAUAAUAUUCCCUAAAUUGGUGGACUAACCACUAUUAAUUCGCUAUUCUCUAGAGAAACGGAGACAACAAAGGUUCCAAACCUCUUUGACAUUCAUCAUAUGUUAGUGAAAGAUGCAACUAUACAUUAAAACAAUAUUUUUGAAUUUUUGAUUUUUUCUCAAAAUCUAUGUGUCCCCCUUACGAAAUAUUGAGUUUCUCGGUAAAUGCUAUAUUUACUAUAGCCUAUGAUCUUUAGUGUUGUUUUAAAAUUUAUAAACACAAUCUAAAUUUUUAUUAAUGUAUAUUAAACUCUCUUUUGUGGUACAUGUGCAUUUUUUUUUUAUCAAGUAAUUUAGUAACACUUUAUCAUAUUCCCUAAAUUGCUGGACUGACCACUAUAAUAUCGUUAUUCUCUAGAGAAACGUAGACAACAAAGGUUCAAAACCUCUUUGAACUUCAUCAUAUGUUAGUGUAAGAUGCAAUUAUGCAUUAAAAAAAUAUUAUUAUAUUUUUGAAUUUUGUUCAAAAUCAAUGUGUUUAACCCCUAUGAAAAUAUUGAGUUUUUCUGUCAAUGUUCUAUAUACUGAAGCCUGCGAUCUUUAGUGUUGUUUUAAUAUUUCUAAACACAUUCUACCUUUUUAUUAAUGUAUAUUAAACUCUAUUUCAUAGAACUUGAGCAUCGCUUUAAUUUUUUAUCAAUUAAUUUAAUAAAACUUCGUAAUACUCUUGAAAUAGGUGGACUACUAACCACUAUAAAAUCGCUAUUUUCUAGAGAAACAGAGACAACAAAGGUUCCAAACCUCUCUGACCUUCAUCAUAUGUUAGUGAAGGAUGCAAAUAUGCAUUAAAUCAAUAUUUUCAUAUUUUUGAAUUUUUCUCAAAAUCUAUGUGUAACCCCGACGAAAUAUUGAGUUUUUCGGUAAAUGCUCUAUAUACUGAAGCCUAUGAUCAUUAGUGUUGUUUUAAAAUUUCUAAACACAUUCUACAUUUGUAUUAAUGUAUAUUAAACUUUCUUUCAUGGUACAUGUGCAUUGUUUUAAUUUUUUAUCAAUUAAUUUAGUAAAAUUUUGUAAUAUUCUCUAAAUUAGUGGACUAACCACUACAAAAUCACUGUUCUCUAGAGAAACGGAGACAACAAAGGUUCCAAAACUCUUUGACCUUCAUCAUAUGUUAGUUUAGGAUGCAAUUAUGCAUUAAAACGGUAUUGUUAUAUUUUUGAAUUUUUCUCAAAAUCUAAGUGUUAACCCCUACGAAAAUUUGAGUUUUUCGGUAAAUGCUCUAUAUACUGAAGCCUAUGAUCUUUAUUGUUGUUUUAAAAUUUCUAAACACAUUAUACAUUUGUAUUAAUGUAUAUUAAACUCUCUUUCAUGGUACAUGAGCAUCGUUUUAAUUUUUUUAUCAAUUAAUUUAGUAAAACUUCAUAAUAUUCCCUAAAUUGGUGGACUAACCACUAUAAAAUCACUAUUCUCUAGAGAAACGGAGACAACAAAUGUUCCAAAGCUCUUUGACCUUCAUAAUAUGUUAGCGUAGGAUGCAAUUAUGCAUUAAAACAGUAUUGUUAUAUUUUUGAAUUUUUUUCAAAAUCCCCUACGAAAAUAUUGAGAUUUUCUGUAAAUGUUCUAUAUACUGAAGCCUGUGAUCUUUAGUGUUGUUUUAAAAUUUCUAAACACAUUAUACAUUUUUAUUAUUGUAUAUUAAACUCUAUUUCAUGGUACGUGGACAUCGCUUUAAUUUUUUAUCAAUUAGUUUAGUAAAACUUCGUAAUACUCCCUAAAUUGGUGGACUAACCUCUAUAAAAUCGCUUUUCUCUAGAGAAACAGAGAAACUUAGGAUCCAAACCUCUUUUACCUUCAUCAUAUAUUAGUGAAUGAUGAAACUAUGCAUUAAAACAAUAUUUUCAUAUUUUUGAAUUUUUCUCAAAUUCUAUGUGUUUUUCAGUAAAUGCUCUAUAUAUUGAAAGCCUAUGAUCUUUCGUGUUAUUUUAAAAUUUCUAAACACAUUCUAAAUUUGUAUUAAUGUAUAUUAAACUAUUUUUCAUGGUACAUGCGCAUUGUUUUAAUUUUUUAUCAAUUAAUUUAGUAAAACUUCGUAAUAUUCCCUAAAUUAGUGGACUAACAACUAUAAAAUCACUAUUCUCUAGAGAAACGACGACAACAAAGGUUCCAAACCUCUUUGACAUUCAUCAUAUGUUAGUUUAGGAUGCAAUUAUGCAUUAAAACAGUAUUGUUAUAUUUUUUAGUUUUUCUCAAAAUCUAUGUGUGAACCCCUACAAAAAUUUGGGUUUUUCGGUAAAUGUUCUAUUUACUGAAGCCUAUGAUCUUUAGUGUUAUUUUAAAAUUUCUAAACACAUUAUACAUUUGUAUUAAUGUAUAUUAAACUCUAUUUCAUGGUACAUGAGAAUCGCUUUAAUUUUUUAUCAAUUAAUUUAGUAAAACUUCAUAAUACUCCCUAAAUUGGUGGACUAACCACUAUAAAAUUGUUAUUCUCUAAAGAAAUGAAGACAACAGAGGUUCCAAACCUGUUUGACAUUCAUCAUAUGUUAGUGAAGAAUGAAACUAUGCAUUAAAACAAUAUUUUCAUAUUUUUGAAUUUUUCUCAAAAUCUAUGUGUUAACACCCCUACGAAAUAUUGAGUUUUUCGGUAAAUGCUCUAUAACUGAAGCUUAUGAUCUUUAGUGUUGUUUUAAAAUUUCAAAAUACAUUCUACAUUUUAAUUAAUGUAGAUGAAACAACACUCUUUCAUGGUACAUGGACAUCGUUUCAUUAAUUAAUUUAGUAAGACUCUAUAUUUGGAGUAAAAAAAUAACAUACUAUAUAUUUCACUAUAUUAUAGAGUAAUUAUAUUACAGAGUGAACCAUUGAAGCAAAUCUAACUCUGUAAUAGAGUUACAAUAUUUUAGAGUGAAAUAUAGAUAAUUGUUUUGUUUACCAUUAGAGAUGCUCUAAGAAAAAAUAUUUUAUUUUGAAAUUUAAACUAUUUAUGUACAUUCAAAUAAUAUCAUGGGGCUUUAUAUGCAGAAUUUUAGUGAACAUACUAAAAUUGAAUUUAUCUGAUCUAAUACAUAUAUAUAUCCGAUUAAUUCAAUUGUAUCGGAUCAACACAUAAUAUCCCCUAUAUAUUAAUCCUCGAGCAUUACAACAUGUUUCGUAGCCACAUGUCAUCACGAAAAUGAUUCUUAGAAUUGUUAGAAAAAUAAGUUGGUCCAGAUAAACAUAUACUAUGCUUUUUAUUAAACUAACUAUCAAAUUAAUUAAUAGUAUACAAAAAAAUAUUUUUCUUUCCUUAAAUAAAAGCUAUGAAAUUACCUAAUAUGGUUAACAUAUAUAUGUGACAAUUAAUGAUUAUGAAUAAUACAUAUGUGAUAAAAAAAAUUCUAUCAUCUCUCUUUUUUGUUUAAUUUUAUACUAUUAAAAAAAAAUUAAACAAUCACAUUAAGCAUAUAAUAAAAACAAUUAGAUUUUUUCUUAUAUGUUAUAUUUUUUAAUUUUUAAAAACGACUAUAAAUUACUAAAAAUGGUAAAAGUCCCACAUUUAAAAUUUUGUGAUCAAUAGUCUAACUUUUUUUUGUUCAAGCAAGAUACAAAUGAUCAUAUAUCAUAGGGGUGGGCAUUCGGAUACAUGUUCAGGUUUGUAUCAUAUAUUUCAGUAUAAAGGUAUAGAACCUGUUCGGGUAUUUCUACACUUCGAGUUGGGUUCGGGUAUUUUAUGUUCGGGUUUGGAUAUUUUGGAUCGGAUUUGGAUAUUUAAAUUUUGAAGAAAAAAAAAAUAAAUUAUUCAUUGUUUAAGUUUUUUGUAUUUAAAAUAUAUUUUAACUUAGCUGUUUUUUUAAAAAUUUUAAAAGAUUAAACUAUUAAUAGGUUUGGAGAUAAAACUUAAAAAUAGAAAGAUACUAAUUUAGUUGUUGUUUUGAAAAUUUAGAGGCAAAUUUUGUUAAUGGAAAAAACAAGAACCUGAUAUGUAUUUUAAGUGAGUAGCAAAUGAUUUUGUCCAUAAUUAUAUGUAUAUUAUCUAAUUUUGAGCAAUAAGAAUCAUUAAUAUAAAUAUUUUUAAUAAAAUGAGAGAAAUAAACUAGAAAUAUAGAGUUAAGUAUACUUAUGUAUGGUUAUCUUCGGAUAUCCAUUCGGGUUUGGAUAUUACCCAUUCGGAUUCAGAUAUUACCCAAACUGGUGAAAUAAGUCAUUUGUUUUGUUGUUCUAAUUAGAUGAUUUUUAAACCGAGCUGGUGAAUAUAUACUAGACAAACAUUUAUAUUUCGAGUCUGCACUUAUAUUCUAUAACAGUUUGAUAUAUUAGAUUUGAACACUAACUUGUUAAUAUAGUUUGCGAGUGAUUUUUUUUCAAAAUUUUGAUUCUUAGAUAUGAAUAUGGAGUGAAACUGAUUUUUACAGAUGUCUAUUUUUUUAAUUGAUACUUAUGUAAUUCACUGAAUUCAUAAAAUAAGUUUUUAAAAGAAACUUAACUCAAAUCAAUGAAACAAAGACGAUAACGAAAUCAUAAUUCUAUAGAGGUAGAAAAUGAAAUCACUUAUGAAGAGUCAAUAGUAAACAAUCGAGAGCAGAAAAACUAAUCCCCUUUCAUCAUUAUAUAAUCAAUGUCGUCUAUUUGGUUUUGGUGAUCUCUGUGGCCUCAAAACUUAAUUUCUUUUUUUUUUUGCAUACGAAAUCUAAAAAUAAUUAAAAUGAGAUGUAAUACGUUAGCUCUUUAACAACGAUGAUAUAUUUAAGAGACCAACAUUUGUAUUCAUCAUUUUAUAAUGGAUAAAUAUUGUACGGUUGCGAAAUGUUAAAAUCAUAUUUCAUAAACGAGCAUUAUAAGAAUAUCAUCCAGCAUACAUAUAUUAGGGAUAUCCAUAUGUUUAAUUUGAGGGAUUAUCAACAAACAUUUUAGAGAUAGAAAGAGAGUGAGGAAGGGAGAGGACGAGAGAUGGAGAAGAACAAUGCGAUGAUGAUACUAGAAGAGAUCAAAUCUUCCGACGUAAGCUUCUUCUUUGUCUCCUCCAGCUUCGAUUAAUUUUCCAGGAAUCUGUAAAAAAACUUCCAGUUAAAUCUCGCGACUGUUCCGUACCAUCUUCGUCCUGCGCUAUGUAAAUUCUACAAUCCGUAUCCUUCCGAUUGCUUGAUUUAUUGUGUGGAUUGAGUUUUCCGCAGCUUAAAAUCUGUUAUCAGCUGAAUCAAUUUCGUUUUUGAUCCGUGUACAUAUAUGUUUGUAUCCUCUUGAGGUCUACGAAGAAGAAAGUACAUUAGGAGUUGUAGCUAUUAAGAAUGGAUUUACUGAAAGCAGUUGCAAUUUUUUUAGCACAUAAGGUCUAACGAGCUUUCAAUUUGUACAACAACAGCUGAUUGAGAACCGGGUUCAACUACUCACGCAGCUCGCUCAGUUAGAUACACAAGGGGAUUCUGAUGUGCCCUCUUUCCUCCAGAGCCUAACAGUAUCCACACUUUGUUGAAAUAUGUUCAGUUGUACGCUCUGAUCUCUAUGUGUUUGAUUGUUGGUUUUAGGGAAAAUAUCGUGCGAAUAGAGAUUCCAGGAUAAUGAUAUUGAACACUUUUGCACUGAAGUUAUUAUCUGCUUCAUGUUUGAUAUGUUUUAAGUGUUACUACUAUGGUUCACUUGGGCUAAGACAAUUAGAUAUGGUUUAAAUGGUAUGUUCUGGCAUGUUUCAUGUCGUUACCCAAACUGGUGAAAUAAGUCAUUUGUUUUGUUGUUCUAAUUAGAUGAUUUUUAAACCGAGCUGGUGAAUAUAUACUAGACAAACAUUUAUAUUUCGAGUCUGCACUUAUAUUCUAUAACAGUUUGAUAUAUUAGAUUUGAACACUAACUUGUUAAUAUAGUUUGCGAGUGAUUUUUUUUCAAAAUUUUGAUUCUUAGAUAUGAAUAUGGAGUGAAACUGAUUUUUACAGAUGUCUAUUUUUUUAAUUGAUACUUAUGUAAUUCACUGAAUUCAUAAAAUAAGUUUUUAAAAGAAACUUAACUCAAAUCAAUGAAACAAAGACGAUAACGAAAUCAUAAUUCUAUAGAGGUAGAAAAUGAAAUCACUUAUGAAGAGUCAAUAGUAAACAAUCGAGAGCAGAAAAACUAAUCCCCUUUCAUCAUUAUAUAAUCAAUGUCGUCUAUUUGGUUUUGGUGAUCUCUGUGGCCUCAAAACUUAAUUUCUUUUUUUUUUUGCAUACGAAAUCUAAAAAUAAUUAAAAUGAGAUGUAAUACGUUAGCUCUUUAACAACGAUGAUAUAUUUAAGAGACCAACAUUUGUAUUCAUCAUUUUAUAAUGGAUAAAUAUUGUACGGUUGCGAAAUGUUAAAAUCAUAUUUCAUAAACGAGCAUUAUAAGAAUAUCAUCCAGCAUACAUAUAUUAGGGAUAUCCAUAUGUUUAAUUUGAGGGAUUAUCAACAAACAUUUUAGAGAUAGAAAGAGAGUGAGGAAGGGAGAGGACGAGAGAUGGAGAAGAACAAUGCGAUGAUGAUACUAGAAGAGAUCAAAUCUUCCGACGUAAGCUUCUUCUUUGUCUCCUCCAGCUUCGAUUAAUUUUCCAGGAAUCUGUAAAAAAACUUCCAGUUAAAUCUCGCGACUGUUCCGUACCAUCUUCGUCCUGCGCUAUGUAAAUUCUACAAUCCGUAUCCUUCCGAUUGCUUGAUUUAUUGUGUGGAUUGAGUUUUCCGCAGCUUAAAAUCUGUUAUCAGCUGAAUCAAUUUCGUUUUUGAUCCGUGUACAUAUAUGUUUGUAUCCUCUUGAGGUCUACGAAGAAGAAAGUACAUUAGGAGUUGUAGCUAUUAAGAAUGGAUUUACUGAAAGCAGUUGCAAUUUUUUUAGCACAUAAGGUCUAACGAGCUUUCAAUUUGUACAACAACAGCUGAUUGAGAACCGGGUUCAACUACUCACGCAGCUCGCUCAGUUAGAUACACAAGGGGAUUCUGAUGUGCCCUCUUUCCUCCAGAGCCUAACAGUAUCCACACUUUGUUGAAAUAUGUUCAGUUGUACGCUCUGAUCUCUAUGUGUUUGAUUGUUGGUUUUAGGGAAAAUAUCGUGCGAAUAGAGAUUCCAGGAUAAUGAUAUUGAACACUUUUGCACUGAAGUUAUUAUCUGCUUCAUGUUUGAUAUGUUUUAAGUGUUACUACUAUGGUUCACUUGGGCUAAGACAAUUAGAUAUGGUUUAAAUGGUAUGUUCUGGCAUGUUUCAUGUCGUCCUUGACAGCAGUAUAGGCACUCUGGGAAGACGUCACAUGUCUUGACGUGUCACAGUGUUUGUUGAACAAGGCGAUUCUGCAUGUUGCUUCAAAGUACCUGGCUUUGGAUCGUUCUGAUUGCUCUCAAUAUUUUCUAGCUUUUGGUAUUAAGGUACAAUAUUUUCCCUUUUGCUGCUUAGUGCUGAGCCUCAUUAGUUGUUGUAUUAUCUUUUCUUACUCCACUUCUCGUAGGUAAGCCCAUGGUGUGGGAAACAUUUAUACAUGUCUGUUAUGUCCAUGGAGGAGUCUCAAGAGGAAGAGCAUUCUAACAUUUUCUUUCAGGUUGGUAAUGUUAGACGCUUCUGUAAGUACAAGUCUGUCAGAGAUUACUGGUCGACUGAGCUAUUCUAUCAUUCUUAAUGCAGCUUCUUUUGGAUUAUCUUCGCUUUUCUGCCUCAAGCUUUACUGCUAUUGGAAAAACAUGUUUCGUGAGUGAUGAGGCCUCAGCUGUUAAGUUUGUUUCAGAGCAGCUGAAUUUGACAAAGGAGGUGAUAUUGAAUGCCAAGGUAUCUUCCGGAAAUCAUCUGAACAAUGAAUUAAUUAGCAUAUGUUUUGACUGAAGUUACAUUUUCUACUGGAGGUUGAGAUUAGUGUUUAGCAUUGUUGUCAUCUGUUAAUAGCAUUAAUAGCUUUCACCUUAUUUUUGAAACAGAAAGUUGAAUCCUUUUCCUCGGAGAUUCUUAAGGCUGUGCAAGGGGUGAUUGACUCUAUCGUUCGUCUGUGCAAAGAGUUCUCUCCAACAGUGAAUCAGUGUGUGAACGAAAUGAAGAUUAAUGGAAAUGUAGGAAUAGCAAGGAUGGAGGAAGGCAACAGUGUAUGUAAUUUGGUUAGCAUAAUUACGAUGGGAAUUAAAUCUAUGAGCGAAUUGGGUAUGCUUGCUGCAAGAGAUGGUGGUAAUCUUGUGACAAUUCUUAAUACAUCAUGGAAGGGUGUGAUUACUUUGCUUCAGAUAGACAAGCAGACAUUGGCAUCUAAGGUAGAUGUAGGAGAAAUCAUUCUAAAGCUGAUAUCACUGAUCAAGGAGUCUCUGAGAUUUGCCGCUGAGGCUUGGUCUUGCUCAGCGAAGGAAAACAUAUCUGCAACAGAAGCCAGAAGAGUCUUUCUUCCUGUGAAAUUUUAUCUCAUCAAUGCUGUUAAAGUUGCGGCGCUUUUUCCAAGCCAGGCGUCUAUGGUGUUCAAGGAAAUAUCACUCUGCAUCUUGAUGAUCUCUGCGUUCAAAGUUUCGCUGAGCCAACAAACCCAUGGCAAACACGCAAGUGAAGUAAUGACGGAUCUUCUUGAGAAAACAACUGUAGAUCUUCUAAGUGCACUGUUGAACGCAGGCGAAAUAACACAAGAACUCAGGCUCUCACUUCUUGAUUCGUUGUUCAUAAAUGAACAAUGUUUCUCAACCCAAGUUUGUAACAAACAGGGCCAUGAUUCGCAGACAGAACCAUCAUUGGUGGAUAUCCUGUCUUUAUCUGUUGAAUCCGCAGCAAGUGCCAGAGGUUUGCUCCUGGCCCGAGUUGUACUGUUUCAGUCUGUCAUUAGGUAUUCUUCUGAGCUUGAAGAAGAUGCAAAGCUUGCAAUCACCAGAAAGCUGCAAUGGUUUCUCGACAUAUUAACAGACGAAAAGGUUUACACUUCAGUCCUUUCUUCUCAGCUACCAAUGGCAGAUGGUUCUGGGAAGACAAUAAUCUGGGAAUCGAUGUUUUCAGCUCUGCUUCUAUCUCUUAAAAGCCUUAUGAUUAUUCUGUCUUCAUCUCCUGCAUGGGAAGAGCUUGAAACACUCUUACUCCAGAAUCUCUUGCAUCCCCACUUCCUGUGUUGGCAGAUAGUCAUGGAACUCUGGUGCUUCUGGGCUCGUCAUGCCACUGACGAUACGGUGGCCAAUGUGAUCGAUAAACUUUGUAUCUUCAUGUUGUCAAUGUCAACAUCAGAAGCGCCUCUUUGUCCUGAUUCCGUUCUCAGAAGAACUGCAAAGUCCAUCUGCUUUCUUCUCACUCACAGCCCCAAAUCCUUAACAGCUCAAGUUUACAAAAACAUUUCCACUGAGAGCAGAUCUGAAUCGGCACCAGAUGCAUAUCUAGCCUUACUGUUAGAGGGCUUUCCGCUGAAUUUCCUUCCAGACAGAAUGAAAAACGACGCGAAGAAACAGAUCUUCGCAGAGUUCUUUCACUUCAUUGAGAAUUUCAAUCAGAAACCAUUAAGUUCCUCCAGAUACUCUGUGCAGGGAGGUCCAGUUUUCGCACUAACUGCUUGCAUUGGGAUACUGUAAGUAACUAUGAUAUCUACUCUUGACAUUUCCCUAGAAACUUAAACUGAAUAUCAUUUAAAACUUUUGUGUUGUGGUCAUUGUGGAUAUUGACUCUUGUCAUUUUUUCUCUGUAGGAAGAUGAGCAUACCAGAGAUUGACUCCAAAACUCUGAAGUUUGGCGUCGCUCUCAUUCAAAAGCUCAGAAACUCCAAAGAUGAAAUGACAAGGGACCGUUACACUGAGAUUCUCAGCGAAACACUAUCAAUCAUCUCAAGAAGCGAGCAGCUAUACACUUGCCAAGAGAUGGAUAAUGUCAUAACAGAGCUUCAAAGGCUUUUCAUUACAGAAACUGAUAACAGUCAGCAUCAUCUCCAUAAACUGAAGCCAAGCCUUGCUCUCUUCUUGUCAGGACUUAGCAAUUACGAGAUGUCUGAAACCGAAACCUGUCCAAAGAGCCGUGCAGUCUGGGAACUCUACCAUUUGCUUCUCAGGAAACGCCACUGGGCUUUGGUGCACCACGCGGUUACUGCGUUUGGUUAUUUCUGCGCACGUACUGGCUGUGCCCAGCUAUGGAGAUUCGUACCUGAAGACGCUGCUCUAGCUUUCGAUAUAGCUUCUGGAAAAGAAGCAAAAACAGAGCGGUUCAUGUCAGAGUUAAAGAUGUUCUUGGAGAAAGAACAAGCGCUUCUCUCGACCACAGCUUCACAAGAGGAACUCGAGAUGCUUUCGAAAGAAGGCACGCAGGUCAAAGCAACAGUGCAGAAGCUUUUAGAAGGAAGAAAGCAGCAGAGAUCAAUGGAAGUAGAGAAACAAUCGAACAAGAGAAGGAAGCUUCCAGAAGGAAUAUGCAGAGGAGUGGAGUUAUUGCAGAAGGGAAUGAAGAGGAUCAACGAAGGUUUAAGUGAGAUGAGUUCAGAUGAGAGUCAAGACUUUCAAAAGAGUAUACUGAAUCAGUUUUCAUGUCUUGAAGAUUUGGUGUCUCAUUUGGUAAGCCUCGCUGCUUCNNNNNNNNNNNNNNNNNNNNNNNNNNNNNNNNNNNNNNNNNNNNNNNNNNNNNNNNNNNNNNNNNNNNNNNNNNNNNNNNNNNNNNNNNNNNNNNNNNNNNNNNNNNNNNNNNNNNNNNNNNNNNNNNNNNNNNNNNNNNNNNNNNNNNNNNNNNNNNNNNNNNNNNNNNNNNNNNNNNNNNNNNNNNNNNNNNNNNNNNNNNNNNNNNNNNNNNNNNNNNNNNNNNNNNNNNNNNNNNNNNNNNNNNNNNNNNNNNNNNNNNNNNNNNNNNNNNNNNNNNNNNNNNNNNNNNNNNNNNNNNNNNNNNNNNNNNNNNNNNNNNNNNNNNNNNNNNNNNNNNNNNNNNNNNNNNNNNNNNNNNNNNNNNNNNNNNNNNNNNNNNNNNNNNNNNNNNNNNNNNNNNNNNNNNNNNNNNNNNNNNNNNNNNNNNNNNNNNNNNNNNNNNNNNNNNNNNNNNNNNNNNNNNNNNNNNNNNNNNNNNNNNNNNNNNNNNNNNNNNNNNNNNNNNNNNNNNNNNNNNNNNNNNNNNNNNNNNNNNNNNNNNNNNNNNNNNNNNNNNNNNNNNNNNNNNNNNNNNNNNNNNNNNNNNNNNNNNNNNNNNNNNNNNNNNNNNNNNNNNNNNNNNNNNNNNNNNNNNNNNNNNNNNNNNNNNNNNNNNNNNNNNNNNNNNNNNNNNNNNNNNNNNNNNNNNNNNNNNNNNNNNNNNNNNNNNNNNNNNNNNNNNNNNNNNNNNNNNNNNNNNNNNNNNNNNNNNNNNNNNNNNNNNNNNNNNNNNNNNNNNNNNNNNNNNNNNNNNNNNNNNNNNNNNNNNNNNNNNNNNNNNNNNNNNNNNNNNNNNNNNNNNNNNNNNNNNNNNNNNNNNNNNNNUUUUGGGGAAUUGCCACUAAUACCACUUUCCUAAUACCACUUUUCAACUUUACACUUUUCAAUUUUACCAUUAAAAUUUUAAUGGCUAAAGUACCAUUAUACCCUUAUUUAAUCAAACAUACACCUAUUUUCUUUCUCCCAGGAUUCAAACAGUUCCCAAAUUGAAUGACGAGAUUCACGACUCCGAGGAGAUUCUACGAUUAUGAUGAUUUCUCCGGCGAGAUUCGACGACUCCGGCGAGAUUUGAAGACGCUGACGUCCGACGAGAUUUGGCGAAGACUACAAGCUCAAACGAACAAAACAUGACGAAUGCGUAACAAAGGUGAGAGGAUAAUAUAUGGUGAUUUUCGUCUCUUUCUGUAGUUUAAUCUUUGAUUUCUCAAAAUCGAUCAAUUUCUGAGAAGGAAGACGAAGUCUUUCUCAUGAAGUUUUCAAAUCUCAAAUUUAUAAGACUUUCUAAAUUUAUCGAUCAAGAACAUAGUGCUUAUGAAUGAAGACGACUAACCACCAUCAAGUUUUUUCGAUUGUGUUUAUGAAUUCCAUGGAAGCUCCACUGUUUCAAUCUCCUUCUUACUUUCUCGAUUCAACUUAGUUUUAGAAUCUAUACCAAAAUUCCGCAAAAGCAAUCACUAAAGCUUUUGGAUAUCGUUUUUGGUUUCAGCUUAGAGUAAUCAGAAGAAUGCUGAAAGACUAAUCUUGUGACAAUUCUUAAUACAUCAUGGAAGGGUGUGAUUACUUUGCUUCAGAUAGACAAGCAGACAUUGGCAUCUAAGGUAGAUGUAGGAGAAAUCAUUCUAAAGCUGAUAUCACUGAUCAAGGAGUCUCUGAGAUUUGCCGCUGAGGCUUGGUCUUGCUCAGCGAAGGAAAACAUAUCUGCAACAGAAGCCAGAAGAGUCUUUCUUCCUGUGAAAUUUUAUCUCAUCAAUGCUGUUAAAGUUGCGGCGCUUUUUCCAAGCCAGGCGUCUAUGGUGUUCAAGGAAAUAUCACUCUGCAUCUUGAUGAUCUCUGCGUUCAAAGUUUCGCUGAGCCAACAAACCCAUGGCAAACACGCAAGUGAAGUAAUGACGGAUCUUCUUGAGAAAACAACUGUAGAUCUUCUAAGUGCACUGUUGAACGCAGGCGAAAUAACACAAGAACUCAGGCUCUCACUUCUUGAUUCGUUGUUCAUAAAUGAACAAUGUUUCUCAACCCAAGUUUGUAACAAACAGGGCCAUGAUUCGCAGACAGAACCAUCAUUGGUGGAUAUCCUGUCUUUAUCUGUUGAAUCCGCAGCAAGUGCCAGAGGUUUGCUCCUGGCCCGAGUUGUACUGUUUCAGUCUGUCAUUAGGUAUUCUUCUGAGCUUGAAGAAGAUGCAAAGCUUGCAAUCACCAGAAAGCUGCAAUGGUUUCUCGACAUAUUAACAGACGAAAAGGUUUACACUUCAGUCCUUUCUUCUCAGCUACCAAUGGCAGAUGGUUCUGGGAAGACAAUAAUCUGGGAAUCGAUGUUUUCAGCUCUGCUUCUAUCUCUUAAAAGCCUUAUGAUUAUUCUGUCUUCAUCUCCUGCAUGGGAAGAGCUUGAAACACUCUUACUCCAGAAUCUCUUGCAUCCCCACUUCCUGUGUUGGCAGAUAGUCAUGGAACUCUGGUGCUUCUGGGCUCGUCAUGCCACUGACGUUACGGUGGCCAAUGUGAUCGAUAAACUUUGUAUCUUCAUGUUGUCAAUGUCAACAUCAGAAGCGCCUCUUUGUCCUGAUUCCGUUCUCAGAAGAACUGCAAAGUCCAUCUGCUUUCUUCUCACUCACAGCCCCAAAUCCUUAACAGCUCAAGUUUACAAAAACAUUUCCACUGAGAGCAGAUCUGAAUCGGCACCAGAUGCAUAUCUAGCCUUACUGUUAGAGGGCUUUCCGCUGAAUUUCCUUCCAGACAGAAUGAAAAACGACGCGAAGAAACAGAUCUUCGCAGAGUUCUUUCACUUCAUUGAGAAUUUCAAUCAGAAACCAUUAAGUUCCUCCAGAUACUCUGUGCAGGGAGGUCCAGUUUUCGCACUAACUGCUUGCAUUGGGAUACUGUAAGUAACUAUGAUAUCUACUCUUGACAUUUCCCUAGAAACUUAAACUGAAUAUCAUUUAAAACUUUUGUGUUGUGGUCAUUGUGGAUAUUGACUCUUGUCAUUUUUUCUCUGUAGGAAGAUGAGCAUACCAGAGAUUGACUCCAAAACUCUGAAGUUUGGCGUCGCUCUCAUUCAAAAGCUCAGAAACUCCAAAGAUGAAAUGACAAGGGACCGUUACACUGAGAUUCUCAGCGAAACACUAUCAAUCAUCUCAAGAAGCGAGCAGCUAUACACUUGCCAAGAGAUGGAUAAUGUCAUAACAGAGCUUCAAAGGCUUUUCAUUACAGAAACUGAUAACAGUCAGCAUCAUCUCCAUAAACUGAAGCCAAGCCUUGCUCUCUUCUUGUCAGGACUUAGCAAUUACGAGAUGUCUGAAACCGAAACCUGUCCAAAGAGCCGUGCAGUCUGGGAACUCUACCAUUUGCUUCUCAGGAAACGCCACUGGGCUUUGGUGCACCACGCGGUUACUGCGUUUGGUUAUUUCUGCGCACGUACUGGCUGUGCCCAGCUAUGGAGAUUCGUACCUGAAGACGCUGCUCUAGCUUUCGAUAUAGCUUCUGGAAAAGAAGCAAAAACAGAGCGGUUCAUGUCAGAGUUAAAGAUGUUCUUGGAGAAAGAACAAGCGCUUCUCUCGACCACAGCUUCACAAGAGGAACUCGAGAUGCUUUCGAAAGAAGGCACGCAGGUCAAAGCAACAGUGCAGAAGCUUCUAGAAGGAAGAAAGCAGCAGAGAUCAAUGGAAGUAGAGAAACAAUCGAACAAGAGAAGGAAGCUUCCAGAAGGAAUAUGCAGAGGAGUGGAGUUAUUGCAGAAGGGAAUGAAGAGGAUCAACGAAGCUUUAAGUGAGAUGAGUUCAGAUGAGAGUCAAGACUUUCAAAAGAGUAUACUGAAUCAGUUUUCAUGUCUUGAAGAUUUGGUGUCUCAUUUGGUAAGCCUCGCUGCUUCCGAGUAAGAUAUAUACUUUGUUACUCCUGAAUACUGUUUGUUAGUCGAUACUUUCAAUUGUGCAUAAGGAAAAGAUGAUCAAACUAAAGCUGUGUUAAGAAAAAACAAAUUAAAUAUUAGCAAAUGGGCUGUCAGUAUGACAAAUUAUUAUGUUUUCAACCGAUAAUUCAGCUGUUAGAUUCUAAGUACAUCACGCUAAACUGUUGUAUACAAGUUUAUGACUAAUAGUCUUAUUUGCAUUAUGGAAUUUUUUCUAUUAAAUUAUAAUAAAUCACGUUCACUAAGAUUUGAACUCAAAUUUCUUAAGGCAACUCUAAUCAUAAUUCAACACUAAAUUUUGGUGUUGAAUUUUAUUUUUCAUAUCCAACCAUUACACCAAACUACAUACCAAAACUAUGUUAUAUAUUAAAUUUUUAGUUUAAUAAGUCAAUACUUAAAUUAUUUAUAGUUGAAUAAUUAUAUUUAGGGCAAUUCUCCCAAAUAUAUUUUUUUAAGUUUUUGUCACAAAAAUAGCACUCAAAAAAUAAAAUGACCAAAUAGCACCUUUUUGUUUUGAAAAUUUUAAUUUUAUUUUUUUAUUUUAAAAAUUUGAAACUCUAUCUCCAAAACUCCACCCCUUAACUCUAAACUCUAAGUCUAGAUUAGUUAAUAAAACUUAUUUUGGUAAUUUUCUUCCUUGAGGUCUAUUUUUGUGAAAAUAAACUAAAAAUGAUUAUCUAAGGGAAUUUCUCUUAUAUUUAUCUCAGUUUAUUUAAAAUAUUAUUUUUGUCUUUUACUUAAUUUAUAUUUUAUUUUUUAUUCAUGUAAAAUUUAGUUGAAAUUAAAAUUUAUGAAAAGUUCUUUUAUUCUGUUACAAUUUCAAAAUAACACUCAUUUAAUUGUAUUACUAACUGAAAAUAUAAAAUGAUAUUUUAAUGUUUAGUAAUGUCAAAAUAAAAAUGAAAAAUACUAGGAUAUAAUUAUUUAUAACUAUAAGUUAGGAAUAAUUAAUAAUAUUAGUUUACGUAUAAUUAAAUGAAAAAUAAUAAAAUAUAUUAUUUUAGUAUUUAGUGUGAUUAAUAGUAUUACAUCAAAUUUAGUGUAACAUAAUUCACAAAAUACCAAAUUUAGUGAAAUGAUGAUAUUUCUAUUGUUUUUUUUUCAGCAGUCAUUUCUAUUGUUUCAUUUUUUUAGCAACUAAGAUUCAUUUCUAUUGUUUCAUAAAAAAUAAAAGGGAAAUUGCCAAAUAUAACACUUUCAUGAUACCACAUUUCAUUUAUACCUCAACCAAUUUUACCAUUAAAUUUUUAAUAUGUAAAGUACCAUUGUAUCCCUAACUAAUCAAACAUACACCUAUUUUCUUUCUUCCACGAUUCAAACAGUUCCCAAAUUGAACGACGAGAUUCACGACUCCGGGGAGUUCUACGAUUAUGACGAUUUCUCCGGCGAGAUUCAACGACUCCGGCGAGAUUUGAAGACGCUGACGUCCGAUGAGAUUUGGCGAAGACUACAAGCUCAAACGAACAAAACAUGACGAUCUCUCACCACAAAUGCGUAACAAAGGUGAGAGGAUAAUAUAUGGUGAUUUUUGUCUCUUUCUGUAGUUUUAUCUUUGAUUUUUCAAAAUCCAUCAAUUUCUGAGAAGGAAGACGAAGUCUUUCUCAUGAAGUUUUCAAAUCUCAUAAGACUUUAUAAAUUUACCGAUCAAGAACAUAGUGCUUAUGAAUGAAGACGACUAACCACCAUCAAGUUUUUUCGAUUGUGUUUAUGAAUUCCAUGGAAGCUCCACUGUUUCAAUCUCCUUCUUACUUUCUCGAUUCAACUUAGUUUUACAAUCUAUACCAAAAUUCCGUAAAAGCAAUCACUAAAGCUUUUGGAUAUCGUUUUUGGUUUCGGCUUAGAGUAAUCAGAAGAAUGCUGAAAGAACCCUCCUUUAUCCACUUGUAAGUCUAAAUGAGACAUAUAAGCUUGUUUGGUAGUUGUCUCAGUGUGAGAUGCUUUUAUCUUUGGGUUGCUUAUGAAUUCUUAGUUUAGUAUGUGUCUCUUGCUUCAGUUUAUCCAUUGAUAUUCCUUGUUAAUUUGGAAAAGUUUGUUAAUUUGGUGAAUAUCUUGUAGUUUCAGGGCUAACUGCAACUCGAUCUGUGUAUAUUUUAGGUUAUAUAGAAGUUUAUACUACUUUUCUACUAGUUUAGCUAAUAGAAUGUUUUCAUUGGGUAAUUAUGCAUUUUGUGUACUUGUGCUGUGGGUAUAUAUAUGCUUUGGUUCCGCCGUUCCGGUCUUUAGUGGUCAUAUACUUUGGUUUUCAAAGCAGGAGCAAUCCGUUUCUUUUGCUCUAAUAUUUUAAUUAUCAGGUGUGGCAAUGUCAACUGGGCUAAGCGUUUAAAAUGUAAUGUCUGCAACACCAAUAAACCUGGUCAGAAUGAAUGUGGUGUGAGGUAUGACUCAAUGUCAAUGACAACCUUCCUUUGUAUUGUUCUUUAACAGUAUUCGAGCUGAGGAUUGGUAUUAUAGAUGCUUUUGCGGUGAAUUUAGGAUACAUUUAUAAGAUUUUUGUUCGAUAAUAGUAGUCUUCGUGUCAGCUUAUUCAUCUUUAGACAUGGCCUCGUAGAUAACUGGAAAAGGGGAAACAAUAUUAUCUUCUGAAAUUUGACCGAAUGCUUUCUUAGGUAAUAUGUUCAGUAUGAGAAAGCUCCUAAUGCAUCAAAAUGUGCUUUCUCACUUGAAAUGUUUUGGCCAAAUUAGUGUUGCAUUAAGAAACGUUAUGUUUCAGCCUGAUAGGCUGUUGUUCACUGUUCUCUUGGAAGACAUGUGCUUAUUCAUUUAUUUUCUCCAUAUAGGAGAGGUCGUGGUGGUGGCUACAAGGAAUUGGAUGAACAAGAAUUAGAGAAAACAAAGAGACGAAGGCGUGAGGCUGAAGAAGUAAUAGCACAUGCUUCUAAUGCAGAGUUCUUUGUUACUUCUUUUGUUGCAUUUAGUUCUUUUCUAAAUGUUUAUAAAUUAUUUUUGAGUUCCUUAUACUCAUUCUGCCUAGCAUUCCUCAAAGACUUCUCAAGUUCACACAUUUAUAUGUUUUUUAUAGACAUAUGCGAUCCACUUUUGUUUGAAAACUUCUUUAUAAAGACUUAUAUAAAUCGUCCAGUUGUACUUUUAACAAUAUCCUAAAAUUCAGAUUUAUAAGGAAUUAUAGUUCUGUAAAAAUGUAGUGUUUACUAUCCGAAAAUCUUAAUCUUAACCAGAACUAUUCAAAUAACAAGUCCAAAUAAGUCUUAUUUGUUUUUUUGGAUAACAGAAGGAAGCAAAUCCUAAAAUUAAUUGAACUCUUGUUUAAAUACUUAUUUAUAAGGAUUUAUAAAUCGUCGAAUUGUACUUUUAACAAUAUCCUGAAAUCCAGAUUUAUAUUUUAUAAAUACAAGUUCAAAUAAGUCUUAUUUGUUUUUUUGGAUAACAGAAGGAAGCAAAUCCUAAAAUUAAUUGAACUCUUGUUUAAAUACUUCUUUAUAAGGAUUUAUAAAUCGUCGAGUUGUACUUUUAACAAUAUCCUGAAAUCCAGAUUUAUAUUUUGUAAAGGUGUAAAAAAAUAUUUGGAACAAAUUUAAUUUUUAGUAAAUAACUGUAUGAUUAAUGUUGCAGAGAGAAACUCACACACAUUCUAAGACUAAAUUGAACAACAUUUAAGGAGUUGACGAUGUCGGUUUUUUAGAACAUAUUCGUAUAAAUUAUUUUUUAUAAAUUUUUCAUAAACUCUUAUAAAUUAUUUACAUACAGUUAUAAACCCUAGAAAAUUAUUUUAUUAACUCUUAUAACUUGUUUAAUAAGCAUUUCUAAAUGGUUAUAGACUCGUAUAAUUGAUUUCUAAACCUGUAUAUACCUCUAUAAACCUUAUAAAUUAUAUACAUACCCCUUAUAAAUUAUUUAUAAACUUUUAUAAUUUUUUGUAAUAAAAAUUUAUAAAUAGUUUAUAUACUCUAUAAAUUGUUUUAUAACCUUUAUAGAUGGUUUAUAGACUCUUACAAAUAAUUUGUACACCUUUAUAAAAGGUUUAUAAAAUUUAUUAAUUGUUUUUAAUAAAAUUUUAUAAAUGAUUUAUAAUCUCUUAUUAAUUAUUUAUUUAUCCUUAUAAAAUUAUUUUACAAACUUUUACAAAUUGUUUUGAUAAGUGUUUAUAAAUUGUUAUAGCCUCUUAUAAAUGAUUUAAAAGACUUUCCAAGUGAUUCAUAAACUAAUAAACCUUAUAAAUUGUAUACAUACCCCUUAUAAAUUGUUUAUAAACUUUCAUAAUGUUUUAAUAAACGGUUAUAAAUAGUUUAUAGACUUUAUUAAUUGUUUUAUAAAUGGAUUAAAGACUCUUACAAAUAAUUGAAACUACUCUUUUUUACUACAUUUUGUUUCUUGUAAUAGAAAUCAAGCUUGGUUAGGUUGACAUUGAAUGGUCUAGAUUCUUUAUAAAUAGUUUAUAAACCCUUAUAAAUGAUUUAUAAAAUUUAUAUAUUGUUUUUAAAAACUUUUAAAAACGAUUUAUAAAUCCUUCUUAAUUAUUUACAUACCCUUAUAAAUUCUUAUAAAUUAUUUUACAUACUCUUAUCAAUUGUUUUACAAGCCUUUAUAAAUGGUUAUAUAUUCUUAUAAAUAAUAUAGAGACCUUAUAAUUGGUUUCUACACCUAUAUAAACCCUUAUUAAUAGUGUACAUACUCCUUAUAGAUUAUUUAUAAACUUUCAUAACUUUUUAAUAAACAUUUAUACAGUAUAACCUCUUUAAAUUAAUAUUCUAUAAAUUAAUAUACACUAAAAAUCUGUAUAAAAUAAUAUAAUUUUAUAGUCUCAAAUCGAGUUUUGGUUCAAUUAAUAUGUCGAUAAAUUAAUAUCUCUAUAAAUUAAUAAUUAAUAGUGUACAUACUCCUUAUAGAUUAUUUGUAAACUUUCAUAACUUUUUAAUAAACAUUUAUACAUGGUUUAUAGAUUUUAUAACUUGUUUUAUAAGUCUUUAUAAAUGGUUUAUAGACUCUUACAAAUAAUUUUACUUACCCUUAUAAAUUGUUUCACAAUCCUUUAUAAUGGUGUAUGAACUUUAUAAAUUGUUUUUGUAAACCCUUAUAAAUUAUUUAUAUACCUUUAUAAACCCUUAUAAAUUAUUAUACAAACCAUUAUAAAUUGUUUUAUAAGUCUUUUUAAAUGCUUCUAAACCGAUAUAAAUCUUAUAAUACCACUUUUAAAUUGAAUAUAAACUCUCAUAACUUGUUUUUAUAAAUUUUUGUAAGUUGAUUUAUCAAUGUUUAUAAAUUUACUUUUGAUUUAUAAGAGUUUAUAAAUGUUAUUUAUAAGAGUUUAUAAAUGUUAUUUAUAAGAUAAGAGUUUAUAAAUGUUUAUUAAAACAUAAAAUGAUUUAUAAGGGUCUAUAAGUUGAUUAUGAGAGUUUUUAAAAUGACUUAUAAAAAUUUAUAAACUAAUUUAUUAGGAUUUAUUUGUUAAUUUAUAAAAUAUUAAAAUUUCCCAGCUUGCACACCCAUUUUUCUAUACACCUCCAACUAAUUUAAAGGUCAUAAGACACAAAGUGUCUCACAUAUGUAGUUUGGAAGAGAUCUAAGCAAUAUAUAAUAUAGAUAAAUCAAUCCAUUUAUCACCAAUUGGUUUUAGGUUGGAAGUUCAUCUAACUUAACAUUGGUUUAUAAGUUGAUUUAUAAUUUUUAAAAAUUGGCUUUUGAUUUAUAAUAAUUUUAAAACUGGUUUAUAAAAGUCAAACUAAUUAAGAAACACUUAAAACUAAUUUAUAAAGGUUUAUAAAAUUAUUUAUAAGGUUUGUAAACUGAUAUAUACAGGUUUAUAGACUAAUUUAAUAAGGUUUAUAAACUAACUUAUUAAGGUUUCUAAGUUAAUGUAUAAAAACCUUAUAAAAUGAUUCAUAAGGGUUUAUAAAAUGAGAAUCAUUAUAACUUUCACUCCAAUAGGUUUUUAGUAAGAAAAAAGAGUUUAUAAGGUUUUAUUAAACAUUUUCUAACUUACAAAAUCAUUUAUAAAUUUUUUUAUAAAUAUUUUUACGUGAAAAUGAUAAGAAUUUAUAAAUAUUUAUAUAAGAGGUUAUAAAUUAAUUAUAAAUAUUAAUCAGUUAGUUAUAAGAAUAUCUUAAAGCUUAUGAUUUUAUCUAUCCACUCAUGAUUAAUAAACAACUAUAGAUGAUUUAUAAACAAUCAUAAUGUUUCUGCCAAUCUCCCUCUCUCUCUUUUUUGUUGUACAUAUAUUGUGUAACUAACUGUAAACGAGUUUGAUUUCAAGUAAAAAAAUAGCUUGGAACUGCACAUAUGAUCUCUUGGAUAAUUUAAAUUUAAAAGAAACAAUUAAAUGAUUUAGAAAAGCUUAUAAGUCAUUUAUCCGGUUUCAUAAACCAAUUUCUAAGAGUUUAUAACUUAUUUUAUAAAGAUUUAUAAAUUAGCUAUAAAAAUUAUAAAGACUUAUAAAUUAUUUAUAAGAGUUCGUAAAUAUUGAAACAACUAUCAUCCGGGUGAAGUUUCAGAGAUUCUAUUACAACACCACGUGGAGCGUUUGCUUCUUUGCUAUCCCCAAGGCAUGGGUUCCAGCUAUCAAAUCUGGUUUUGGAUGAAGGUGAAGCCUGAAGACAAGAACUGGUUCUUGCUCUGCCGGAGAGUGUGACAUACAUUGAAGAUAUGCAUCUCAAGAUUUCUUCAGAGAACCUACUCGGGUUUUCCAUGUCAUCUACGAUGUGAGAUGAGCCUAGAAGAUCUUUAAGGGUAGUGUGAUGACCAUAAACAUAUCUUGUAUUCUCCUGCAAACAUCAAAUCAGUUAAACAAGUAUGCUAAAUGCUGAAGACCAAUGUGUUCUACUUACAUUUGUAAAAAAGGCUUUUAAGCUGGCUUGGAAACUCCAAGGACAUGAAGAGGAACGUUCAGACACAAGAGAUGCUUGAUAAUGGUAGCUGAGCACACCCCAGUAAGGUCUGAUUGUGAGACUAAGCUUGUUUCAGUGUGUGGAGAGAAUGAAGUAACUUGUUCAUCAAAAGAUGCCAUGUAAAGAGAGAGAAGAUACUGUUCUAUACGCAGAAUCUCAAACUCAAGUGCAGCAAUCUCCUUCUUCAAAUCUUCUGAAGACUGCACAAUAACAGAGUUCAUAUCUAAAGUACACUUGGUAACAAAGAAUCUAUCAAGUUUCAUUACAAAAGAUCAAAUUUUUGGCAUUACGUUGCAAUGCGAAUCCUUAUGAGUCAGUAGUCUCUUCUCAAUUGAUAUAAACUGCCAUGAAAAUGUACAGAAAAAUGUGACUUUUUUGGAACCACCAGUAAAGAGAGGCAGAUUAAGAUAAUAUCCAAAAGCUUCGCUUUUUGAAAAGAGAAUGGAAAUUACCGGUUCACUAUUAUAGCAAGAGAAUCUUGACAAUACAAUUCUCUAGCAACCACUAUCACUAUGUCAUCUCUCUCUUGACUAGUACUUAGACUAAGCUUCUACUCUAAAUAACAAUUGAAUUUUACAAACUCUUAUAAAUUAUCUAAUAAAUCCUUAUAAAUGAUUACAGUGCUAAAGUCUCAAUAAUCAGAGUCUUUAAUAAACUCGUAAACCCAAUUCAAAAAAUUUCAAAACAAAAAAUCACAUUGCAUACUCAUCUCAAAUCAAACAUUUACCCUCUUCAGAUUGAUGAAUAUUCUGAAUCUCAAUAUUGCAACAAAUCGUAAUCCAUAAACCUGAAAUAGACUUGAAUGGUAAAAACCCAGAUUCUACAAUCUCCUCAAACCUGUGAAGUGAUCAAAGAUGAUCUGAUGCCAGAGGUUUUGACGAUAAAUCUCAACGAAGGAGGACGACGGAUCUCAACGGAGAGAGACGACGGAUCUCGACGGAGAGAGAUAGAUCUCGACGGAAAGAGACCGAUUUCGACGGAGAGGGGCGAUGGGUCACGACAGAGAAAGAAAAAACACGACGGAGAAAAAGAUUAGGUUAGAGUAAUUUAGUCUUUUACAAAUUAAUGAAUGUGAUAUUUAUGAAAAUGCCUUUUGGUUGGUGGUAAAGUUGAAUAAAUGUAUCAAAUAAAGUGUAUAAGUAAAAUUUCCCCAAAAUAAAAUUACACUAAUUUUAUUUUUUUGGUGUUUUGUAGGAGUUGGCCUUCUUAUAAAAACAUUUAUAAAUUCUUGAUUAACCAUUAAUAAAUACUAUAUUUUGAUCCGCGCUUCGAAAACACAUGUUUAUUCUUUAAAACAUAAUUAAAAAAGAUAUAAUAUAUGUUAGUUUUUAUAGGUUUGGACAGUCUAUCCAGACUCGAAAAUUCAAACCAUAACCGAUUCAAAAAUGUUUGGUUCAUGUCCGAGUCUAGGCUAGAGUAAUUAUUGAAUUUCUUGGACUUCGGUUCAGGUACAAGUCCUACCUAAUACCCGUUCGGAAAUUUGUAAAUAUAUGUUUGAAGUUCGUUUAGUUUUAUAGAACAACAUUAUAUUUUAUACAUAAUACUAUUGAAAGUGGGUUAUAUAAAGAAGUUAAAUUAAAGUAGGCUUUUUGAUAAUGUAAAGAAGUUGAGUUCUACUAUAUGUGAAUACAUUCAGAAAAUUGAUCCUUUAAAUUACACAUUGGAGUCCAAAGUAUUUUAUAAAAAAGUUAUCUCCCGAUCCACGGAUGUAAAAAUCAAAUCUAACCUCUCACCAUUUAACUUACAUUAUUGUUUGCAAAUCUGAUCCAUUUAAAUCUAUCUUAUAACCCCAAGAUCAAUGGACAAAAUUGUCAUUAGUGAGAUUUAAACUUUUUCAUAAAUUUAGGAAUAGUUUUUUCAAAAACUGAUAGAUAUUAUCAUAUUAUAUUGAUAUUCUUAAUUAAUAAUAGAUAAUUUUUAAAAACAAAUAAUUCUAUAUACAUACAAAGAAAAAAGUCUUUAGCGUAGGAAUCAUGUAAUGUUAUGGUGUAUGAUUUUAUAGAUAUACAAAUAAUAUAGUAUAAAUUUUGUGAAAAUUCUGCUAUAAAAAAAAAUCUGCUAUAAAGAUUGAUAUUGCUUUGACCAAUGUUGGCUAAUCUUCAUGACAUAGACAAAAUGGUUUAUAUUUUUAUACAAUACUGUUUCAUCAAUUUUAUUAACAAUCUUAAUUGCCACAAAAUAUUAUAACAUGUGUUAUCAAGCUUUUGUGAUUGUUUGGUAAAUUUUUUUAUUAGAAAAUAAAUUUAGUAAAAAGUAAAAGAGAAUUCCAUAAUGUCGUAAAUUACAUAUAUAUGGUUAGAUAGAUAGGCUUAGUAAAUAGUAAAAUAAUAUAAUUCAUAUUUUAAUUAAAUAGAAGUAUAAGUUAGGUAGAAUUAUCCACAAAAAUAGGAUAAAAAACAAUGAGUUUAAUAUUAAUAACCUCACAGUAAUAGUCACAUAGUUAUAUAUAUAUAUAUAUAUAUAUAUUAUUCUUUUUUAGUUUGUUAAGUUUCUAAUAAAUAGGUCCAGUGACUUUUGCAUAGUAAAUUUUUGGGAUGAUUUCCUUCUAAUAGUAUAGAUUUUGUUAUUAUGUAGUCAACACUUUGUUUUGUGCAUGUCUCUUUGGGUGAGAAAUGACAAGUUUCACAAACACAUAUUACAAUACUGACCUAAUAUAUAUAUAUAUAUAUAUAUUUUUUUUUUGUUAAGUUUCUAAUAAAUAGGUCCAAUGACUUUUGUAUAGUAAAUUUUUGGGAUAAUUCUCUUUUAGUAGUAUAGAUUUUGUUAUUAUGUAGUCAACACUUUAUUUUGUGUAUGUCCCUUUGGACGACAACUGACAAGUUUCACAAACAUAAGUUACAAGACGGACCUAGUAAUAAUUAAUUUAUUACUCUUUGACUGAUUGGCUUGUUCAAUUUGCGUUUUUUGGGUCAAAAUUCAUUAAUAAUUAAUUUAUUACUCUUAAGAAGACGUUUGCAUAAUUACUACGAAAGCAAUAUAUAUAUGGACUAAAUAUGUUGAGGCAUCCCAAACUACUUCAAGUUUAACUCCAGUAUAACAAUCUUAUUGAGAAAUCCUGCAUCAAUGAGAAAUUCACCAAAACUUUGUGUUGUUUUUCUGAUCAUGGUUCUUUUGUUUGGUCCGAGUCAUGAGUUAGCACCGUUUUGGCCCGACACCACCGUCACAGUGAUAAAUAAUCUUGGAGGUCCACUUCUUACGGUUCAUUGCAAAUCCAAAGAUGAUGAUUUGGGGAUUCACAUAGUGGCUGCCAACAAAGAUUACCACUUUUCAUUUCAGCCAAAUGUAUGGAAAACAACACUGUUCUUCUGCAGCUUCCAAUGGAACAAUCAGGUCAAGCGGUUUGAUAUAUUUGAUGCUACGAGAGAUGAAGGUGUAGGUGAAAAAUUUAACUGGACUAUCAAACCCAAUGGUCCAUGCAAGCUUGGUAAAAAGGUUAAAUGUUUCCCAUGGAAAUGAUUUGAUAAUAAAUGAUUGUGAUGAUAAAUAUAUAAAGAUGUUUUUAGCAACAAAAUAUAAAAAAAUAUAAAGACGAUCAAAAUAAAAAAUAUAGUUUCCUUCGUUUCAUUGUGUUUCUUUUUCCUUGUAUUAGUUCAAAAUGUUCAGUUAUGAAGUUAAUAAUCUGAGAUAUUCUAUGAUAUUUGAAUUUACUAUUUUAUUUACUUUGUAUUUCAAUAUUUAAAAGAAAAAAUAUUAUAGAUGAAAAAGAAAAAAUAUUUACGUAUAAUAAUAUAUAAUCAGAGGAGAUAAGAACUGUUGGUUGCAGUAAACUCUGUACAGAAGUUUUUUUGAUUGAAAUAAAUUUAAAUUUUUUUCAAAAAAAAAAAAGAUAAGAACUGUUGGGAAAAAGAAUAUUCAUUUUGAGAUUUGACAUAAUCAAACCCUUAGAUAAUUGUAUAAGGUAACAGAAAAAAAGUUUCAAUAUAUAAGAGUACUAAGGCCCUUUUUUUUUUUUUUUUUUUUUUUUUUUUGUAACAGAGUACUAAGGCCUUAACUUCGACUAAUAUUACCAAAAAGCUAAACCAUGGAUCCUGCUGCUAAGGUCGAUGAAAAUCAGACUAAUAUUAAAGUAAAUACUAUUUUAUUUACUUUAAGGUAUUUCAAUAUGUGUUUUCUUUUUCACUGAAAUUACGUCCUUUUCAUUCAUAACAACUUAGAACCAAUACAUCAAAUAAAGAAUCAAACUCAAACGCCUGGCCCCUCUUAAACAAAAAAGGAAGAGAGCCAUUGAGGAAAGUCACUCGUUACAUACGAUUGAGUUAGCUUCUUUGUGAUCACACUCUUUGCAAUCAGCAAAGCUGGAGUAAUAGCCAAUUUCUUAUAUAUUAUGAUCUCUCAUAUUUUUAGAUUUAUACAAGUUUGUGUUAAUAAAAUCGUUUGGAAGGAGUCAGAGCAAAACUAAUCGAAUAGCGAAUUGCAUAGAGUAAGUAAGAUGCAUUCAAUCAAAACCGGAUUAAACCGAGAUAAACCUGAAGAAGGACUAUUAGUCUUUAUACUCCUCCUGGUUGUCCAAAAUGAAUGAAGGAUCUUCUUUCCACACAACAUCAUCAUAUGAGAACGCUUUGGCCAGACAAGAAACCAACUGCUCAUGAAUCACUUCUUCAGAAGGAAGCAGCAUAUCAUCUGUCUCUCUUCGCAGAGAUGUAACUUCUUUAUCAGCAAUCCCACAGGGCACAAUGUGCUCAAAGUACUUCAGAUCAGGAUCUAUGUUGAAGGCCAAACCAUGACUAGUGAUUCCAGAGGAGAUACGAACCCCAAUAGCACCAAUCUUUCUAUCUCCGACCCAAACCCCUGUCUCACCCUUGUGUCCUGCACGUGCUUUCACACCAUAAACAGAAGCAAAUUCGAGCAUAGACCGCUCCAACGUCUCUACAUAAUUCCUAGCACCAAUACCAAUGCUGCGUAAGGAAAUGAUGGGGUAUAAGAUGGCUUGAUGAGGACCAUGGAAAGUGAUAUCUCCUCCUCUUUGAGUAUAAUGAAGCUCAGCUCCAAGGCCCUUGAGAUCAGCUUCAGGGAUCAGUAGGUUGUGAUCGGUUCUACGUUUUCCGAGGGUAUAAGAUGGUGAUGCUGAAGAGAGAGGAGUGCAUCGGGGAUUCGAUUAGCUUUUCUGUCGGAAACUAAUUUGUCUUGAACUUUAAGUGAUUUCAAGUAGCUGACAGUGCCUAGCUUCCAAACCUCCAUGCAGGGUUCUAGGGGAUCUCAUUUCCUGCACAUCAUCCAUGAUCACUCACUUCAGCUCUAAAUAUAAAAUAUUGUUCUUCUUUCUUUUUGUCACUUACUAAUAUAACUGAUGAGAUCUAAACGUAUGACCAGAACAGAAAGGCAACAGUGUAGAAGCUUCUAGAAGGAAGAAAGCAGCAGAGAUCAAUGGAAGUAGAGAAACAAUCGAACAAGAGAAGGAAGACUUCCAGAAGGAAUAUGCAGAAGAGUGGAGUUAUUGCGGAAGGGAAUAAAGAGGAUCAACGAAGGUUUAAGUGAGAUGAAUUCAGAUGAGGGUGAAAAGUUUCAAAAGAGUAUACUGAAUCAGUUUUCAUGUCUUGAAGAUUUGGUGUCUCAUUUGGCAAGCCUCGCUGCUUUCGAGUAAGAUAUAUACUUUGUUACUCCUGAAUACUGUUAGUCUAUACUUUCAAUUGUGCAUAAGGAAAAGAUGAUCAAACUAAAGCUGUGUUAAGAAAAAACAAAUCAAAUAUUAGCAAAUGGGCUGUCAGUAUGACAAAUUAUUAUGUUUUCGACCGAUAAUUCAGCUGUUAGAUUCUAAGUACAUCACGCUAAACUGUUGUAUAAAAGUUUAUGACUAAUUGUCUUAUAUAUUUGCAUUAUGGCAAUUUUUUUUAUUAAAUUAUAAUAAAUCACGUUCACUAGGAUUUGAACUCAAAUUUCUUAAGGCAACUCUCAUCAUAAUUCAACACUAAAUUUUGGUGUUUUGGUGUUGAAUUUUAUUUUUCAUAUCCAACCAUUAUAUCAAACUAUAAACCAAAACAAUGUUAUAUAUUAAAUUUUUAGUUUAAUAAUUCAAUACUUUAAUUAUUUAUAGUUGACUAAUUAUAUUUAUCUCAUUUUAUUUUAUUUUAUUUGUUAAAAUUUGGUAAGUUUAUGUUUCCACAGUUGACAGUUUAUUUAAAAUAUUAUUUUUGUCUUUUACUUAAUUUAUAUAUUAUUUUUUAUUUAUGUAAACUUUAGUUGAUAUGAAAAGUACUUUUAUUCUGUUACAAUUUCAAAAUAACACUCAUUUAAUUGUAUUACUAACUGUAAAUAUAAAAUAAUAUUUUAAUGUUUAGUAAUGUCAAAAUAAAAAUGAAAAAUACUAGGAUGUAAUUAUUUAUAACUAUAAGUUAGGAAUAAUUAAUAAUAUUAGUUUACAUAUAAUUAAAUGAAAAGUAAUAAAAAUAUUAUUUUAGUAUUUAGUGUGAUUAAUAGUAUUACACCAAAUUUAGUGUAAUAUAAUUAACAAAAUACCAAUUUAGUGAAAUGAUGCUAUUUCUAUUGUUUUUUGAGAUUUCCUCCAAAUCACUGGUAUGACUUUGUGCAUCGUUCAUACUUCCGAUGUGUGGAGGGAACCAUUGCAGCUAUCCCUUGAAAGUGCAGCUAAAGGAGUACCUCCAGGUCCGUAGAAGAACUACUUGCUUGUUUGUCCUGGUAUUGGAAGAGGUAUCUAGAGGCAAACAGGGUUAAAAGCGGUAGAUAGCCUGGUUCCUAGACCAAACAAGGACCAGCUUACUUUUCGAGUGAGAGUCUCACGAGCCGUCUCUGUGAGAAAGGACUCUCCCAGACACGAUAGUCGAGGCAAGGAAAGCAACUUGGGUAUUGUUUGAAAAGCUAGACAGCGACAACUCAAUGCUUUUCCGUUAGGGGAAAGAAACCACUAGUCUCACCACUAUAUCUUCAAGGAAACCCUACUUCUUUACCAGAACUAACAUCCUCCAAGGGUUAUCUCUUCCAGUUUCAAGCUUCAAGAUCUUACAAAAUCUUAGAUCUCAGCCAUUCCCACUUCAAAUCUUCUCAGUACCUCGCUCAAGAUCAGUAAGAAAGAACCCCUCUAUCACCUGAACGGGACCUACAUCACAUACAGGAAGGUUUUCAGAAGAUAGAAGCAGCAUGGCUUGUCGUUUCACUAAGGAAGAAAAAGGAAAACACCAGUUGGCUGAUACUAACGAACCUAUCAUCAAAAGGAUCAAUGCUCCAUAUGUGGACACUGCAGCGCUUAUCAAAGAAAACGAUCUCACCCUCAUAGGCAGAGUUACCAACUCACAAGAGCAGAGAAUAUCGGCGCUCAUUCCAGCCCUACCUCGCAAAUGGCACAUACAAGGAAGAGCAGUUGGGUCAGAUCUUGGUCAUGGCUGUUUCCAGUUCAGAUUUGAAAAAGAAGAAGACCUUCAGAGAGUUCUGGACAACAGACCUUACCAUUUUCCAUACUGGAUGGUCAUCCUCCAACGCUGGGAACCGGUCAUCUCUGCCACCUUCCCCUCGCAAAUCCCCUUUUGGAUCUGUAUCAAAGGGCUACCGCUCCACUUCUGGCACGAGGAUAUGAUAUGUGACAUGGGAAAGGAGCUCGGAACACUGAUGAACCACAAACUCACCAAGACAUCUGCAAGAAUCAAAGUUCUGAUUGACGGCCUAAAACCUAGAAGAAAUACAUCUUGAAUAUGAUUCAGGGGAAGAGAGUCUAAUCUACCUGGAGUAUGAGAAACUCGAGAACCACUGCUCUUUAUGCCAAUCCCUCUCACACUUGAAGAAAGAUUGUCUCCACUUCUUGGAAGGCAACAAAACCCUAACAAGCCAAAAGAAUCUCGAAGAACCUAAGCAACUAGAAGAUCAGAACAACUAUGAGAGAAGAGCAACUCCUAUCGACAGGAGGAAUGAGAAAAUCUACAAAGACAAGGAUCUUAAUCAACGUUACCUAAGACUGGAGAUGUCUGAUUACAACAAGGAAAGGAGCCCAAAGGCUUUCAACGACAGAGUGGACAGGCACGGUAAUAGCUUUGGAAACAGAGUUGCAACCAAACAAACCAGAGUACCUCCGCCGGUCAAAGCGAUGACUGACAUGGCUGACACUACGCAAAACUGGCGUACUAGAACACACACUCAGGAAGGGGAAAACCAAGGUUAUGUCUCACCACCCUACACAAACAGGAGAGAUGUUAGGAGAGAGAGGAACUAUAUGCGAGCCCCUUUCCCCCAGAGAGGACUUAGUGAAUGGAGGAUCAAAACUACCAACCUGCACUCUGGGAUGGAACAACCGGAGCAAGCACAGGAUGAAAAUCAAAGAACUCAUCGAGACCUACCAACACACAAAAGCCUACAUCAGACACAAGGUGAACAACAAGCUGAAGAACAAGUGUUGAAUGAGCUCGACGAGGCCACGCUACUCUACCUUAGCUGUCCAGAUCCCACAGAAGCGGCUGCUCGAAAACAGAGAGUGAUGAAUGGGGACGCGAAGGGACAAAGGGAAGAAACAGCUGCUUUCAUGCUAAACUCACGUUCCCUCCAUUCAACAUUCCCAUCUGGAAGGAGCCAGGAAUUAAUAAACAACUCUAAGCAAACAAAGGAGUGAAUAAUGGAAGAUCUCCAAGAUGUGACGAAGCAAUACCUUAGCUGCACAGACCUCAUCGAAGCGGCGGCUAGAAAGCAGAGAGUCUUAACGGGAGAUGCGUCUGGCCUUAUGGAGGAAGCUGCUGCCUCAAUCUUGGCUGUUUCAGAGUUUCCCAGACGCCCUCUAUCUCCAUGGGAACGUGGAAUACGAUCAGUAAGCCCCUCAGCGCAGGACAAUCCCCUUAAUGCUCUCUUCUUAGCUGAUCAUACAGUGGUUCUUAGUCCCCAAGGAGGAGAAGAUAAGGAAGAAGACACGGGGGGUGACUCCUACUACAAUGAAGCAUCCCCUCUGCAGCCUCCAGCAUCCCUCAGUACUAGAAAGACACGACCACAAACGUUAAAAUCAAUCAUCAUAAGUCCGAGUCUAGAAGGGGAGGAAGAAUCGAGAGCACCUGAUCAACAAGAGAAUCGUACCGCGUUGGAAAAAGAGGAAACACUGCAGGAAUUUCAAAACAAAGUAAGGAAAACUAAAAACCUCUCAAGGAGCAAAAGCUUAAGAAGUAGCCCCACUCACUUAGGGCCUAGCUUAAAAAAGAGAAAGCUAGCACAACUGCACAACUCACCUAGCGGAGGGAGGAACAUAGGAGAGGGGACAUCUGGAGUUUCCUUCCGAAGAAAGAAAGCAAAUAAGGCAACAUGAGCUGCACAGACCUCAGGAAACCCCCCAAUCCAACUCAUUCCGGCGGUAUCACGAAAGAAAGCGGAUUUUCGGGCUGCUCCACCCCAGGCUUCUUAGUGGCACUGAGCUGGAACUGUUGUGGGCUGGCACUACAAGAAAUAUGAGUAUUGGUAGCAGUUCGCAGUAGCACGAAUUCACCAACUGCUACCAAAAGUCCCAAAAUCAGAUCACAAUUCUUUCGUAGCACUAAAUUCGCGCUAAGAUAAAAUUUCAUUAAGCGGGAAAGCAAAAAUCACUAUUAUAGCUGAAAAAAUAUUUUGGAACCAACACUUAACCAAUUUUUUGGGUUUUCCUUUACUUCUUAUGAACCAAAAAAAGAACAAUUCUCUUUUCAUUAUCUCUUCGAUUAAAAAAAAAAUAAAAAAUCUUAUCUCUCGUCGUCGUCUCUGUCCUUCUCGAGUCUCAUCUAUGCGUUUCCCCUUUGCUCGAUCUCGAGCUCCGACCACCACUCUGUGGUCUCCACUCACCCGCAAUCGAACACGGUGGCGCCUGAGUCCGUGACCAAACCACACCACGAUAACAUCUCCGUCUUGUUUCGUUCUCGUCGUCACCGGAAUCAUGCCUCACACCGUCAGAAUCAAAGUGGAGAAGAGCAACAAUGGCGUUUCGGCAAAAGGCUUGACUUUUAAAAACUUUCGAAAAUCGAUUCAUGGUUCUUGUUGUCUCUGUGCGUUUUCAAUCAUUAUAGGAACACUUCACAAUCGAUUCUGGGUUAAGUCUCUGUGUUUUUAUUUCUUCUUUUACUUUGUCUCUUUGGGUAAAUCUAUGUUCUUUGUAACUAACUCUUAUGUUGCGGAAUGAGAGUCUAUAAUCAUGGCGUUUAUUAGUGUUCUUAUGAGUGUCUCUGACUCUGAUGUUGUAGGUGUCUUUCAAGAUUAGGGUAUGAUCCAAAGCGGAUCUGAGAGAAACAGAGGAUGAGCUCGUUAAAGUGUUGGCAGGUUUAUGCUUCACUUUCAUUCUCUUGUGUGAAGUUUUUACUUUCAGUCAUGUGUUCAUAAUGAUGCUAAGGUUACAAAGAACUUGUUAUUUUGGUUUUUGAAGUUUGCCAGUAUCAGUAGAGAAAACAAGCGUUACGGAGUCCCCCUACUGCUCCUCCUCGUAUUCCUGCUGGCGCUUGCAGUGGAGCUGCUGUUGCCGUAGAAACUAGACCUGCUGAUUGUUGAUCAAGAAACUCUUGAAGGAGUAGUAGAGAUAAAGAGUGGAGUAGCGGUUUGUGUUGCUGUUGCUGCCUGGUUUGGAACGGUUAGGCUCAUAGACAACAUUGAGAUCAAGAGAUGGACCAACUUAUGAGCUAUCUCAUCAACUUAUAAGCUGUCAGGUCAUUGGUUUUAUAAACAUUUUUGGUCAUGGUUCCUGCAACCAGAUUACAACGUAAAGGUAGUUAUUGUAUGAUCUUGGUACUAAAUGGGUGUGAUGCGGUUGGCUCGUCCACUUUAUGAUGUUGGAGAUCCUUUUCUUAUCUAGCACUGUCUCUCAUGAUGAAGUGCAGUAAGAAGACAGAGAGGCUUGCUGUGAUUCAAAGGCUUUAACAGAUUAGAGAAAAGUUCAUGUUUGAUUUUCUUGUUGACACGGUGAAAAAACAAGAGAAUUUAUAUGGUUCAUAAUGAUAAUUAGAGUUUGUAAUUAUUAUGUCUGAGUGUAAAAUUAAAGUCUGAGUGUAUUUUAAUUUAUAUUUUAAUUAGAUAAAAAAGUUUUGUAUUUUAAUUUAUAUGUUUGAUUAAAUCAAAGGAUAAAAAUGAUAAUUAUACUUUUAGAUUAA
This 95175-nucleotide long non-coding RNA is filed under the name Brassica napus (rape). RNAcentral describes it as "long non-coding RNA (BNAP_LNC016311)". Lineage: Eukaryota; Viridiplantae; Streptophyta; Magnoliopsida; Brassicales; Brassicaceae. The record is from RNAcentral.